Molecule: long non-coding RNA, 92174 nt
Filed under: Olea europaea (common olive)
Lineage: Eukaryota; Viridiplantae; Streptophyta; Magnoliopsida; Lamiales; Oleaceae
Description: long non-coding RNA (OEUR_LNC003164)
Rfam family: Plant small nucleolar RNA R71 (bases 71766-71872)
Source: RNAcentral
AGAUACUCAUCAGCAACCUUAACAAUGAUGAACAAGUUGUUGAAGUGAUCAAAGGGAUUAAUAAUUGCGGACUUUACUCUGAUUAUUAUUUAUAUGAGGUGAAGGUGAGUAUUGAGAAGCACUGUAGCAGCAAGGCAAAAACAUGGAUUGCUGAAUUAAUUAACACCUAUUUUCGCAGUCCGUGGACUAUUAUUGCCUUAGUCCCUGCCACUAUUCUUCUUUGCUUAACUUUUCUCCAAACCUAUUACACAAUGAAUCUUUCCAAGUGAAGGUGUGUGCCAAAUGCCGUUGUUCAAGUUUUAGUUGAGAUGUGUUUCGAGUAAGAGAGGUUUGAUGCUUUUGUGUUCAUUGUAUCUAUCUUUGUAUUAUUCUAAUUCAAAUCUAUCAAUUAGUGUUAUAACAAAUGUUUUAUCUAUUUAUAGAGAUUGAAAACAAUGGUUAUAAGGUCUUGAAUUCAUAUUUUGAAUGCUAAGAAUUUGGAUACAAAUAAUAGGCUAGAGAAGGGAGGCAAAAUUAAUGUUUCUAAUCAAUUAACUAUUCACGAUAUUAAUAUCACUUGUUCAAGAUGAAUUGAUAGAAACGUCAACAUCUUAUUAAAAGGAAAAACCAAUAGUGCGAGGACUUGGGGAAAAAAGAUUGAGAAAUAAUUUUGUUUAUGGUAUCUGCCAUAGUUCAAAUCCAUUAAUUAUGACAAAACUAGUUGUAGAAGGUUCUGGGCUGCGCAUGCUAUCAGCGACAAUCAUGUUCAUUAAGCCCCUGUUUGGCCCUCAUUACAUUAAAUUACAUUACAUUUUAUUUUUCUCUCUUGUAUUUUCAACUACACAAUCUUUUAUAAAAUAAUAUUAUAUGUAAACCGAAAAUUUUUACUUCCUUUUGAACCAUUCAUUUUUCAAAAAAAUAUUAUUCCACCCAUUUUUACUUCGAAAAAUGGGGGUCAAACAGGGGCUAAAAUUCUUCAGAAACCGGCAAUCUCCAUCCCAUAGAAGCCAACUAUAGUCGUCCCUCCAGGAGAUGCUACUUUAUCUUUCAGCUGACUGGGAUGUUUUCCUGUAUCAACUGUCAUUGAUGCUGCUCCCAAUACCUGUAAAACUUUAAUAUCUGAGGCUGAAUGAAGUUCAGAUGCCAUAAAAAGCACUAUAAAAGAAGAUAGAAUUUAUAAAGCACAUUUUGUAGGAGACAUAAUUUGAAUAAACAAGUUGGUCUCCUAAGAUUUAGAUAAGAGCAAGCACAUGUCCCGACUGAGAUGAAAAAAACAUCUAGUCUGCAUGUGAAGGGUCUGUUAGAAGACAUUCUGUUGGAUAUUGGUUAAAUAAAUCGAGAAUUGAAAAAUCGAUUAAAGUUCGUAUCGACUUCGGCCAAAUGCUCAAAAGCUCGACUCAAUUCGUUUAAGCAAAAUUGUUUGCCACUUCGCCGCUUCGGGGCGCACAAACGGGGAUCGACCUGCCCGGUCAGGUCGCGAGGGUCGAGGGGGCAGCGGCCCUCGUGGGGGGUCGGGGGCAAUGCCCCCGAAAGAGAAUUUUGAUUUCUCUGCAUGUAUUGAAGGGAAUAUUUGGCAUUUCGAAAACCAAUAUCGAAUGAAUGAAGAAAUUACGAAAAAGGACGAAAAUCAGUGAAUAGACACCUUUUCAUAAAAGUGCAUUGUUUGGAAAGGGUGCAUGGUUUGACCUCAACCAUUUUGUCCACACCCUUUCAUGGUCUAUAAAUAGGACCCUUUGGGUAUCCUAUUCCACACAACUUGAUAUGCAAAACGUCUCUCAUCCUUUCUUCUGUCCAAAAUCAAAAUCAUUUCAUUUAUUUUGAUUUUCCUUCAUUUCAUCCUUAAAGUACACAAGCCUAAAUUUGGUUCAUUGUACUUGUGUUUUGGAGUGCUACAAACACAAGUGUAGCCGUUGUAUCUUGGGAGUCGAUUGCCGAAAUCCGUAGGCACCGUUGCGGGCAAAUUCGACUUAAGGACAAAGAGUCCAACUCUUGCCUCGGCUUUGUCACCAUCAUUAUACUUAUUUCGGCGUCACUAUUCACAAAAAUCAUCCAACACAUUCUUUAAAAAAAAAAAAAAGGCAUUAAGAUAAUUCAUGCUUUCGAAUUGGUUAUAAGAAUAAGCUUACACAGAACAUACUAUAUCGCAUGAUAAAGUAAAUAUAUCCAUUGGCUUAUGGUUUGAGAAGCUAGCAUGAGCACCAGAUCCCUAGGAAGACUGGCAGGCACCCCACCAUCAGCCAAAGCUUCUAUUGCUAAAAAUAAGUAUACUGAUCUACUACCAAUCAACAUUCCAGGAGAAGAUAAACUAGUUAGGUAGUGUUUGAUUUCCCUUUUUUUCCAUGAAAAAUGGAAAAUUUUUCCAACUUUGGCCAAUUUGAAGUGUUUGAUACCAAACAAUUUCCAUGGAAAUCAUUUUCCACAUUUUCUCCCACGCGAUGCCUUUUCCUUCUUUUUGAGGAAUUGAAAUUCUUAUAGGUUUGAUGAGAAUUGGAAUUCCAUGCAAAUUUUUUUUUCCUUUUUUUUUUUUUUAGCAGUGGAAAAAAAUUCUAAGAAUUAUUGUAAAAAAAUAUUUUUCUUUAAUUGACAAUUUUCAUGUAAAACAAAGCCAAACAAACAUCCAAAGAUAGAUGAUUUUCUUGAAAAUAUAUAUAUAUAUUUUAUUUAUUUAUUUAUUUAUUUUUGGGUUUUGGCAAUGGAAACAAAUUUCAUUCCCAAUAGCAGUAAAUUUUAUCCCUUUAGUUGACAAUUUUCAUGUAAAACAAAGCCAAACGAAUAUCAAAAAAUACUUUUAUUUUAACAUUUUCCACCUAGAAAAUUAUACCAAUCAAACACUAUCAAUUGACAAUUCCCAGAAAAUAAUUUCCCAUCAUUUCAAUUCUCUGAAAUUCAUUUUCUUUCCACCCAAAUUUCACCUUUGUAAUCAAACAGACCAUUAGAAUAUGCCAAAUUAGCCUCAUAUUUUCAGCUCUAGAAAAUAUAUGGCUAUCGCUUGCAAGCUUUGCGUUAAGAAUUAACCAUACAACAUGAAAACAUGAAAAAAGUAAACAAUACCUCAGGCCAGUGAUUGCAUCAAACAGUUUCUCAUCAGCUGUCCGGACCUUACCAAUAGCUCCAAAUAACUUGGAAAUUAAUUCUCCAUCAUCUUUAGUAGCUGCAUCCCUCAUGCUUAUAACUAUGUACAUGUUAAUUAGAUUGGUAAAACUGCAUUAUCAUUCUAAAUCGCAAAACCAACACAUGCAUAUCUUUGUGUAGUAACAACAAACUCAAAAUUGGAUUAACACUGUGAAAGAUAAUGGGGAGGAAAAUCUUGAAGUAGUGUGACAGAUAAUAGAGAUUUGAAAUUCAAAAAUGACGUGAUUUGCAAUUAUUUUAUCUAUUUAACAAUUACAAUAACAAUGAGGAUCCAAUAUGUAAGUUCAAUUUUAGUGAAACCCCAAGUUUUCAAUCACACCAUUAACUCUGAAGUUGUUAUUUAAUAUUAGGCAUUCUACAAGUGACAAGGCAAAAGCAGGAGAGACAGAAAUUGGUAUUCCAUAUGCAGCAUUGCCAACAGCAGCCGUGUUCGGCAUCACUCAAUAAAUUGACUGUGACCUGCCCACUCCUGGACAAAUGAAGUGUGACUUAAGAUAAAUAUGGAGCCAACAAAUUAUAAAAUGCAAAAGGACUUUCGAGGCAAACACGAGGUCUAUGGUUGGGACCAGUUGGUGAUUACAACUUUUGAGAGCCACAAGGUAUAGAACAGGAGGAAGUCACGAAUUUAUAAUAAAGCACGAAAAAAAUUAAACCUGGCCAUAGAACAUAAGCCUCAAAGAUAAUAUAUAUAUCAACAACGUGAAAAUAUGUGUUGGUAAGCAUUCAAUUGCAAUAACAUGCAAUCUUUUAAUUUAACUCCAACAACAACCGAAUUUUAUGAAUAAACCACACGUGAUGAUUGUGGGCAACAACCCCAAAAGAGAAACUUAAAAAUAACAUCAUCCCAUAUAUAUAUACACAUAGAUGUAUCAGUCGCUGCUAACAAUUUAAAUCGAAGAAUUAAGUUUUUUGUAAUUGUAUUCAUGUUGUCGUCUUCUUUCACUUCCAUUUCUUAAAUCCUUCGGGAUGCUUAUCUAAUUGGGGGACGAGGAUAGGUGCGAGCUUUCAUAAGAAAUUCUUUCAAAGAGAGGAUAUUAUCAGUGAUUCAACAGUAGUCUAUUUGUUUAGCUUGCUUGGCAUUAGUAGCACUAUUUGUUUAAACCGCAGCAUUUUCCCUAUGCUAAACUGGAAUUGUGCAGAAUUAUUUCAUUAACAACGGACUGAAGGUAUUUUGUGUGGACUUUUUUAAGCUUAGACUGGACUGGACUGGGCAGUACAGUACAGUUUUGAGAUAGGCGUGACGAAAUUUAUGAGAUGCAACUUAUACAAUUCAGCAUAUGAAAGGUGUCCAAAACGGUGUUUUCUUUUUCCUUUUCCUAAAGUUUUCUGAUUCUGCUCUUUGAGAUUGUUCCUUGGAUAAUAGCCAUUUGUGUCUAUAUUAGACAACAAUUUUCCUUCAUAUAAAAUUUCUUUAAUUGUUGGACCGACAGAAAAAUAAACAAUUUCCAGCAUUAUCUCUCUUGGCAUUGGAUUCUCUUCUCUGUGGAAAUAUCUCUCUUGGCAUUGGAUUCUCUUCUCUGUGGAUACGAGUACUGCCUAUUGCUUAAGGUAGAGCAGGACGGUACGAACCCGUCAUGCAUGUGUGGCCGGGCCCACAAGUCCAGCCCAUGUCGACUAGUUCAAUCGGACUUGAUGCUAAAAUAUGCUCUCAUAUUUCCCACGUAAUUCUAUGAUCCAUAACCAGCCCCUGUGCAAAGUGGAAAGCUGAAGAAAAAUGAGGUUGUAGACCAGAACCAGAUAAAAUUAUUUGAUUAUAAUGAUUAUGACUAAUUCGUGUUACUUGUAUAACAGAUCCCUACAUAUGAAAGUUGUCUAGUUGCAUUUCAAUAGCUCAUUUGAAAAAUAAGAAACCUAGAGACUUUUUCACUUCCUCAUAUCACCUUGACAGAAUGAAAGUUUCUCAAAACAACGAAAAUAGAACUCAAUGGCAGGGACUAAACAAAAGAACAGAACAGGGAAAUGGAACAAAUAGAUAAGCUAGAACAAUACCAACUUGAGGCUUGACAGAUAAUAUGAUGACAUCACUGUCUUCAACUACUGAUUUUUGAGACGCACAAGUUAAAUGAAAUGACAUCAAUCCUUAUAUAUGACAAGGCAACUGUGACUGCCCCAAGCCCUAGACCCAAGUUUCACUGAACAUAAGAAAUGUUACACCAAAAAGAAAUAAUAACAUGAUUUUAAGAGAAACUAAGUAUUCAAUAACUAUUCAUUUUAAGAGAACUUAAUAUUUAGAAGGGGAAAAAAUCUUUAUAUUUAACGACUUUGAUUUCAAGAUAAAUACUUUUAACAAUAAUCAUCAAAAAUCCAAAGAAAUUCAUAAAAGAGAAAUUUUCCUAAAUAUUUUUCUUGAGUUCCACAACCAAAAACCACUUGCAAUCAUCGGUGUCCUUGAACAAUUAAUUUCCUAUAGGGGAAAGAGAGGAGUCAGAUAAAAUCUCAAUAAACAAGUAGCAAGUAGAGUACAUUCAACAUGAAUACUACAUAAUCAUACUUACAAGUGGAACAAUGUGAAUUUGAAGCCAAUUCUUUUGUAGGCCCGAAUUUCACAUGUAGUACUAUAACUCCUAUCCAUCUUUAAUAACAUAUCAUAUUUGAACUCAUAACAUAAUUGAACGUAAGAAGAUACUCAAAUAACUUUGAUAACUCUAAACUUCGUCCAAUUUUUCUCAAAAAAAUUGCGUGAGCGGGGCAGGAAGAGAUGGCGAAUUGAGUGGUAUAUACUCACACACAUACACUUGGUAUUAGGUUUUAGGGGGAAUAAUUUUUUUUAUAAUCCUAGAAAAUAAUAAUUGCCUUCUAAUUAAAUAUGCACACAUAAUUUUGCAAGCAAGAAUCUCAAAUUUUCCAUAAGUGUAAGUCAAACAAUACGACAAAAAUCCGUACCAGUUUGAUUGAAAGAGCAUUCUAGGCUUAAAUAGAUGACUUAACAAUAAAUUAUAUAACAAGAAUAUAAUUCCCUUAGCCAAAGAAGAUAGUUCUUUUAUUUUUUCCAAAACACCAAAUCUAAGUUACUGUUCCUAGGGCGAAGAAAACUGCAUUUUCAGAAUUUGCAAAUAGGUCCCUCAAAUAUGGACAACAAAACAAUUUUGAACCAAACUUUUGAACUCUUAAAAGUAGGUCCUAGUUUCAAAAUCAACAGUCAAGGCCUAGAAUUGGAGGUUUUACAAUCUUUUCAACUUAAAAUUAAAUUUCGUCCACCUUGGUUGUCGUCAAAAGUUGGGAGAAGUUAAAAGUUUUCAAAGUUCUUUUUCAAAUGAUAAUUUCCCCAACAUUCCUUGUCCAACCUUCAAGAAAGGUAAACAAGCUUCAUGUGGUUAGCGGCUAUAAUGCACCAUCAUGUAAUGUUCAACACGAAAAUUGGAGCUGAUGCAACAAGUCGGUAACAUGUUGAUUAAAAUUUUUAAAAUUCUUCAUCAUAUAGUAUAAAUUUAGUUUUAUAUUUGUGAGUAAUUUUUUUAUUAAAAUCUUUUAAAUAUAAGUACCUAUUUAUUAUUUAACAAUAUUUUUAAGUUCAAAAUAUAUAAUAUUUAUGAUAAAAAAAAAUGGUCAUGGUAGUGUAUUUGAUUAAUAUCGAUAUCUGACACGCCAUCCUAUUUGAAGUAUUCAUGCAACACAGGUUAGCGGGUCAUCUUUAUUUAUUUAAAAACAUAUAUACUUUUCACUAUUUUACAAGUCCAAAUAUGAUGUGUAAGAUGGAUUGGAAUCGUAGUAUUAAGUGAGAAAUUUGAUAAUAUGAAGGAUUGGCUUCAAAUUCUCGUUCCUUCCCUUAAAAUAUUAUUAUGUAAUAUCACUAAUUGGACCAUUUUUUGUUGUAACUCCACCUUGCUACCAGUUUUAGAGACUUUGUAGCAUCCUUCUCUUCCGUCUACGCCAAAUUAAUGGUUAGCAGGUGACCCAUGCUUGGAUGUGGUUUGCAGUGGUGGAACUCAAGAAAAUUACUUUACAAAAAUUUCUUCUUUAUGAUUUAUUACAUUUUUAAUUUUAUGUAAAUUUACCUAAAUAGACAUAUAUAAAAUUAAAUAAAAACAGAUCAUUCUAAAUUCAUCCACUCAUUUAUUUUAACUAAACUCUUUUGAACCUUUUUAUAUUCUUUCAGAAUUUGUGUUUAAAUAAAAUCUUAAUUGAAUGAAACUUAUCAGGACAACAAACGACUCGCUGAAAUUGAAUGUUACUAAUAUAAACAGUAGAAGUACCUCCGCAAUAAGAUUUUUAUAUGAAUGAUGUUCAUAUCUCAGAUUUAGAUGCGCAAUAUGCCCAACAGUUACGAAAGUUGAAGGAAUAAUCAUACCUUGCGGAAGCAAAACCUCCAAAAUCUGUAACAAUUACAUAAUCGUCAUAUUAUACGAGCUCAAGAGGAACUACUAUAAUCCAAAGACAUUUUAAUAAUUCAAUGCACUGAGCUUCUGCCCGCAGCACAUAUCAGCAUGGAGUCAAUGAGUUUUCACUUCUUGUAUUUAGCUUACAAACUAAAGUGAAUAAAAAUAGGGGAAAAAUUUCUAUGGAGCAAUUUUCUUAUUGUGAUGGCAGUAUGAAAUCAUUCAAAAGAAAAUACAAAUGAUAGAAACUAUAACACUUCGGCUUUUCUUGCCAAUUAAAACACAGAAAUACAAUGGACAAAUUAUUUGUUACUUAGACCCUUGUAAAAAAUGCAAGAAAUAUCCGUAUCACAAACUUGACACGUGGAGAAGGGCUUGGUAAUAAAUUCCAAAACAACGUUACAGAUGUUUCAUAAGUUAUAAGACUGUUUUGAAAAAAAAAAUGCCAAUUGUCCAUAGAAUGCUGUAUAUUACAUUGGACAUUGUUUUGCCAUGGAAUGAAGAACAAGAGUUCAGAAAUGUACCAUCUUUCUUGGAUUAAUUGCAGACUUUCACACCACAUCUUAUACAAAUAUAAGAAAACCACUAUUUCUGAUUCCAAAAGCUACCCUCUUGUUUACCUCUUUUUUCAUUCAUGAAAGGAGUAUUGAAAUUUUUCCAUGUCUACACAUCCAGAGUUUUAGAGGUUUGAUAAAGUUUAACCUUGUAAAAUACCCAUUAUUAUCGCCCAAUUGAAGAUUACAUUAAAUGCACAGAGUCUCACGUCAUCCAAGUUUUUAUAAAACUUAGCAGAGUCGAAGUGCACACAGAUCGUGUGUAAACAUAUGUGUAGAACAGACAGAAGAAAGAAGCAUGAAUAAAAGUAUAACAUUCAUGUAGAAACAAGAAGCUAGCAAGAAAAAGGAAAGGCAAAAAUCAGAAAAGUGCAUCGAAUGUCUCAUUCUGUUCCCAGUAAUAAUAAACAAAGUCUCUUACAUAUAAUGGGGAUGAAUAUAGUGAUAUAUUUUUUUUGAAAUUUAGAAAUUAUUUUAGGGAUGUAUUUAGAUGGGGAUGGAUAUAUAAAAUAUGUGUGGAUAUAUAGUGUUUAAAUGAACUAAUUCAAUAAGGACAAUAUUGGAAUGUUACGUGGAUGACAAUAGUAAUUUUUUAAAAUUUUAAUAAUUUAGUGGGAAUGAAUAUAGAAUGGGAUGAAUAUAUAAAAAUCAUGGAUAUAAAUAGUCGUACCCUUUAGAUAUUAUCUAACUGUUUCAUACCCUUUAGAUAUUAUCUGACUGUUUCAUAGCAAAUGGGCCUUUGAAUUUGCACUCUGAAAUGUAAAAGACAUGUGCCUCUACAAUGGUAAUCCUUUCAUUCACCGCUUGUCGUUUUUACCACUUUCAAAAUUAAAGAGAACAAUGGGUGGUUGGAGGCAUGGGGUAAAAAGGGGAAAACUUAAAGUAGAUUCUUCAAAAUUCACAUGCAACCAUCCUUUAUUGUCGUAACCUUCAAUUAAUUGAAAUUGGACUGCUCUGUACAAUGGGUAAAUAAUCUCUAAAAAUGAGCAAUAAAUAUGGAACAAACAGGCGCAUAUUGUAUGGAAAAAUGCUGUCUAUAGUUACUUCAAAUAAUUGUCUGGUCUGUCCUCAGUGGAAACUGACGUGUAAAGGUAAGUUGAUGGCCCGGUAAUUGAAUUAUUAAGAGAGUGGAAAAUGCUGUGCAGUUUGCAUCAUUGUGAUAAAGCAAUCGUACAGAAAUUGGAAAUUUCAGUUCUUGAAUGUAAUGGAAGACCAACACCCUUCAGCAAAUAACACCAGAGAUACCGAAUGUAAAAUUCCAAUUCCAGAAGGUGAAGGUGAAGAUCAUCAUCAGUAUUUCGAUGGUCGCCGAAUACAAAGAGUGCCCCAUUUUAUUCGAUUCAAGAAACACAACGUAGAGGAUUAUUACGCUCCUAAGAUUGUUUCCUUUGGCCCUUAUUACCAUGGCUUGCCAGAACUUGGAAUGGCAGAGGAAUUCAAGCACAAAGCCCUUACAAUGUUUGUUUCAAGCAGCGGCAAAGACAGAGAAUUAUUCUACUGCCAGAUCUUUAAAGUGAUUCACCAGAUUAGAAAUUGUUACGUUGGGGUUUCUAGAGAUUCAUAUGAUGAUGGAGCACUAGCAGAAAUGAUUCUUCUAGAUGCAUCUUUCGCUAUUUAUCUAAUGACAAUUUCCUUAGAAGAUGAAGAAGAAUAUUUCCAUUUCUGUCAACAUCUUGGAAUGGCUGCAGUGUCAUUAGUAUAUCGUGAUAUGAAUUUAUUGGAGAAUCAAAUUCCACUCUGGGUUAUUAAGCUCUUGAUUAAUUUAAUAUACGGAGAAGGAUCCAUGUUACUUUGUAAUUUCUUAAGUUCCAUGAUUUUGGAGAAUACCAGUCUAACAAGAAUUCCUGGAGAAGAUAAAAAGCAACCACUUCACCUUCUAGAUGCUUAUCAUCGACUACUUGCCCAAGAAUGGGAUACAGCAGGAAAAAUACUCGUCCAGCCUGUUAAAAAAAGUCAAUGGCGGUCGUGGAAGAAAGAGAAUCGAAAGGAAUUUGGGAAAUGCAAUCGUCAAUUUCGUUCAAUCACCGAUCUCAAAGCAAAAGGUAUUCACUUCAAACCUAGUUCAUAUUGUUUGACGGAUAUUAGGUUCAAAUCAUACACAUUUUAUGGGCAAGUUCAACUCCCGGUUUGGCUUUUCACUUAUAUUUCCAAGCCAUUCUUUAUAAACAUGAUUGCAUAUGAAGCAUCUCCAGAAAGUGACACUGGCAUUCCUAUAAUAUGUUAUGUUAAUUUCUUGAAAUCGCUCAUUGUUAAAUCUGAAGAUGUGAAGGAACUGCGAGAAAAGAAGAUACUCUUUAGCACCCUCGACAGUGAUGAACAAGUUGUUGAAGUAAUCAAAGAGAUUGAUACUUCCGGACUUGACAAUUACUAUAUUUUUGAUGAUGUGAAGAUGAGAAUCGAGAAGCACUGCAGUAGCAAGGCAAAAACAUGGAUUGCUGAAUUAAUUCAUACUUAUUUUCGCAAUCCGUGGACUUUCAUUGCCUUACUCGCUGCCACUUUUCUUCUUUGCUUAACUUUUCUCCAGACCUAUUACACAGUGAAUCCUAAGUAAAGGUGUGUGGCAAAUUCUGUUCUUCAAGUUUUAGUCGAGAUAUGUUUCGAUUCUUCCAAAAAAGAUAGGUUUGAUGCUUUUGUAUUUAUUGUAUUAACCUAUGUUUGUAUUAUAGGAAUUCAAAUCUAUAAAAGUAGUAUUAUAACAAAUGUUUAUCAGAUGAUUGAAAACAAUAUAAGUUCUUGAAUUUAUAUUUUGAAUGCUAAGAAUAUGUGAAAAAAUUAUGCCCUCAAGAUGUUAGAUUAAUUGUCUUGUCAAGAAGAUUUCACUUAAAAGAAAGAAAAGAGAAGGGUGGGUGACGUUAGGCAGGAUAGCGAUUAUCCUUCAGGCUAGCUGCAACAGAUAAUUCACAGGAAAUAAUACGAACGAGAACCCCCAAAGAUAGAGAUAAUUCACUAAAAUUCAAUUCAACUUUAUUGAAUUGUAGAAUGAUGAAAAUAACCCACAAGCCGGGUUAUACAGCUGAGAAAAUUCAAAAUUAUCGAAAUUUUACCAAAAAUAGCAAAAUCUUGAUAAUCAUACCAAAAUGAAAUACGUAAUAAAAGAAGUAUCUUGCCAAAAAUCUGGCUCAAAUCGAGUUCAUAAUCAUCUCGAAAACGGAAAAUGAAAUAUUACCAUAAAUGUAAAAAAAACUAAAAAAUGAAAAUUUUGAAGGGAAAACAGCGAAUUUUGGCCUCGAAAUUGACAUGCACCACAAUGUGUGCACCAAAAUGAGCUUUUUGAAUUGGGUUUAUAAUUGCAAUUCUGACAAACGUAGCCAAAGUUAUGGCCAAAUUAUCAAAAAUAUUCAAAAAUGUCCUAAUUAAAAAAAGAUCACAACCACUUGCCAUCUUUGUGCCAAUCUACCAACUCAUGGUAUCUUGUGCCAUCAACGUGCAUCACUUGACUCGAAACCUCUUACAUCAGUCGCCCCGAAUUGAAAAAAACUUGCCCUCGAGUUCACAAUAGCUUCAUUUGAAUUUAUAAAAUAAGGGCAUAGGCGCUUCACAUUGAAGACAUCAGAAGUCUUCAAAUGGUUGGGGAAGCGCAACCUGUAAGCAUUAUUAUUGAUCUUUCCCAAUACCUUACAAGGUCCAAUCUUCCGUUCCUUAAGCUUAUUAUACUCCCCAACAGAAAAGCAAUUACGGUCUAAUACCGCUCGAACAAAAUCACCAACAUCAAAAAACACCUAACGACAAAGGCUGUCGGCCCGAACCUUGUACUUAGCAUUACUCUCUUGAAUGGUUAGCUUCACCUGUUCAUGGAUAUCCUAAAGAUGAUCUGCCAUUUCAUCGGCCUUGUGACUAAAACGACCCACAUGUGGGAUAGGGGCUAAAUCAAGUACUCCGAAUGGAUUCCGACCAUAGAUAAUCUCAAAAGGGCUUAUUUCAGUGGUUCUAUUCUUCAAUUGGUUAUAGGUAAAUUCUACUUGAGGCAACACCAAAUCCAACUUCUUCGGUUUAGUCCCUGCCAAACUUCUCAAAAGGUUACCCAAACUCCGGUACACCACCUUGAUCUGAAAUUCUGUCUGGGUGGUAGGCGUUACUAAUUCAACCGCGUUCCUAGUUUCUACCAUACGUUUUUCUCGAAAUGACUCAUGAACUUGGUGUCAUGAUCAGAAGUAAUAGACUGGGAAACACCAUGUAAAUGCAUAAUCUCCCAGAAAUAAAGAUGGACAAUCCGGGUAGCAUCCAUUGUCUUUUGACAAGCUACAAAAUGUGUCUUUUUGGAAAAUCUGUCAACCAUAAUAAAAAUAAAAUUCAUCGCCAAUUGAGUACGGGGUAAGCCAAUACAAAAUCCAUGCUGACAUCAAUCCAAGGGGCUUCAGAUAUAGGUGAAGGCAUGUACAAUCCCGCAUUAGUGAGAGCUCCUUUAGACCACUAACACACAUAACAAUGCCCUACAUAAUGCGCCACGUCACUACUCAAUUCGGGCCAAUAAUAGUCAAAAGAAACCAAAGCCAAUGUCUUAUCUCACCCAAAAUGUCCCUCGUUAUGAAGUUCACUAAUAAUUUGCUGUCUCAAUGAACAAUCUGAAACGCACAACUAUAAUCUACAAAGAGAUAGCCAUUAUGCAAAAUGAAGUCAUGUCAUUGAUUAUCAGUUACCUCCUGAAUUAUCUUCUCAAAGGAAGGAUCUAUAGCAUACAUAUCAGGAAAUGCCUCAAAUCCUACAACCCUAGUGCUCAUGGUAGUAAGGAGUAGUGUGCAAAGGCUCAAUGCAUCUGCGACACAGUUCAGACAACUAGCUUGGUACCAUAGUGCAAAUGUGAACUUCUGCAAGUACGCCACCUACUUUGCAUGCCGUCUACCCACCCUAUGUUGACCAUUGAUGUAUUUUCAGGGCUUCAUGAUCUGUGACAAGAAUGAACUCCCUCUUUACCAGGUAAUGACACCAACGUUUCAGCGACUAUGGCAUAAAACUCUAGAUCAUAUGUGGAAUAAUUCUUUUUCGAUCCUGAUAACUUCUCAUUGAAAAAGUCUACUAGGUAUCCCUCUUAACUCAGAACAUCGUCAAUGCUAACCAGAUGCAUCACGAUUUACUCCAAAUAACUUUUCAAAGUCAUGAAGUGCCAAAACUGAAGCCUUUAUCAUCUUUUGCUUGACAAAUUGAAAGUUGGUCUCUGCCUCCCUUGUCCACUAAAAAUCACGUCCCUUAAAGCACUCUGUGAUAGGAACAAUUAGAGUGCUGAAUUUUCUUAUGAACCGGCUGUAGAAGGACGCCAAUCCAUGGAAACUUCUGACAUGUUGCAAAGUGAUUAGUAUCUAAAAGUGCUUUAAAGAUAUAUAAUUUACAAGGCAUUUUACAUUCACUUUGUUUAAAAACACUAAUGUUAGUCUCUAAUUUCAAUUUUCUUGCUGUAAAUUCAAUUUUCAUAAAUACAUGGUUAAAAAUGCAAUUAAUUAAAAUACGUAUUUACAUACAUGUCGGCAUGAGUAUUAUACAUUUGAAAGAGUAUCUAUUUCAUGUAUUUCACAUGUAUUUCCAAUUUAGAACAAGUGGAGCAAGUGGAGGAAAAAAAUGUUGAAAAGUCAAGAAUUGUGACUGUCUCAAGCAAGAAGCAGCUGUCAAUAAAAUGAUCAUAACUUGAGCUGCAGACAUUGAACCAAGGUAAUUCAAGUUGGGUUGGAAGAUAAGGCAUGUUUCUACAACUUUCAUGUUUUUUCAAGAAGUCAAAUUCGUAUCACAAGGCAGCCAAAAUUAUCGUGCAAAGACCAGCUUAUUACCUGCCGAAUACAGCUUUUCUACCUGUGAAGCAGUACUCAUUAUUUUUGUCAUAUCUGGAGUUAUAUAGAUCCAAUGAACCUGAUAUUUGGACCAAUGGAAAGCUAACUCAAGUGGAAAUAAUUUAUCUGUUGAUCAUAAGUCCAAAUUUGCUACAAAAUGUAUCUGACAAUUGGCAUCAAGUUGCAUAUUCCAGCUGUCUUGAAGCUGGACAGAAACAAGUUGCAUUGUCUACUUGCAUUUUUUAUGUUCCUUUGCAUAAAAAAGGGGACUUUGGCCACGAUUUUGAGAGAAUCAAUUCCUCUCCAUCAUAUUCUAGUUUCCUUCAUUUUCUUUGUAACAUUUCAUUAUGUAUUUCUAAACCAUUAGCUAGAGCUAGGGGUGAAAUUUUGGUGAAUGCAUAGUAUCGUCUUUGAUCUUUCAUUUUGUUCUUCAAUGUUCAUCUUUUUACUUGGUUGAAGUAUAUGUUCUACAAAUGGUUUUGAUUUGUUAAAGAUUUUGAUUUAUUGUUGACAAUUUUGGCACAAUAAAUGCUUAGAUAAUCUCUACAUUCCACAAACUUAUUUUGACAUAUUCUCUCAAACAAUUAUCAAGAUUUAUCUUUUAAUAUAUAAUGUUUUAUCUUCCAUAUGAGAUCACUCCUUAGUUGAUUUUCAUAUGAGUUAAAUUAAAGAUCAAGGGCGAUUUCUACUCAUUUAUCCGAAGUGAAUCCCCGAUGCUCUAGUGUUCGUCUUCGUCGUAUUUCCACCAACCAUUUACUACUCAUAGACUAGUUUAUUUCCUUCCAAUUCUCCGUGGUUCGACCUCGGACUUCCGAGAUUUACUACCUGCGACAACCUGCACUUAGGUUUGCAACCUUAAAGUUGUAGCACAAAGUCUUUAGCAUGGGCUAAUUCAAGAUCACCUCUAUUUUCGAUUGAUCGGCAUGAACACCAUCUGUAGACACAACAAAACCCCAAAAAGUAACAGAAUUCAUGAAGUAAGAACACUUAUUCAAAUCGAUGAAUAGGAGAUCCAUCCUCAGCAUAUCAAAAAUAUCACAGAGGUGGUCAAAAAGGUGACGCUCAUGUUAGACUAUAAAUGAGGAUGUUAUCAAAGUAGACUUCCACGAACUUUCCCAUGAAAGGCUGUAAAGCCUGAUGUAUGAACUAAAUAAAUGUGUUCGGCGCAUUGGAUAGUCCAAAGGGCAUGACCAUCCACUCAUACAACCCAUGUUGCGCCUUGAACGCCGUUUUCCAUUCAUCUUCAGGCCUUAUUCUGAUUUGAUGGUAUCUGCUUUUAAGGUCAAUUUUUAAGAAGAACUGAGAACCGGACAGCUGAUCUAACAUAUCAUCUAGAUAGAAAAUUGGGAACCUGUACUUCACUGUAAUCUUGUUGAUUGCUCUGCUAUCAACACACAUAUGCCAAUACCCAUCCUUCUUCGGCACUAGUUAAGCAGGAGUGUAGCAUCUCUCUAAUAAUUCUACCGCCUGUUACUAUAACUCUUCUACUUCAUUGGGACUGAGGUAAUAUGCUGGUCGGUUAGGUAAGCUUGACCCAGGAAUAAGGUCGAUCUGAUAUUGAAUAUCCUUCAUAAGUGGUAAACCCGGAGGAAGAUCUUCUUGCUUCAGGUCAGAAAACUCCGUUAGCAGCUGCUACAAUUCUGUUGGUAAAUCUAGAUCCUCGUUCACUGCAUUAUUCUCAUAAGGUAGCAUAGACAAGUCUUCAUGCCCAAUCUCAAUCAAAAUCCUAGACAUAACGAGCAGGUUGGUAUUAUUAACUAUUUGUUUAGGGAUAGUUUCUUCCUAGCAAGGCGCCAACACAAUCUUCUUCCCUUUGGUACUAAGGGAAUAUGUAUUCUUCUGUCCAUUAUGAAUAACACUGUGAUUAUACUGCCAAGGUCAGCCCAACCAAACAAGACAAGUAUCCAUAGACACAACAACACACCAAGCAUUAUCAAAAUAUUUCUUACCAAUUGAUAAAAAAACACUAGACAUCGCCUCUUUAUUGUUACAUUAUUACCUUUAUUCAGCCACAAUAAUUAAUACAGCUUGGGAUGAUGAUCUGUCUUUAGUUGCAGCUUCUAGACAGCCUCUUCGGAUACUUCUCACAACUGCCACUGUCAAUGAUCAUCUUAUAGACUUAAUCUGCACUGUAUAGGUCGUGUAGAAAACAUUGGUCCUCAAACAAUCGUCCUCUGAAUCGAGUUCAAAAUCAUCUCAAAAAUGACAAAUACGUAAUAAAAGAAGUGUCUUGCCAAAAAUCUGGCUUAAAUCGGGUUCAUAAUCAUCUUGAAAAUGACAAAUGAAAUAUUACCAUAAAUGAAAAAAAUAACUAGAACUGGAAACUUUGAAGGGAAAACAGUGGAUUUUGGCCUUGAAAUUGACGCUCACCACAACGUGCACGCCGAAAAGAACUUUCUAAAUUGGAGUCAUAAUUGCGAUUUUGAUAACCGUAGCCAAAGUUAUUGCCAAAUUGCCAAAACGUGUUAUCUGACAACUCGGCAUCACUCGACUUGAAACCUCCUAUAUUAGUCACUACAAGGUUGGAAAGAACUCGCCCUCGAGUUCAUAAUAGCUUCAUCUGAAUCCACAAAAUAAAGGCUUAGGUGCUUCACAUUGAAGACAUCAGAAGUCUUCAAAUGGUUGGAGAGGCACAACAUGUAGGCAUUAUCAUUGAUCUUAUGCAGUAGCUCACAGGGUCCAAUCUUUCGCUCCUUAAGCUCAUUAUACUUCCUAGCAAGAAAGCAUUCAAAGGUUAGUACCGCUAAAACAAAAUCACCAACAUCAAAAAACACCGGACAACGAUGAAUAUCAACCUGAACCUUGUACUUUGCAUUACUCUUUUGAAUGGUCAGCUUUACCUGUACAUGGAUACCUCGAAGAUGUUCUGCCAUUUCAUCAGCUUUGUUAUUGAAGCGACCCACACGUGGAAUUGGAGCCAAAUCAAGUACUCCGAAUGGGUUCCGACCAUAGACAAUUUCAAGAGGACUCAGUUUUUUGGCUAUAGAUAAUCUUAAAAGGGCUCAUUCUAGUUAUUCUAUUCUUCGAUCGGUUAUAGCUAAAUUUUGCCUGAGGCAAUGCCAAAUCCCACGGCUUUGGUUUAGUCUCUACUAAACAUCUUAAAAGGUUACCCAAACUCUGGGAUUCACCACCUCAGUCUGACCAUCUAUUUAGAGAUGGUAUGCACUGCUAAAAUUCAAUUUCGUUCCAAGUUUCUCCCACAAACUCCUCCAUAAAUGACUCAUAAACUUAGUGUCACGGUCAGAAGUAAUUGACUAUGGAACACCAUGUAAAUGCACAAUCUCUCUAAAAUAAAGAUAAGCAAUCCGAGUAGCAUCCAUUGUCUUCUAGAAAGCUACAAAAUGAGCCAUCUUUGAAAAUCUGUCAACCACAACAAGAAUGGAAUCCGAUUAGUGAGUUUUACCACAAAAAAAAAAAAAAAAAAAAAUCCAUUGCUCAUUGAGCAUGGGGUAAGCCUAAUACAAAAUCUAUCCUGACAUUAAUGCAAGGGGCUUCAGGUAUAGGUAAAGGCGUAUACAGUCCCACAUUAGUGAGAGCUCCUUUAGACCUCUGACACACAUAACAUCGCCCUAUAUAUUGGGCCACGUCACUGCUCAAUUUGGGCCAAUAAUAGUCAGAAGAAACAAAAGUCAAUGUCUUAUCUUGCCCAAAAAGUCCCUCGUUAUGAAGUUCACUAAUAAUUUGUUGCAUCAGUGACCAAUCUGAAAUGCACAACUAUAAUCAUUAAACAUUAAACAAGUAGCCAUUAUGCAAAAUAAAAUAAUAUCAUUGAUUAUCAGUUAAUCCUAAAUUAUCUUUCCGAAUGAAGGAUCUGCAGCAUAUAUAUCAAAAAAUGCCUCAAAUCCUACAACCUUGGUGCUCAUGGUGGUAAGGAGUAGUGCGUGACACGGUUCAAGCUACUAGCUUGGUGCCUUAGUGAAAAUGUGAACUCAUACAACUACGCGACCCACUUUGCAUGCGGUCUAUUUAGCUUGUGUUGACUAUUAAUGUACUUUAGGACUUCAUGAUCAUUGAUAAAAAUGAACUCCCUCUAUACUAGGUAAUGACACCAAUGCUUCAGGGACUGAACUAUGGCAUAAAACUCCAGAUCAUAUGUCAAAUAAUUUUUCUUUGAUUCUGAUAACUUCUCACAAAAAAGUUUACUGGGUGUCCUCUUGACUCAAAACACCUCCAAUGCCAACCCUAAAUACAUCACAAUUUACUUCAAUUCCAAAACUGGAGGCUCUGUCAUCUUUUGCUUAAUCAAUAAAAAGCAAGUCCUCGCCUCAUUGGACCACUGAAAAUCACGUCCCUUAAGGUACUCUGUGAUAGGGACAAUUAAAGUGCUAAAAUUUCUUAUGAACUGACGAUAAAAGGAUGUCAAUCUAUGGAAACUUCUGACAUCUUGCAAAGUCUUUGGCUUGAGCCAAUUCAAGAUCGUAUAUAUUUUCAAUUGAUCUACAUGAACACCAUCAGUAGACACAACAAAACCCUAAAAAAGUUACAGAAGUAGAGAAGAAAGGACACUUAUUCAGAUCGAUGAAUAGGAGCUCUAUCCUCAACAUAUUAAAAAAAGCAUGGAGGUGAUCAAAAUGUGACGCCCAUGUCAGACUAUAAAUGAAGAUUUCAUCAAAGUCGACUACCACGAACUUCCCCACGAAAAGCUGUAAAAGCCUAAUGUAUGAACCUCAUAAAGGUACUAGGCGCAUUCGAUAGUCCAAAAGGCAUGACCAUCGACUUAUACAACCCAUGAUGUGUCUUGAACGCUGUCUUCCAUUCAUCUCCAGACCUUAUUCUGAUUUUGUGGUAUCUACUUUUAAGUUCAAUUUUUCAGAAGACCUUAGAAUCGGAUAGCUGAUCUAACCUAUCAUCCAGGUGGGAAAUUGAGAACUUGUACUUCACUGUAAUCCUAUUAAUUGCACACAUGGAUUCAUACUCUCAUAGAUGUAGCCCUUUUCCAAUAAUUAUACCACUUAUCACUAUAACUCUUUAGCUUCCUUGGGAUUGAGGCCAUAUGCUAGUCGAUUAGGUAAGCUCGACCCUAAAAUAAGGUCGAUCUGAUGCUAAGUAUUUUUCAUUGGCAGUAACUCCGGAGGAAGAUCUUUUGGCAUCAGGUCAGAAAGCUCCGUUAGCAGCUGCUGCACUUCUGCUCGUAAAUUUGGAUUCUCGUUCACUGCACUAUUCUCACGAGGCAAUAGGGCAUAGACCACUUCUUCACACCCAACCUUAACAAAAAACCUGAAUAUAGAAAAUAGGUUGGUAUUAUUAACUAUUGGAGCAGGGAUAGUUUCUUUCCGAUGAGAUGCCAACACAAUCUUCUUCCCUUUGAUGCUAAGAGAAUAUGUAUUCUUCCACCCAUCAUGAAUACCGCUGCAUUAUACUGCCAAGGUCAGCCCAACAAAACAUAACAAGCAUUCACAGACAUGACAUCACACCAAACAUUAUCAAAAUACUUCUUACCAAUCGAAAAAGACACUAGACAUUGCCUCUCAGAUGUUACCUCAUUGCCUUUAUUCAGCCACGAUAAUUUAUACAGCUUGGGACAAUGGUCUAUCUUUAGUUGCAGUUUCUUAACAUCCUCUUCAGAUACUACAUUCUCACAACUGCCACUUUCAAUGAUCAUUUUACAGACUUUAUCUACAACUGUACAGGUUGUGUGGUAAACAUUGGUCCUCAACCAGUCAUCCUCUGAAUUGCCCUUGGGAGUUAGCAGACUCUUGUGAACGACUAGAGUCUUCUGACAAUCUCUAUAUAGUACGUCUUCAUCAUCAGCAUCAUCAUACACAGGUUCUCCAUCCUCCUCAAAUUCACCUAUCAUGUUCUCUUCAAUCAGGAGAUUUUUACUCUUCUGACCAGCCAGCUUCCUACAAUCAGUCGCCGUAUGUCUCUAUUUACUACAUCUAAAAAAUUUAAUACUUGAGUUAGAAUUGUCAUGCGGUGGCUAAUGUGCAGGCCGAGAUUCUUGAGGGCGAACUGGCUGACUACUUUUUUCCCUGACCACUGGCCUCCUGUUCUGUUGCUUUUCCAUGGCAAGUGCACCCUGGUAUGCUUCAGAAACGGUCCACAAUAAGUGAAGGCUGAGAACAUUUUGCAGGGGAUUACCUUAAUCCCCUCAAAUAUCAUGCCACCAUCUGCUCUUCCGUCCCAGAUAAAUAAUUUCGGGCUACUAGUUGAUAGAACUCCUCCAUAUAAUUGUCAAUCGUUCUCGUGUCUUGUCUCACUGAAUGGAGCUACUAAAACAAUGUUUGAGUGUAGCCAAAAUGAAGAAAGUGCGCUUUCAUCUUUUUCUUCAUCUUCUUCAAAUCAAUGAUUUUGGAAUUGCACUACUGCUCUCGUGAAUGCCUUAACUGUUCCCAUCAUACAGAUACUCUACCCUUGAGUUUGAUGGUGACUAGUUUUAUCUUGACACGAUCUCAGACCUCCUGAUACUAACAAAUACGCUCUGCUUCGUUCAACCAAUCAACAAAUCCUUUGGCCUAUAACAUACCAAAAAAUUCGGGCAUAUCCACUCUGAAACUGAGGUCUCUAUGUCGAUCCUUCGUCUACAGUGCUCCUAGACUUGAGUUCAUAAUCAUCUCGAAAAUGGAAAAUGAAAUAUUACCAUAAAUGGAACAAAUAACUAAAAUGGAAAUUUUGAUAGGAAAAUGGUGGAUUUUGGCAUCAAAAUUGACGCCCACCACGACGUGCGCGCCAAAAAGAGUUUUCCUAAUUGGGGUCAUAAUUUCAAUCAUAUCACGAUCACUUAUCAUCUUUCAAAACUGCCCUGAUUAGGGAAAUAUCACGAUCACUUUCCAUCUUUGUGCCAAUCUGCUAACUCAUUGUAUCUUAGGACUUUCAACGUGCUAUUUGACAACUCGGCAUCAAUUGACUUGGAACCUCUUGCAUCAGUGGGCAAAAUAUUGGUUGUUCAAGAUGAGUUGAUAGAAACAUCAACAUCUUAUUAAAGGAACAACCAAUAGUGCAAGGACUAGGGGAUAUAAGAUUGGGAAAUGAUUUUAUUUAUAGGCAUCUGCCAUGGUCCUAAUACAUUAAAUCUGACAAACCUUAUUGGUAGAAAGCUCUCAGCUAUACUUGCUGGCAUCAACAACCGUGUUCCCUAAAAACCAGCCUUCACCAACUCAUGAAAGCCAGCUAUAGUUGUCCUUCAAGGAGAUGCAAUGACAUUUUUAACUGUUGGGAAUUUACUUAAUCAUGCACAUCGAAAAAUAAAAUAAAUUUCAAUUCCAGCCAAUGAUCUGCUUUGUGUUUAGAUAAACUAUAAUAGGAAUUAUAGCUUUGUUGAAUUCUAAAAAUUUCUUUUGUUUUCUUGAACUUGAACAAUCACGAUCUGUAAUCCACAACUAUCCAAUUGUCUAGCUUCCAAUGAAAAUCCACACAGAGAACUAGGGUUUUUAUUUUUCUUGUGCUAGCAAGAAUAAUUAUGUUCUCUAUUGAUUUUUCAAACCCUAGAAUAUUAAUAUAAAUCUAAGUUGACUUGGCCCGUCUCUUAACUUAAUUUAGUCCAAUAUUUAAUUAAUCUAAUUAAUUAAAUUUGGUCCAUGAAUUAAUUAAUCAAAUUAAUUCAUUCGGACAUAUUAACAAGCAAUCUAGUUAAAUAAUUGUCCAACACUUAUCAAUAAAUUAAUUGCUAAAUCUCAUUCUUCUAGUUUUCCUUUUGUGUGUGACUCAUUACGUUCUCAAUCAUGAUACAAACGAUGUGAAUUAUUAUUUUGAUCUAAUCAAAAUUGAUAAACUAAAACACCCCAUUUAAAUUACCACUAAUUUGCAUCUGUCAUCCCAGAUUGACAUCUAAUAAUAUGUCAAGACAAUAUAUGUAUGGAAAAAUAUCAUGUGGUAUGACAAAACCAAAUGUGUUUGUUUACUGUGAAAAUAUAAUCAUUUCGUCAAUAAUAUCCAAUUAAUUACGAGAUAUGGAUAUGUGUCAAUCUCAAUUAUUGGUCAUAUCUUUUAUCCCACAAUUAACUCAGUGUAAGCAGAAAAUUCCUUUUAACUUAUGAGUAUAUCUUGGCCAAUGAUUUCAUUAGCAACUUAACUUGAUAAAAUAUAGAUCAUAAUCUCUUACUAUCUAAGAGUAACAAAUCAUUUAUUGAUCAGUCACAAUAUGAAUUAACUUACCCGAAUGAUGUCGUAUUAGUGGCCCUUGGCAAAGCAACAUCUAAUAUAACCAAAGUAUGACAGUUCUCAUAUUAGAUAUAAUGAUGACUUUAAGUCAAAGGACCGUUUCCACAAUCGAAAGUUAAAAAUUAACCAUUGACACUCAGAUAGUUAUCCAUGUUGAAUCUUUCCACGGGUUUCAAAUGUUUUAUUGUAUAAGAAAACAUUCAAGUGUUCAUUUAAGUGUCACUACACUUUAGCUUAUGAGAUUAACUACUUAUUUCACAAGUAAGAAAUGUCAUAGGUGAUGCUUUAUCCGUAAUAACGAUAUCCUUAUCUCAUUAUUACUUACGACCAUAUAUGAUUUAAGAUUCAGUUAUUUGUAAUUUGUAUCUCAUAAUUACAACUCUUUGUGAUUAACAAAUUACUAGGAUUUGAAUCACGAACUCUAUUAUUUAAUUUAAUUGAAUAUUAAUUAAAUAAUAGAUAUGCCAUAAAAUUGCAUCAAUUAUAUAUUAAAAGUGUUUAUGUCCAAAGUUGAUGGACCUAAGGCAUAACACUUACAAAUUCCCACUUGCACUAGAUUCAAUAACUUAUGUAUCUAAUAUCAUAAGAGUCUAUAAAACGAUCAUGUUUAUAUUGUGUCAACUAUUUGUUAGUAUAUCUACAAUAUUAUUAUUAGUGGGAAUUCAUUCUUUGCUUACAUCAUUUCUUUUCAUUAUCUCUCUGAUGAGAUGAUACCGUCUUAACACAUAAUUGGAUUAUUGAUGAAACCUUAGUUCCUUCGCUUGCGGGAUGGAUCCAUUGUUAUCAUAAUACAAAUGUAUGUAAUCAACAAUGUUAAGAACUACUCAGAGUUUAUUAAUGAACUUCUUGAUCCAUAUCAAAACCUUUAUUGCUUCUAAAAAAAUAGUGUAUAAAGCUUCCGCUAUUGAAUCAAUAUUGGUUUCCUAUUUGGAACCUUUCAAACACAUUGUUUAAGAGUAAACCAAUAUACUGAUUGAGAUAUUUUAUCAUUCUUAUUUGACUAGAAGUUAGCAUCAGUAUAUCCAUGAACUCUCAUUUCAUUUUCUUCAUAUAAAAUCUUCUCAAGAUUUUAUAUAUGCAAAUUGCGAUGAGUUAAGAAAUCUUCUAGUUCUAUCUUUACAGAUCAAGUUACUUCUAUCAUAUCUUUCAUAGAGAUAUUAUUUGACAACCAUGAUUUCAAUGAUUGAAACAUAGGGAUGUCAUUUUCUAUUAUAUAUAUAUACACGACAAUGCUCCUAUUUCUUCUAAAAUACAUGGAUCUUCCUUAUUUUUGAUAAAAUCAAAUCUUUUGACUUUUUCAUCAAAUCGAAGAUUUCAGUUCCAAGAGGCUUGUUUCAAUUCAUUUAAGAACUGAUCAAGCUUGCAUACCAUGUAAGCAUAUUUAAAUACAAAACUUUUGAGUCGUGCCUACACUUUCUCUUGUAAGUUCCUAUUAAGGAAUACAAUUUUGACAUCCUUUUGCCAUAACUCAUAGUCAUGGUAUAUAACUAUUGUACCCAAAAUCCGAAUAGACUUUAACAUGGCUUUAGGCUAGAAGGUUUAAUCAAAGCCAACUCAUUGUCUUUGUUUGUAUCCUUAUGAUAUUAGCUUUGUUUAUUAUGUAUGGAUGUUUCCAUCCAUGUCGACCUUUUUGUGUAAACCAAUUUACAGCCUAUGGGUUCUAUCCCAUUAGGCUGGUCAAUCAAGGUCUAAACCUUGUUUACAUAUAUCGAGUUCAUCUUGGAUUCCAUGGCCUCUUGCCCGUCUUUUUGAGUCAACACUUGAAUUUGUUUCUCUAUAACUAAUAGGUUCAUCAUCCUCAAUUAAUAAUGUUUGAUUAGUAAAUUUUGGAGUCGUACCUUCGAGGUUGAAUGAUCCUGCAAGAUUCACAUGGAGCUUACGUGUAUUCAGAAGUCUCUACUUUCUGAUCAAGAGUAUGUCUUUCAACAUGUACAGGAUUAGACUCAGGGUUAUCUACUUGAUUAACUAUAUCUGUGGAUUCUUGAACUCCUUCAAGUUUUAUUUUGCUCCUACUGUCAUCUUCUAGAAUAAAACCUUUUCUAAGAAUAUGACAUGUUGUGAGAAGAACACUUUCAUCUCAAUAGGAUUAUAAGAUUGAUAUCAAAUAUCUCUUUUGGAUAUCCCACAAAUAUAUAUUUAUUGGAUUUAGACUCAAGUUUAUCCGAUUCAGUGUACUUCACAUAAGCAUCAUAACACUAAACUUUCCUAUGAGAUAAAUUUGGACUAUUACAUUUCCAUAGAUCGUACGAGAGUUUUGUUGACCGGCUUAGAUGGGACACAAUUUAGUGUAUAGUACACUACAAUCAGUGAUGACCCUAAAACAAUUUUGAGAAGUUUGCAUGGCUCGUUAUUAAUCGUAUUAUAUCUAAUAGUCUACGAUUUCUCCUUUUAAAUACAUCGUUGUGCAAUGAUGUAUGCUAGAAUGUCCAGUGCAAGAGAAUCUCAUUCUCUUUUAGAUAAUCUAAAAUUCGCUACCUUGAUAUAGCUUAAUGUAAGAAUACCUUCACCUAAUUGUUUCUCUACUUCUAGCUUGAAUUCCUUAAACCUUUCAAGAAUUUCAUGCUAGUUUUCAUUGUCAUAAUGUGAUGUAAUAAGAGAAAUCUUAUCUAGAAUUAAUUAACAUGGGUCCAUAUACAUCAUUAUGUAUUAGGCCAGUAAUUAUGCAGUCAUUUCUCUUUUUCAAGUAAAAGGACAUGUGGUCAUUGUGCCUAAUAUGCGUAAUUGCAUUUAUCGAAUGAUUCAAAAUCAGUUGUCCCCAAAUAUACAUCUCUAUGUAACUUUAGAAUUGCAUUUUCAUUCAUGUGAUCAAGUUUGCAAUGUUAGAUUUAGUUGUUAUUCAAAUUAUCAGUUUUAUGUCUCUAAUAUUUUAUACUCAUUAUAGAAUUUACCAUAACCAUUAAGAUCUUAUCAAGAAAAAAGAAAACAACAAUUGUACUUAACAUUAAAAUAGUUCAUGUCCAAGCAUGAAAUUUAUUUAAUGUUCUGAUAAUGGUGGAUACAAAGUAACAUUUCUCUAAUUUCAAUACUAAGCCUAAAAGGCAGUGGCGAAAAAGUAUGCUCUUACAAGCAGUGUAGCAACCUAUGCUCAUUUUUAACUUGCAGGUCAACUUCUCCAUUUUUCAGUGUAUAUUACUAUUUAGUUUCUACAUAUUUAUACAAGUAUAGAUCCAUGUCUAGUAACUAAUACUCAAGAAGUUAAUGAUGUAGACAUAUAAGCCUUGCAAUCUCUCUUUCAAUGGUCUUUCAUUCCAAAAUGAUAACAAAGUUCAUUAGAUUUAGUAUUUUCCUUCUUCGCUUUGACCAUCUUAGCCAUCUUGGAUGCUUUUAUAAAGCAUCCUUUAGACUUCCUCUUACAACCCUUAGGGGAAUCAAUGACUAAGAUUUGCCCACUACAAAUUUUAAUAUGGAUUUAGCAACUUAAGCACAUUCAACAACUUAAUGAGUGAGCAUUCGAGCUUUUUCAUGUUAAAUUCAUAAUAAAUUGUGAAUAACUAUCUUUGGAGAACAAAGUCAAUAUGUAGGUCAUGUUUCAUAGUUGAAAUCAAUUGAGACAAAUUUUCAAUAUAGUCAAUAUGUUUAAUACAUGAGUAAUGACUGAAGAUACUUCUGCCAUUAUGCACUGUUAUAAUUGCUAGAAAAUCUCAUAUCCUUCCACAUGUGAUUGUUCACCAUUAAACUUCUUGAGAUGAUGAAUCAUUACGUUAUCAUUUAUACCCUCAUGUUGCUUUUGUAACUCAGGUAACAUAGCUGCAAGCAUCACGUAUGUUGUAGAACUAUCAUCAUCACUAUGUUACUAUAACAGCCACCUCUUCCUUAGUUGAGUCAUCAGCAAAUGUCUUUGGAAAGGGCUACCUAAUGACAUAACUAAUCUUCUCAUGCCUGAGAACAAAUCUCAGAUUGCAGUGCCUAUCAAGAAAAAAUGGUUUAAUUGUUGGCAUCUAGUAUGCCUCUCAAAUAUGUAUGGUUACUUAUGAUUCUACAGAUAUAAGUUAUGAAAGUAAACGAAUAAUAUGCAUUAAUUUAUUUAACAUGUUCUUUUAUCAAAUUAAUUAUGUUCCCACUGUUUCACUUAAAUUUAUAUCCUUCUUUUAUAAAUUUAUGGAAUCCAUACUUGACUCCUAGUGGACUUGGAUCCCAUUUGUUAUAUUAAGACCUUGAGUAUACUCAACAAGUCUUAAUAAAAUAUUUGGAUAUAUACUAUUAUCAAUUGUAUCUCCAUACAACUAUCGGAUCAUUAAACUGAUAACUUUUUGUCUUCACACAUCAUAUAUGUUGGCUUAACAUGUCUCUAGAAUUUAUCUUCUUGAAUGUACUCAGCAAAAGAUAAAUUUUGUUUAAAUCGAAACUCAUUAUUCAGAAAUAUCGAAUAUUUCAUAGCAUCAAACAUAUACCUAAUAGUCGCCUUGAGUGUACUAAACAAGCUGAGAAGAUUUAGGACUCUGAUUUUUCACUAUAAAGAUGGAAGGUCCCGAGCCAUAGAAAAGACUAGUUUGUCUAUUCCUAGGGGUAUUGCAUUGAGUUAUACAGUGCUCCAUCUCUAUGGUUUUGUCUUCUUAUUUCUUCAACUAGCUAUAACCUAUAUCCUAUACUAAUUGCCACACUGGCCUAAAUGAUUGGACACAAAUAAUAAUUACAACGGACUCCCAAAUCCAAAAUAAAUAAAAACUUGUAGUCUUAUAAAAUAAUAAGAAUAAAACUAAUCAUCUAACACAUCCACAUGAUCUAGUCCAUAAUCAUCCACUAAUAAAACAUUCACCAUAUAAAUGCUUUCGUAUUAUAUUCUUUUAUUUUUCAAGUUUCUUGCAAUUAAGGUCAUCUAAACUAAUUUAGACAAAUUGAUUGAAACAAUUAAAUAUUCAAUUAAUCAAAUUAAUCAACUAAUCAAAUUAGUGGAUUUAUUUAAUUAAACUCAAAUUUUAAUUGAAUAUCAAAUUAGAAUCCAACUCUAAUUUCAAACUUUUAAGUAGUUGAAUUUAAUUAAAAUAAAAUUUUAAUUAAAAAAGAAAAAUUAAAGUCCAACUCUAAAUCCAAGAUACUACGGCGAACUUAUUUAAUUAAAUACCAAAUUAGACUCGAGCUUUAUUUCCAAGACAAAUUUUAGGACGAGACAAUUUAAUUAAAAUCAAAAUGUAAUUAAAUGUAAAAUUAGAGUUCAACUCUAAUUUCAAGAAUAUAUUGGGGUGAAUAAUUAAAUAAAAAUGAAAUUUUAAUUAAAUACUAAAUUAGAGUCAAACUCUAAUUUAAAUUGAACUAACAUUUUAAUUUAGGAUAAAACUCCUAAAUAAAAUAAAAUUCUAUUUAUGGUCAAAAUUUAAUAUUUAAAUUAAAAUCUAAUUUUAAAUAUAGUAUAAUCAAAUUUAAAUAAAAUUUUAAAUGGGUCAAUAUUAAAAUUUGGAUCAAAUCCAAAUUUCUAGUUAAAAUUGAAUUUAAGGUCAAACAUUUUAAAAUCCAAUUUAUAACCACUUUCAAAACAAUUUUAAGUCCCUAUUCAAAAUUGCCAUCAAAACCCUUUUGAAAAUUGCACUAUGAUCCAAUUUCAAAUUGUUAAAGGCACCCCCAAAUUUCUAAAAAUUCAAACAAGCCUUUUUUUCUCAAAUUUUCAACCUGACCCAAUUUUUUCAUAAUUGUAGACAAGGGCCUCAAAUUUCUCAAAUUGCAACCAGGUCCUGCAUCCAACAAUGCUGUCACUUGAAAACCCUAGAAAAUCAUCCUUUCAUGGCGUAGCGCCGACCAAAGCUCGACAUCGGCACGACGACAACACAGGGGAUGUUGCCGCCAUCAAAUAGCGGCACCACUCCACCAAAUCAGCUGCAUAGCAUCUGGGCGCUACUGCUAUGCUAUUGCUGUAGCAAUAGCAGCUACGAUUCGUCUUUGCAGUAGAGAAUGAUGAUUGGCGUUGUUGCUACUCGUUGCUUCGCGUGCUGCAGCAAAUGCUGCCAUAGCGAGAAGCGUCUUUUCUGACCCUUUGACUCCGAUGGCAAUUGCUGUCGCUAGAAGUGUCGUCGGCCACUGGGUUCAAACCUGAUUUUCUGACCGGUAAAAAUACAUUUUCCUUUUCAGAACAUAUUUUCAAGAUUAAAAAUAAUUUUCUAAAUAAUUAGAUUCAUGAAAAAGUAAUAAGAAUCAACUUUUGAUUUUUCCUAAUAUACAAAACAACUUUUAACAAGCACAAAUUUGGCUCUAGUACAAUUGUUGGAAAUUUACUUAAUAAAUAAAUUUUAAUUCCCACUAAGAAUUUGCUUUGUGUUUAGAUAAAAAUUAUCAUAGGGAUUAUACUUUUGUUGGAUGAAAAUUAUCAUAGGAAUUAUACUUUUGUUGAAUUCUUCAAAUUUCAUUACUUUUCUUGAACUCAAACAAUCACGAUCUGUAAUCCACCGCCAUCUAUUUAACUGUCCAGCCUCUAAUGAAAAUUCACAUAGGGAAUAAGAUUGAAAGAACUAGGGCUUUCACUUUUUUUGUCCUAGCAAGAAUAAUUAUGUUCUCUACUGAUUUUUCAAACGCUAUAAACCUAUUAAUAUAAGUUCAAGUAGACUUGUCCCAUCUCUUAAAUUAAUCCGGUUCAAUAUUUAAUUAAUUUAAUUAAUUAAAUUUGGCCCAUGAAUUAAUUAAUUCGGACCUAUUAACAAACAAUCCAGUUAAAUAAUUGUCGAACACCCGUCAAUUAAUUAAUUGUUAAAUCUCAUUAUUCUAGUUCUUCUUUUGUGUGUGACCUAUUAGAUUCCCAACCACGAUACCUAAUGACUUAAAUUAUUAUUUCAAUCUAAUCAAAAUCGAUAAAUUUAAAUAUUCCUUUUAAUUUAUCACUAAUUUACAUAUUCGUCCUAGAUUGGCAUCUAACAAUGUGUCAACGCAAUACUUGUGAAAUGUCACGUGGUAUGACAAAACCAAAUUUGCUCGUUUACCAUGAAAAUAUAAUCUUUUCGUCAAUAUGAUUCGAUCAAUUACGAGAUAUGGAUAUUUGACAAUCUCAAUUAUUGAUCAUAUCAUUUAUCCUACUAUUAAGUUAGUAUAAGUCAAAUAUUUCUUUUUGACUUAUGAGUACAUCUUGAUCAAUGAUUUCAUUAUCGAUUUAACUUAAUGAAAUAUAAAUCAUAAUUUCUUACUAUCUAAGAGUGACGAAUUCUUUAAUAAUCAUUUACAACCUUGAUAUGAUACUCGUAUGAUACCGUAUUAGAGGUCCUUGGCAAAGCAACAUCUAAUGUCACCAUAGUAUGAUUGUCCUCAUAUAAGGCAAUGUGAUGACCUCAUAUCAAAUGACCAAUUUCACUACCGAAUGUUAGAUAUUAAUCAUUGACAUUUAAAUAGUUAUUCACGUAGAUUCUCCCCAACGGGUCUCCAAUGCUUUGUUCUGUAACAAAACAUCAACGUGUUCAUUUAAGUGUCACCACACUUUAACUUGUGAGAUUAGCUACUUACUUCAUAAGUAAUAAGGAUAUUCGCACAUGAUCGUCUAUCCAUAGUAACGAUAUCUGCAUUUCGUUAUUACUUACGACCAUAGAUGAAGUAAGUAGCUUGCGAGAUCAACUACUUAUUUCAUAAGGAUAUUUGCACAUGAUCGUCUAUCCAUAAUAACGAUAUCUACAUUUCGUUAUUACUUACGACCAUGGAUGAUUUAAGAUUUAGUUAUCUAUAAUUUGUGUCUCACAAUCAUAACUAUUUGUUAUUAACAAAUUUCUUGGAUUUGAAUCUACAGACUCUGUUAUUUAAUUUAAUUGAAUAUUAAUUAAAUAAUAGAUCUAUUAUAAAAUUGCAUCAAUUAUAUAUUAAAAGUUUUGUAUGUCCAAAGUUGAUUAGACCUAGGGUGUAACACUUACAUUGACUGCUAUUAAUGUUGCUCCCAAUACCUGUAUCAGCUCAAUAGCUAAGGUUGAAUGAAGUUUUGAUGCCUCAAGCACUACAACAGAAGAUAGAAUUGAAUAGUAUAUUUUGUUGAAAACAUACUUUGAAUAAAUAAGUGGGUUUCCUCUAAUUUAAAAUUUUAGAUGAUAUAGUUCGUCAUCAGUCAGAAUAGACACACGUCUCGGCUGAAAAUGGAAAAAACAAAAGAAAAAAGAUAUGUAGUCUACAUAUGAGGUGUCAUGUUAGAAGACAUUCUAAAUCCAUAGCAAAAAGAACAAGAAGAAAGAUUGCAUUAAGAAAUUUAAUGCUUUUAGAUAGGUAAUAAUAAUUUGUGGAUGAAGUGAUCAUAAUUUUGACGUGCGAUUAAGCCUAUUAGAUUACUUAGAUAAAAUAAUGGCUAUAUUCAUUUUCAAGACUCGAGUUUUACCCUUUUUCCUUGCUAUUUACCAUAGGGUUUUAUAUGAAAAUUUUGGACUUUUCUUCAAGGACUAUAGUAUUAGUUGUGUAAAUUGAGCUUUCCUAGGUGGAUUAGUAUCGUUUGCUCCACCGAGACAAUUUACGACAAUACAUUGGAUUAUAUGUAGGGUGUUUUUAUCAAGUUACCAUUUGUGAAGUAGUUAAAACUUCAAUGAAUAAUGGAUAGAAAAAUGCUUUAAUAAUCAAUUUGAAAUUUCUUAUGUAAAAAUGAAAUAAGAAAAUGUUGUAAAUUUUAUUAGUGAAUAAAAAUUAUACUACUGCAGCACUAGUUAUUAUUACCAUUGUAUCGCUAAUCUUCCCUAUAAAUAUGGACUUUGGUUCUUAAUAAUACACACACAAGUCUAUUGACUUCAUUAUUAUUAUUAUUAUUAUCAGUAUUAUUAUUAUUAUUUUCUCUUUAGUUUAUAGCACGUUAUCAACUAGAUUAUCUCAAAAUUAAAGUGAAUUAGUUAGAAAGUAAUAAUUUUUAGGAAAAAUUGCAGCCGAGGUACCAAACUUUUCGUUUAUUAGCAGACUUUGUCCAAACAUUUAGUUUGUGUCAACUACAUUCUCAAACCUUUCAAAAAUAUGCACCGAAGGUUCAAAUGGAUGGAAACCGUGUGUUUGAUCGUUAGUUGAAUAGAAAAGUCAAAAUUUGGACCAAAUUAAAAAGGGCAAAGUGGUACUUUGAAUUUUUUCUUAAUAUUAAUAAUUAAAAUAAUUAAUAAUAACAAUAGAAAAGUAAAAACAAAAUAAAUAAAAAUCAAAGAAAAGAAAGGGAAUACUGUUCAUCUUCAUCUUCACCCCACCCCACCAAAUCGUAAAUCGCACUUUACAGAGGAACAAUUAAAAGGCGAUUUGAGGUCGGAAUUAUGGAACGGAUAAUAAAACGUGAGAGCGAGAUUCAGAUCUCCCAUAUGCCCAAACACUAGCACUGCUCAUACUGCGCACAUCCAACACUGGUUGAGGGAAAUUAGGGAAUCAAAAUUUAUCAAGUCUGAUCUUUAAGAAAACUUUCGGUAAAUUCACCUUGUUCCUUUUUUUUCCCUUUAACUUCUACGAUCUCGUCUGAUAUCUCAAAUUUUAUUUUGGAUCUGAAAUUUCACGACUUAAUUCAAUAUUUGCAAUGUAAGCAUCAGACCCAACAAAUUUGGACUAAUAUUUAGAUACCCAUGGGUGGGGUGGCGUGGGGGGGGGCGGGGAGGGAGAUGAACAGUAUUCCCUUUCUUUUCUUUGAUUUUUAUUUAUUUUGUUUUUACUUUUCUAAUGUUAUUAUGAAUUAUUUUAAUUAUUAAUAUUAAGAAAAAAUUCAAAGUACCACUUUGUCCUUUUUAAUUUGGUCCAAAUUGGUCAAAUUUUGACUUUUAUAGUCAAUUAACAGUCAAAUGGACGGUUUUCAUCUAUUUGAACUUUCGGUGCAUAUUUUUGAAAGGUUUGGAACUGUGGUUGGCACAAACUAAAGGUUUGGGCAAAAUCUGCUAAUAAACGAAAAGUUUGGUACCUCGGUUGCAAUUUUCCCUAAUUUUUAUAAGAAUAAUCAUGUGUAACAAUAAAUGUGUGUAUCAUUCUGCCAACGUAAUCAUUUUUAUUUUAUUUUAUGUACAAUUAAAUGCUAUGAAAGACAAUUAGUGAUUUCUACCCCAAUGCUUCAUUGGUUUCUGCCGAUUUUUAUAUUUGACUUUGGUUUCUAAUUGUCUACUAAUGUUAAAUGCUAAUUUUCUAAUUGUUUUUAUAUUUUUAUCCACAUAUUAUCAAUAAUGAUUACUUUUUUUUUUUUAAAGCACGUCUUUAUUGAAUGUUGUGUCUGUAUAUGAUUUUUUUACUAAUGCAUGUUGGUAAUUAAUUUUUAUAUAUAAAUUCAUAUCUUGUCUAUAUGGUAAUUAAUAUUUUUAAUAUGAUUAAAUACUUUUAGAUGUUCUUUUAUAAAAUUCAAAUUAAUAAUUUAUCAUAUUGUUGAUUUUGAAGUACCAAACAUUAGAAUUAAUAUGUUAUAAGAAUAUUAAUCGUCGAUCUAUCUAUUACAAAUCAUUUGUUGUUGCUUCUGAAGUAGAAAAAUACUAUAAUGAAUAUUUUAGAAGAAUAUUACUUACUCUUAAAGAGUGUGAAUUAUGAUUUUCAAUAUUCCAAAAGAGUAUUGAUAUAUUACUCUUGAAGAAACAAUGACAAAAUAUAAUAUGUUCUCGGAGUAACACAAGUUUCAAAGAAUAUAGCAUUUUGUAUUAGUCUUUAUCCUUGAAUAUAUAACUCAUGUAAUGUGACAUAGAUUACUUGAUUAGUUAUUAUGUGACAAUACAAUGUUUUAUCAUACAUUCUUUAAAAUUAAUUGUAUUUUCUUUUACUUUAUUGUGUAGUUAUCAAAUGAAAAAGGCAAAACUUGAAUUUGUUUUACUUGACAUAUCCGAAAAAAAUUAUUUCUCAUGGGUCCCGAUGUUGAGGUUCACCUUGUCUCAAAGGGUCUGGGAGAAACAAUAAAAGAACUCAAAGAAUUCCCGUAGGAUUGUGCAAAAACACUUAUCUUCUUUCAUCAACAUCUCCAUAAUGGAUUGAUAUUCAAAUACCUUAUUUUGAAGGAUCAACAAGUUCUUUGAGAAUAUUGAUUGAAAGAUUUGAUCACCUGAAGACUCUAUCGUCCUCAAAGCUUGCCAUGAAUGGAAGCAUCUCCGCUUGCAAUACUUUAAAAUUGUUAGUGAGUACAAUUCUAAAUUGUUCAGAAUAUGUUGAAAAUUGACCUUGUGUGGAGAAAAAAGUUAAUGAUGAAGAUAUGUUGGAGAAAUUUUUUCUAGCUUUCAUCCUCGAGUUGUUGAACAAAAUAAUGAAUUGCUGAUAAAAAAUUAUGGAUUACAUCCGACUGGAUUUGUAAGGAUGUGGAUGUAGAUGUAAGAAAAACUAGGCAUGAAAUAAUCAACAAAACUAUCAAUUUUAAAAGGCACAAAAUAAAAGUAGCAUAAUAAAAAAAGAGCACGAAGAAAGUUAUUUUAGAUAUGGAAUGAAAGGGCAUGGUGCACGUAACUAUUGUACGGUAAAACAUCUCGUGGAUAUCUAUCGAAAUUCAAUCAAAGGACAAGAAAGAUUGGAAACAAAUUUUGCUAAUUAUUAUGGUCCAACUGAUUGACUCACCUAAUUAUGGUCCAAUUGAUUGACUCACCUAGACAUCUCUAAUUCUUUUUGUUGAUCCAAAUGGCAAUAUUGAUCAUUUGAUCGGAGGUGGUGUGCUCGGUAAUAUUGAUUAAUUUACUUUUCAGUGUCUUAGUAGUUUAUUUUGAUUUAAACGUUAGUCUGAAGUAUGUUUUUAUUAUUUUCCUCUAAUUUUAAAACAUUACAUUUUCAAACUAUUUCUAGUUGAUUAAAGUAUUUCUUAACUCCUUUUGAUUGUAAAACUAGUUUUUCAAAAUGUUUAUUUUGUCAUACAUUCAGGAUGAAUUGCCAAAAUACCUAUUAGUCGAUUGUACAACUACGAAAAAUAUUUUUCAAGACAAAAAGUAUUUUUUAGACUUGACAUGAUAAGAAAAUAAUGCAAAUACGAUAUCAGGAAUAUAAAUAUCUUUGAAGGCACCCGAAGAUCUUGUAUUAUUAUAUUAAAUAAUACAAGAUUAUAUGUUGGUGAUGCACUUUAUUCUAACAAAUGCAGAAGAAAUUUGCUUGGAUCUAAAGAUAUCCGUUGCAAUGGUUAUCACAUUAAAACGAUACAAGAAUAUAAUAUAGAUCAUCUUUGCAUAACUUCAUUUAUAUUUGGUCCGAGGCAAACUAUACAUUCAUAUAAUGAUCAAAUCAAACAUUAUCAUGAACUUGAAGUUCGUUGAUGUUUAUAAAAAUAUUGUUCGAAUUAAAAUUUCGACAAGUAUGUGGUUUGUUAGCAAGUAAUAAAGUGGAUUUGAGUUCAAAUAUCGUCUCAUAGAGAGCGAUUUUUUUAAUUUUAUUUUAACUGUUGCAACCUUAACCAAAAUAAUCUACUUAUCCAAUUAUGGGUAAGUAAACUAAACUAAAUGCAAAUUGUGUUAAAUGUAAGUUAAUGUGUUCUAAUGUAUGACAAGCACACUUGGAUCAUGAAUUCCCAACCAGUAAUCCUUUUUAAUCUUAGUUCUACACUUUAACAACACGAUUAAAUUUUUGAGGAAUCAAUGUUUCUAUUUUAUUUAACAAUCUCUCCUAAAUAAUGUUAAACCUACUCUCAUAUAUGACCCGACUAUAUUACUAUGACGAAUGCGAACAUACAAGAAUUAAUGAAUUUUUAUGAACACUUAAAGAUUCACAUAGAGUAUAGCGAUAUAUUUCUGUCCCCUAUCGGACACUAUAACAAUUUGCACCAUGUUGAGCCUAUUUUCCUUCUUUUGAAUGCAUAAAAUAAGCCAUCAAAUUUAUACAACUACCGUGCAUAAUAAUUGUAGAGAAAAUAUAUUCAUGUAAAUCAUUCAAAAUUAAAAAACGUGUUUUUUUUAUGUCAAAUAUGUAAAAUUAAAGAUUAAAAACUCAUUAUACUAGUUCAUCGUUCUCCUAGCACAAAGAAAUCUAGCCUAAGAUGUUAAGAAGAAAAUAAAAGAUAAACUUUUUUUUAUCACCCUGAAAAUCUUGAAUUCAAUCUUGAUGUUCUUUAGUCUUGAUGUGUUUUUUGCCUCCUUUUGCAAUUAAUUCUCUUCCCUCAUUAUGUUUUGAGAAUGGGCAUCCAUAAUCCCUCUAAAGAGUGUCAAAAGAUCUCUAAAAAUCAUGUAUAUCAUAGGCUAAACAGAAGUUUCAUUGUUGGAAUUGAAUUCUGAAGAAAACAAAAAAUUUGGACAGAAUUGGCUUGGGCGGGCACCGAGUAGAAAAUGGGACGGCUUCCCAGGCAUACAAAAUAGGUCUUGUAAUGGAGGUCAAGAGCCAAGAGGAUAUAACUGGGCGGUUUCCGAGUUAUAAAAACUUCAAGAAUUUUCCUUUUAGCAGUUUCUUCAUUCUUUUUUCCAUCUUGGUCCUCCAUGUUAAAUUACUUCGAUUUUGGUACUUCAACUUUUAUUCAAAUGCAUAUUAGUCUUCAAACAUCUAUCCAUCGACCAAUUGAUCAUCAUUUCUUUUCCAAUUUCAUAGGGUCCAAAAUUGAAAUAAGAUGAGACUAAUCGAAAUUAAGUAAAAAUUCAAUGUUAAGACAACACAAAAGCUUAGUAAUAAGGCCUAAAUAACGGCAGAAAAAUGCAAUUAUCAAACAUCACAAACUAAAAACAUUGUUUGUCCUCGAAUAAAACAAAACAAAACUUAGGAAGAAAUCAUAUUACUAACCCAAGCAAAUCACCAAUAAACAGAUCAAUGUUGAACUGCUUAUCAUAUGCCUCAGGCUCAAAUUUAAGCAACACUUUAAAAAGAUCCAAACAACAUCCAAAAUAAAUUUCUACUUAUCUGAUACUCGACUAAGUAUGUGUGAUUAGCCAAUAUUGAGCUCAUAACCAUACUAGAACAUAACCAAUCAAGUUUUGUCGAUUCACUUAUAAUCCCAAUCCUCUCGUGGCCAGUUUUUCCUCACACCUCUCACGCAAAAAUCACUCUUUAUGCUUUUCUCUUCAAUCUUGAGGCAUUUCUAGCACAUGUAGGUUCCUAAAAAUUAUUAUGAUGCCUUUUUCCACACAAAGUGGUCAGAAUUAGAUACUUGUAAAUUUAGAAGGGAGAUGGAAAGUAUUUAUCAAAAACACACAGCCAAACUCUAGGGUUCAAAUCUCAAAGUCGUUGUCGGGUACAUCUUGUUUUUGAUGUUUAAGAUCUCUCUCUCUUUUUAAAUUUCCUUUUUUUUUUUUUUUUUGACAUCACCUAUGCAAAACUUCUCUCCAUUAAGCUUUAUAAAUGACCCAUAUAUUGAGCUUUAGGUCAAUGACUCCCUAGUCAGAUGACUAUAGGGCACCAGAUUUUUAAAUAUUUUUACAGGUUUAUAACUCGAGUAAGAAGCUACGAAGAGGGGUAGAAGAUGUAUCAUUUUUUCUUUUGUUAUGAGAAAAUCUAAUUUUUCAUUCUUUUGAAAUCUUAUGGGCAAAACUUCUUUCCAUUAAGUUUUCUAAAUGACUCAUGUAGUGAACUUUAGACUGAUAACUCCUAAGUCAGAUGACUAUAGGGCACCAAGUUCUUAAAGACCUUAAUAGACUUAAUCAUUCGAGUCAUAAAUGCUAAGAAGGAAGUAAAAGAUGCAUGAGAUUUGAAUAUUAAAAAUGAUCAAUGCCCGUUCUAUACGCAUUAACUCAAACUCCUUCAACCAACGACGGGAUCCAAUAACUCCAAACUAUCAAAUUUCUAUGAAGACAAAUACUAAUCUUCCCAUCCUUAAACUGCUUUUUAGCGAUUUGGUUUCUAUACUAAGGAUUUAGGAAUUCACUCAAGUAUCAGUCAACAACAUCAAUAGUUAAAUCCAGAUAAUAAAGUCAUGCCCUAACAUAAAUGAUAAGUCAAUAUAAGUCAAUAUGGCUAUGUGCUCAAAUAAUUAAGUCUAGCAUGGAUAAGUACUCAAGUAAAAGCACAUGUUAUAGUGUUAUCAGUAAUCUAGCUAAAGCCAUACUCAAUUCAAACAAAUAUCAUCAUAGGUGGCAAGUCAUUCAACGCUAAACUAGACAUUAUUUUUUAGUUUUUCAAAAAAAAUAAAUAAAUUUAGUUAGACAGUUAUAUGGACUUGAUCAUAAGUAGAAGGAUUAAGUAUAAUUGACAUAAGUAUCAUGAGACCUAUCCCAUCCCAAACAAAAUAUUACGUUGUCCCCAAUGUAAAAGCAAAAUCAAUCAUUAAAUAAAUGAGUAAAGUAUCAGAUACUCUCUGGGAUGGAUGUGGAUGAGUGGGAGGACUCAGGCUGGUUUGGCUGGACGAACUAGUAGUUAUGCAGGAUUCGACUGUCCUUGCUAUCUGGCAUACGUUCAGAUCAUCCAUCUCCAAUUGACUCCCAAAAUGUAACAUCUGCUCAUGCACUUGAUUAUAAGCAUAUGUGAUGGUUCUUUGAUCAUGAUGCAUCCGGUCAUCACUUAGCUGGAAUCCUCGUACUUGUACACUCACUCUUUGCAAAUCCCUCAGCAUGUCCAGUUGCGUCCACUGCAUAGUCUCCAAAGCAUUUUUCAUGGUGCCAAUAGAUCUAUCUAACUCUACUUGGGUGACCUGCAUCUAAGCAAUCUAUCUGCUCAAGAGGGCUGGGUCGGCAACUAAAGUAUGUUAUUGUAGGGAAUGAGCUUACUCGAGGUUAUGUACUCUCUCUUCUCCUCUAAGGUGAGCUUCAGAAUUUUAUUUUCCUUUUGCUGAUUGGGAUAUCUGGAGGAGAAAUUUCUUCAUUUGACAGAAGUGAGAGCUCGACAGCCAAACAGAUCCUACUAAUAAGGCAUGGAAACAUGGUACUACAUUGAGAAUCGAUCGAUGCAGCCAACUCUCAUAUGAAAGUGAAGAUGUUGGAACCCAAGUCAAUUUUGCGACCAUUUACGAGAUGAUAAAGUAGUUGUACCCUUUAUUCAUUAGACCUACUCCAUUGGGUUGUAGGAUGGAUGUUGGUAGAGAUAAAGCUAUGAAGGAGUCUCAACUCAGAGGUCAACUGAUUAUUCAUGAGCCAAUCCAUAAGAUGUAGCCAUGUGUCUCCUCUACUGUAUAAAAAUCGAGCAACCAAUGCCAUAUCUGGCUCAAUAGUUAGUGACUUUGUAUCAGUGAGAUUAGCUCAUAAUAUCUGUUCGAUUCAUGCAUGAUGACUCUGGGGUGUCAAUUUCAGCAUUAAAGUUGGCGAAGAAAUCACUCACUAAGGUAGGAUAAGCUGCAUAAGGAGUUCCAACAACUUUACCCCAACGACAGUGGUAGACAAUCCUUUCUAAUAAACUUCCUAGAAAAUCAUCAACCAAAACUCUCCUCUCUUGGUAGAACUUUUUAUCCUUUCACUUCUUUUCAAAAUUUUCACUGUUUUCCACAUUUAAGAACCUUGGUAUGUCCCCAUUGUUAAGAUCUACAUUUGCCCUCUAACAGCGGGUUAAUGUCUUGCUAACAUUAGACUUCCCUUUCUCUUGGGUUGUAGCUUUUCUUUUUGGUGGCAUUUGUACCUAGGUAUGAAAAUAGAAAGUGUAAGCAUAACAGAUGAGAAACAUAUAAGAAGGAUAGAAUGCCGAAUACCCCCGAAUCAUACAACUCUAUGUUAAUUUUCAGGUGCCAACAUGUAAAACCUCAUGCCAUGCCGAAGAAAAUGUCAUAAUAUCCAGUAUGUAAUCAAGGACUGAGAAAAUAUUGCUCACAUUCCUAAACGAAUGAGAAAAAUGUAUUUUUUGCUUUUUAACAUAAGGCUAACCAAGGACUUUCAUCAUUGGAAAAUGUGAAGAAAAAGUGAACUUUUUUGGAGAUAUUUUUGGGCAUAUAAAAGAUGCUAGGAUGGUCUUACUCGUGUUCAAAGUUGAGGUCCAACGAGGUCGUUUAGGUUAGACGAGGGAAAGAGAAGUUGGUGACGUGAGGUGGUAGAUGCUUAGGUGAUGUCAAGCUAUGAUGAUGCUAAGUCAGGUUUGGUGUUUUCUACCAACAACGUCAAUGGAUUCCAAUACCAAAAACAACCCGUUGUAUAUCACGUAUGCCAAAUGCUAAAAUAACCCCAAUUAGUCAAGAACCUCGUAAGCAUUUUAGCAAACACAUUGAGGGCAUUAUGUUUUUCCCUAAAUUUUGGAAAAAAUAAGCAUUAAUUCAAGCUACUAAUUUCUCAUCACAAACAUAAUCAACUACUCCACAUUCUACCUAAUUCCAAUACUCCUUCUCAAACAUGAAAAUCAUCAAAGAGCACAUGUUCAGACAAUUUGGAGAAAAAGAAAAUGGAGUUACACCACAUACCUUGAUUUUAGUGCUGUAUGAUGAAUUUAAGGCAUGAGGCACUAUAAUUCAUUGUCUAGUGAACAAUUGAGUGCGUUUAUGAGAUGGGGUGAAAUGUCGUGUGCUUGAUAGGUAACUGGUACGGGUUUUGUGUUCGUGUGAGCUGAAGUUGUUGAUUGCUUGUGUGUUAGAGUAGGGAUGUCAACGAUCCGACCCGGCUCAUGAGUUGAAAUUUGAGGUUUGAGCUCGGCUCGAGUAAAAUGAUCGAGCUUUUUUUGGGCUCGAACUGGGCCGAGUAAAAGCUCAACAAAACAAAUAGGCUCAACCUGAGCUUUCGGCUCGGACCCUUCCGGGACGAGUUGGGUAUGCUCGAUUUUAGUGUGGUUUUCUUUUAUUAUUAUUAAGAACAUGGUAGCCAGGUUGCUACCAUAAGGCAACGUGCUGUUGCCUUUAAAAAAAAUUUUAUUUUUUUGUAUUUUUUUUAAAUGCUUGUGAACCCGAGCCAGCUCGAGCUAUGCCCGACACCCCAAAAUGGGGCUCGGCCCGAGCCUCGAGCCGAGUCACCGGCAGCUCGAGCUAACGAGUCUGAUUGCCAUCCCUAUGUUAGAGGGAUGGUGUCCUGUGUGCUGUGAGUUUGAGAGGUAAAUGGUGGGGGUUUGCAUAUAAAAACAAUUGGGCCGAUUUUUUUUAUUGGUCGAUCACCCAGUGUAAUACUAAACAGUCGCCCAGUUUUGCAAUUAAGGGCCAACAUUUCUAGGUGAGCUUUUGCUAUUAAAGCUGGGCACCCGUCUAGUUUACUAGCUUUUUUUAACUACAUGUUUUGUGUGUUUUGAUUAAAAUUACAAGUUUAAGCCUAAAUUAGUGCUUGUUUCAUAUAAUGAAUUUGAAACUACUAGGACAAUUUGAAAAUUAUGUAAGAGCCUGUUUGGUUUGGAUUAAAAUACAAUUUUAAUCUAAAUCAAAGUCAAACAAUCAAAAUUAAGUACAUCUUUUAUGGGUCCUACAACUUUUCAACCACACAUUUCAAAUUUUUUUAUCACAAUCUAUUAGAAGUUUUUAAACUCCACCAAACACCCUCUAAAUGUAUGAAUCUCUAAAUGAGGUCCGAAAAUACUAAUGCACUUUCUAAAACUAUAUGUAAUGGGAUGAUUAAUCAAAAUAAGUGGAGAGGGAUAGAAACAUGGGUUGCAUCCCCACAAAUGCUUGAUUUAUAAUCUAGAGCUUGACUUUUUGGUGGCUUACUCCAGUGUCACAAGAUGAAUGGUAGAAUUUUUUAUUUUUAUUUUUUGAGAAUCUACUGUUCCAAUAUGACUUUAACCAUUGCCCAUUAACCUUAAAAGUUCAUUUGGUUUCAUGAAUGAUGGCAACUAUCUCAAAAGGAAACACUUUGGUAAUCGUGUAUAGCCCUGCUCACUGGACCUCAAUUUACCUGGAAAAAACUUGAGUCUAGAAUUGUACAACAAGACUUGUUACCCAACCUCAAACUUUUUUCUUUGCAUAUCAUGCCACUUUUUUGGUGCACUCCUUGUAGAGCUUUCCAUUCUCAUAGGCUUUCAGUCGAAACUCAUCCAUUUCAUUCAACUGAAGUAAUUUCUUUUGCCUUCAGAUCGAAGUUUAUGUUCUCCACUGCCUAGUAAGCUCGGUGUUCCAACCCAACUAGAAAAUGGCACGCUCUUCCCAAAAACCAAAUGAUAGGAAGACAUGAAUAUAGGUGUUUUGAAAGAUGUUCUAUAAGCCCACGAAGCAUCAUCAAGGUUUUUAGACUAAUCUUUUGUCGAAGAACUCACGGUUACCUUAAGGGUCCACUUUAAUUCCUGAUUGGAGACUUCAACUUGCCUGCUCGUUUGAGGACGACAUGGGGUUUCUAUAUGGUAUUGGACGCAAGUGUAUGGUGUCAAGUUUUGUAAUACAAUAAUGGAGUUAGAGUGUCGAGCCCACAGAGAUUAUAAUUUAAUUUUAUACUAAGUACUAUAAUUGAAUAGCUCUUGUUUUAUCUAGAAAAUUGAAUUAUAAGAUCAAUGGUCUUGAACUAAUCUAAUGAUGAAUAUGAUGACAAAUUCAACAAAUGAAUGCAAGUUAGAAGAAUAAACAAGAUGAGAAAGCCAAGGGAUAUGAUUUCUCCUAACUAUCGAAUAAGAUUUUCAAAAACCUAAUUAUCUUUAAUCAAUUUUCCAUGUUUAUAAGAAAGAACCCUAAUAUUAUUUCACUCCCUCUCUCGAAUGUAUAUUUCAAUCCUAAUAUCUCUAUUCCGAAUUAAAACCUAGAAAUUAUGAAAUUCAUGGUUCUUAGAUGGAACAUGCUUCAAAUAAUUUAUACUUUCUCUUGAAAUCAAUAAAUUUUAGGUUGUGUUAAUCUUAUUAUCGUGCCUAAAUUCCUCUCUCUUGAGUGCCAUAAUUGAAUAGCAUCUACUCAUUUAUUUUGUGACCAAUUAAUUUAAAUCAUUAAAAUCAAUAACACAAAUAAACAAGAAGGAAAAUUUCAUAGAAAUAACUAAAAUAAAUUCAAAUCACACUCUCAAGUCUAAUCAAACCUUAGAAGAAUAGUUUAGAUCAUGAUAGAAGCCAUGAAAUCUACACAAUUCAUAAAGAAUAACAUGUUGGAUAGUUGAAUCAAUCUUCUUUGUCAAGUUGCCUUUGCCUCCUUGAAUUCUUAAAUUUUCCCCCCUUCUUGCUUGGUUGAAUUGUCCCUUGAAAUGUGACCUUUAGGUUUUUGAAGUCUUGGAAGAGUUAGGGUUGGAUUGGGCCAAGAAAAGAGUUCAAGAAAUUCAAAAUUCAACUUUCUCGCCCUUCAACGUUGUGGCUCCCACUUCUGGUAGAAAAAUAGCACUGCGUAUCUUUCAGUAUUUUUAUCAUAACCAUUUUUUUCCAAUAUCUGAUUAAAGCAAUUUAAUAUACGUUGGAAAACUUUCUCAAAUGACUACAACUUUACUUCAGAUAUCAUUUUCCAAUUUGAACAUUUGCUAUGUCAAACAUGGGUCUCAAUAUGAGACUAAAAGUCUCUAGUAUAACAUUUUUUGUUAGAAAAUGAUGUGUGCUCAUAUUUUGACUAUAUUUCAUCCCUUUAACUUUUUUCUUUAUCCAAUUGACUCCUAACACUCUCAAAUCUUCAUUGUGAGGUUCGACACAACUUUUGAGUAUUUUCACUUAAAUCCCUAAACUUUGGAUCUCUUACAAUUUAGCAUCUUUUUCCAAUUUUAUCAACUUUUGCUUAUUUCCUUCAAUUUCGUCAAUCUAUAUCACAACAUCAAAAUACACUUUAAAAUGCUCUAAAACUCAUAAUAAUUAGCUAAAUAUCAAGCUUGGAUGGUGUCUAAAGUAUGAGUAAAAUACACUUAUCAAGUACUCCCAAACUUAAUACAUUGCUCGUACUCGAGCAAACACUAAACAAAAAUAGUAACUAACUAACUAACAUUUAAACAAAUAAAUUUAAGAAAAAAAACAUAUAAACAAAUUUAGUUAGAUAGUUUGCUUUUAUAGCUCAUGAUUGAAAACCUAAUAUCAAUUAUGAACCACAUCAAAGCUAUAGUGGAAAAUCUAAAUUUUCAAAUAUUCAAUGCAAAACGGAUGUGUGUAUGAAGAGUUAAGUAUAACGAUGUACAUUAAUAAGUUGAUCUAAUUUCAGACCUAUAAAAGUCAAAUAUUUACUAAUUUCGCUCGUGGGAUUCACACCCCAAAACUUGUUUUUUUUUCUUUCCGAGGGGAAUUCUAAAGUUGAUUUUCAAUACUAAUUUUUUAUAUCACUCAAUUUUGGUCAGAUUUUACUAAUUGCAGUUCAACAAAUCAACAAAUUAGGAUUUUCCUUACUUUUGACUGCUUCAACCUCCAAGAAUCAACCAAGUUACUAACUCAUUAUCAAAGAUCUAACCCUCUAAAACAAGUAUUUGGUGCUUGAUCAUUGCACGUGGUGCGUUUUUCUAGCUAACGUGAUUUAUAUCGCAAGUAUACGGUGACAAGUUUUGUAAUAUAAUAAUGGCGUUAGAGUAUUGAACCCAUAAGGAUUGUAAUUUAAUUUUUUAUACUAUGUAAUAUAAUUCAAUAGCUCUUAUUUUAUCUAGAAAGUCAAAUUAUAAGACACAAUGAUUUUAAACAAAUCUAAUGAUGAAUAUGGUGACUAAUUCAACAAAUAAAUGCAAGUUAGAAGAAUAAACAAGAUGAGAAAAGUAAUUUUACUCUUCUCUUGAGUGCUAAGUAAAAACUAUUCCUAUAUUUCAAUCCCGAUGUCUCUUUUUCAAAUUAAAAUCAAGAAAUUAUCAAAUUCAUGGCUCGUAGAUAGACGUGCCUCAAAGAAUUAAUACUUUCUAUGGAAACCCAUAAAUUUUAGGUUGUGUUAAUUUCAUGGUUGUGCCUAAAUUCUCCCCUCUCGAGUGCUGAAAUUGACUAGCAUUUAUUCAUUCAAUUAGUGGCCAAUUAAUUGAAAGCAUUAAAAUCAAUAACAGAAAUAAAUGGAAAGGAAAAUCUCAUAGAAAUAACUAAAAUAAAUUCAAAUCAUACUUUCAAGUUUUGGCUAAUUAGAUGCUAGAAUAAUAGUUUGGAUCAUGAUAGAAGCCAUGAAAUCUACACAAUUAAUAUAGAAUAACAUAAAGAAAAAAAAUAUAAUACUAUUUUUUGGAUGGUUGAAUUAAUCUUUUUCGCCUAGUUGCCUUUGCCUUCUUCUUGAUUUCUUCAAUCUUGCCCCCUUCUUGCCCGUUUGAAGUGUCCUUUGAAUUGUGGUCUUUUAGGUUUUGUAUUUAUAGUAUUUUGAAAUUUUAGAAGAGUUAAGGUUGGACGGGGACAAGAAAAGAUUUCAAAAAAAAAAAAUUAAAAUUCUCGCCCAUCGACACUGUGGCGCCCAAGAUGGGUGUCACAAUGUUGUUGAUCUUCAACAUUAGUAGCGUUGCGGCGCCUACUUCUAGUGGAAAAAUAGCACUGUGUAUCUUUUAGUACUUUUAUCAUAACUUUUUUUUUUAAUAUUAGAUUGAGGCGAUUCAAGAUAUGUUGGAAACUAAUUCAAAGGAAUACAACUUUACUUCAAAUAUCAUUUACCAAUUUGAAUGUUUUCUAUGUCAAAAAUGGGUCUCAAUAUAAGAUAAAAUCUGGAGUAUAACUUUUUGAGUUAGAAAUUGAUGUGUGAUCAUACUUUCACUAUAUUUUAUCCCUUGGACUUUUUUCUUUUUCCAAUUGACUCAUAGCACUCUCGAAUCUUAAUUGUGAGGUUCGAUAAAAUUUUUGAGUAUUUGCACUUUAGUCCCCGAACUUUGAAUUUCUUACAAUUUGGCCCAUUUUGCCAACUUUUGCUUACUUCCUUAAAUUUCAUCAACCUAUAUCGCUAUAUUAAAAUACACAUUGAAAUGCUCUAUAACUCGCAGGAAUUAACUAAAUAUCAAACUUAAAUGGUGUCUAAAUUAUGAAUGAAAUACACUAAUUACUCUUAUGAGGAAAUAGCCAACAUAUCUUUCGUUCAUCAACCUCAAAGCAAAAGGCAUCCACUUCAAAAACCUAGUUCAUAAUGUUUAAACAAUAUCAAGCUCAAAUCCUACCCAUUUUAUGGUCAACUUCAACUCCCAGUUUUUAUUAUUCAAUAUCCAUCCCAAGCUAUUCUUUACUCACAUGAUUGCAUAUGAAGCGUCAUCAGAAAACAACAUUGAUAUUAUCAUAACAUGUUUUGUCAAUUUCUUGAAAUGGCUCACAGUUAAACGUGAAGAUUUGAAGGAACUAAGAGAAAAGAAGAUAUUCUUCAGCACCCUCGAUAGUGAAGAAAAAAUUGUGGAAGUAAUCAAAGAGAUUGAUACUUGCAAACAUGUGGUGACAGUAUUUUUAAGGAUGAAGAGUACUGCAACAGCAAGGAAGAAACAUGGAUUGCUAAACAAAUUCACACUUAUUUUUGUAAUCCGUGGACCUUGACUGCCUUACUCUCUACCACUUUUCUUAAUUUUUCUUCAGGCCUAUUAUACAAUGAAUCUCAAGUCAAGCUGUGUGUCAAAUUACUUUCUUCAAGUUUUAGUUGAGAUGUGUUUCGAUUCUUCCAAAUAGGAGAGGUUUCAUGCAUUUGAAUUCAUUGUAUUAUUAAAUGUUUUUAUUAUUACAAUUCAAAUCCAUCAAAGUAGUGUUAUAGCAAAUGUUUUUCUAACGACAUCGAGAAAACAAUGGUUGUGAGUUCUUGAAUUCAUAAUUUGAAUGAUAAGUAUCUAGAGACAAACUAUGCCUUCAAGAUGUUAGCUUAAUUGCCCCCGAGGAUUUCAUUUACAACACCAUGGUUUUCAAAUAGAAAAGUAAGGGAAUGGUGGGCAAAUUAUUGUUUCUGGUCAAUUAACUAUUCACGAUACUUAAUAUUGCUAGAAGAAGAUGGGUUGAUAGAAACAUCAACAUCUUGUGAAACAAAAAUUCAAUAGUGCAAGGACUAAAGGAAAUAAGAUUCGAAAAGAGUAUUGUUUAUGGGUACCUGCCACAAUUUAAUCCAUUAAAUAUGACAAAACUAGUUGUUAGAAAGUUCUCGGUUGUGCUUGCUGGCUGUAACAACUGCAUUCAUUAAAACUCCCUGAAAACCAGCCAUCUCAAACUCAUGAACGCCAGCUAUAGUUAUCCCUCCAAGAGAUCAACGCCAUCUUUCAGAAGAUGUGGGUGUUUUCCAGUAUUAACUGACAUUGAUGAUGCUCCUAAUACCUUCAACUGUUUAAUGGCUGAGGCUAAAUGAAGUUUUGAUGCUUUAGGCACUAUAACAGGAGAUAGAAUUUGGAAAGUAUCAUUUGAAUAAACAAGAAAAUCUCCUAUUUAAGAUUUUAGAAGAGAUAGUUCAUCAUGAAUCUUAGCAGGCACACGUCCCAGACUGAGAGGUUCAAGUUAGAAGGCAUAUUCCAAAUCCAAAUGUCGCAGACUGAGAAAGUUCAUCAUGAAUCUUAGCAGGCACAUGUUCUAGACUGAGAGUCUACAUGUGAGGGUUCAUGUUAGAAGGUAUAUUCUAAAUCCAAAUCCAAAAGGAAAGGAUGAAACAUUGCGUCAAGAAAUUUCAUGCUUUCUGUUGACAUGUGAACUCUGACCUCGUCCACAUAAGUACUUUCCAGGUCAUACCUCUUUAUAUACAGGAAGGUCAGACACAUCAUCCCUGCUAGCUUGGACUAAGGACCGUUGUAAUCUGUGGGGACAAAAUGAUGACCAAAUCUCUGCCCCACAUGCACACAUCUUCACUGGCCAAUUCAAAGAUGACACUUGGCUAUUAUGACAUCAGCACCACGUAUUUCAACCAAUCAGCAACAGUUAAUAAUUAAAAGACAUUAGCCCGUCUAGUGCAGAUAAUUCUGCAAAGUAGACAAUGAUUAUAUCCCGGCAAGUCCAACCUCUGUCACCAACCAAAAUCAAGCAAAUGGCAUACAUAUCAAGAGCAUUAUUGUAGCCGAUUUAAUCUUGGGUGGCCAAUCUGUGCGAUUAAGUCUAUAAAUAGGAAUGUAGUGGUUCUCCCUUGAGUCUGAGCUCAGCACACUUCUUGUGUACACUUCACAUUUACUUCAGCUAGUGAAAAAAACUCCUUCUUUAUCUAUCUUUGCAAUAUAACUAUGACAAAUCAUCGUUAAAGUUGACAAAAAUUAACCCAGUCAUUUUUUGACAACGAUACUUUCGAAUAUGUAAUAACAAUAAAUUUACAUAGAACAUAUUAUAUAGCAUGAUAAAGUUAACGUAUUCAUUGGCAUACAGUUUGAGAAGCUAGCCCAAGUGCCAGUUCCUUGCGAAGACCAGCAGCUACCUCUCCAUCAGCCAAAGCUUCAAUUCCUAAAAAUGGGUAUGUAGGUCCACUACCAUAGAAUAUUCCAGGAAAAAAUGAAUUCAUUAGAACAGGCCAAAUUAGCCCCAUGUUUUCGUCUCCAAAAAUGCAUAUGGCUUAUCCAAGCACACACACAGGGCAGUCACAAUGGCGGAACCCAAACACUUAAACUCAAUUAUGUCAAAGAUAAACCAAAAGCUUUGCAUCAAACAGUUUCUCAUCAGCUGUCCACACCUUACCAGUAUCUCUAAAUAACUUGGAAAUAAAUUAUCCAUCAUCUUUAGUAGCCAGGGAUCGGGAUGGCAAUGGGCCAGGACUCAAUUUCCUUUCCCGUUCUCGCCUUGUAUGGCAAUUUCGUACCUCAUCGCCAUCCCAUCCUUACUUAAAAUGGGGCUGGAUCCCUGAAUUCCUAUCUAAUGUCCUGUUGUUGUUGUUGUUUUUUUUUAUUUUUUAUUUUUUAUACAGCUAAUAAUUAAAAAAAACUGAUUUCUAAAGUAAAAAUCUCAAUUACUAAAAUCAAUUUUUUGUGAAAGAGAAAAAGAUCCCUUCGUUGAACAUUUGCUAUGUCAAACAUGGGUCUCAAUAUGAGACUAAAAGUCUCUAGUAUAACAUUUUUUGUUAGAAAAUGAUGUGUGCUCAUAUUUUGACUAUAUUUCAUCUCUUUAACUUUUUUCUUUAUCUAAUUGACUCCUAACACUCUCAAAUCUUCAUUGUGAGGUUCGACACAACUUUUGAGUAUUUUCACUUAAAUCCCUAAACUUUGGAUCUCUUACAAUUUAGCAUCUUUUUCCAAUUUUAUCAACUUUUGCUUAUUUCCUUCAAUUUCGUCAAUCUAUAUCACAACAUCAAAAUACACUUUAAAAUGCUCUAAAACUCAUAAUAAUUAGCUAAAUAUCAAGCUUGGAUGGUGUCUAAAGUAUGAGUAAAAUACACUUAUCAAGUACUCCCAAACUUAAUACAUUGCUCGUACUCGAGCAAACACUAAACAAAAAUAGUAACUAACUAACUAACAUUUAAACAAAUAAAUUUAAGAAAAAAAACAUAUAAACAAAUUUAGUUAGAUAGUUUGCUUUUAUAGCUCAUGAUUGAAAACCUAAUAUCAAUUAUGAACCACAUCAAAGCUAUAGUGGAAAAUCUAAAUUUUCAAAUAUUCAAUGCAAAACGGAUGUGUGUAUGAAGAGUUAAGUAUAACGAUGUACAUUAAUAAGUUGAAUUUCAGACCUAUAAAAGUCAAAUAUUUACUAAUUUCGCUCGUGGGAUUCACACCCCAAAACUUUUUUUUUUCUUUCCGAGGGGAAUUCUAAAGUUGAUUUUCAAUACUAAUUUUUUAUAUCACUCAAAUUUGGUCAGAUUUUACUAAUUGCAGUUCAACAAAUCAACAAAUUAGGAUUUUCCUUACUUUUGACUGCUUCAACCUCCAAGAAUGUGUCUGUUUGUGUUGUUUUACAAGUUAGAUAACUUGGUGAAAAGAAGCGGUUGGAGCGUGAAAAGGAGCCAAAGUUUAUUUGAGGGAUCCCGCUACACGUACAAAAUAGGAUGACAAAGGUAGCUUACAAAAUGACGUGGCAGGGGGGAAUUUUUUAAAAAUAAGGACAAUAAUGCUACCGUAUCCCUCACUUUUGCUUCCAAUUUUUCCCCAAAUCUAAAACCACUUUCUCAUCUCUCCCCAUUUCCUUUCUCCACUUCCCCCUCCCAUUCCAAGGUAUUUGAUUCCGAAGUACUCACCUCCGGUAGAGGCCUCACCUUCGACACUUUCAUCAUCUGUAUGCACUUCCGGCUAGCUCCACACUGUCAUUGAAGAAGCCGCCGGUGUCGGGUCGCGACAUUCGACCUUAACAAAACAAUCGGUGGACAUCCCUCGAAUCUCAACCCGGGACAAUAAACUGAGUUGUAUGAUUUGCUAAAUACGAAGGUAUUAUUUGUUAAAUUUUGUAAUUUUUAGCGAUUUGAUCUUUUGCCUUUGUUGAAUGAAAUAAGAGCUUUGAUAUCUUUUCUUCCCAGUGUUCAUGUGGGUGACAUGUUUACCACUCACAAAUCUUUUUUGGGUUUCACUUUUUGUUUGUUUUUCCUCUCAUAACGUAAAAAGGCAGGUAAAUUUGAUGCUCAUAUGCUCCAAAAUCGUGACAUUAUUUGAGAGGGAAAUGUAGUGUUGUUUGUGUAUUAUGUAGGUUUUGUUUGUAUGUGGGUUUUCGUGGAUUUUCCAUAAAAGGGCAAGCAUGGGAGUGAAGUAUGAUUUGCGGGUAGGAUUAGCUUGUGAAUUCUGUUGGCCAAUAAGGUGUGUGUGUGCGUGUGUUUUGUGAAGCUUUUCACUAUAAUUAAUGCUGUAAUAUUAUAGACAAGUUUUAAGAAAUGCCCAGGUUCUAUUUGUGGAAUGACUUAUUUUCGAAUUUAGGGAGUAGAAAUCCCCUGUUAUCUUUGAAUUCAAGUGGGAUAUCCAGUUAUGAAUGAAGUUGAAUGUCUUGAAAGUUUGAUUUUCAAAGCCCUAUUUAUUUCAAGAAGCAAUAAAUAAUUCCAUAGCUGUUGUGGUUUAAUUUAAAAGAAAUUCUUGAUUCGUAGUCUUGAAUUCUCUCUCUCUUUCUAUAUAUAUAUAUNNNNNNNNNNNNNNNNNNNNNNNNNNNNNNNNNNNNNNNNNNNNNNNNNNNNNNNNNNNNNNNNNNNNNNNNNNNNNNNNNNNNNNNNNNNNNNNNNNNNNNNNNNNNNNNNNNNNNNNNNNNNNNNNNNNNNNNNNNNNNNNNNNNNNNNNNNNNNNNNNNNNNNNNNNNNNNNNNNNNNNNNNNNNNNNNNNNNNNNNNNNNNNNNNNNNNNNNNNNNNNNNNNNNNNNNNNNNNNNNNNNNNNNNNNNNNNNNNNNNNNNNNNNNNNNNNNNNNNNNNNNNNNNNNNNNNNNNNNNNNNNNNNNNNNNNNNNNNNNNNNNNNNNNNNNNNNNNNNNNNNNNNNNNNNNNNNNNNNNNNNNNNNNNNNNNNNNNNNNNNNNNNNNNNNNNNNNNNNNNNNNNNNNNNNNNNNNNNNNNNNNNNNNNNNNNNNNNNNNNNNNNNNNNNNNNNNNNNNNNNNNNNNNNNNNNNNNNNNNNNNNNNNNNNNNNNNNNNNNNNNNNNNNNNNNNNNNNNNNNNNNNNNNNNNNNNNNNNNNNNNNNNNNNNNNNNNNNNNNNNNNNNNNNNNNNNNNNNNNNNNNNNNNNNNNNNNNNNNNNNNNNNNNNNNNNNNNNNNNNNNNNNNNNNNNNNNNNNNNNNNNNNNNNNNNNNNNNNNNNNNNNNNNNNNNNNNNNNNNNNNNNNNNNNNNNNNNNNNNNNNNNNNNNNNNNNNNNNNNNNNNNNNNNNNNNNNNNNNNNNNNNNNNNNNNNNNNNNNNNNNNNNNNNNNNNNNNNNNNNNNNNNNNNNNNNNNNNNNNNNNNNNNNNNNNNNNNNNNNNNNNNNNNNNNNNNNNNNNNNNNNNNNNNNNNNNNNNNNNNNNNNNNNNNNNNNNNNNNNNNNNNNNNNNNNNNNNNNNNNNNNNNNNNNNNNNNNNNNNNNNNNNNNNNNNNNNNNNNNNNNNNNNNNNNNNNNNNNNNNNNNNNNNNNNNNNNNNNNNNNNNNNNNNNNNNNNNNNNNNNNNNNNNNNNNNNNNNNNNNNNNNNNNNNNNNNNNNNNNNNNNNNNNNNNNNNNNNNNNNNNNNNNNNNNNNNNNNNNNNNNNNNNNNNNNNNNNNNNNNNNNNNNNNNNNNNNNNNNNNNNNNNNNNNNNNNNNNNNNNNNNNNNNNNNNNNNNNNNNNNNNNNNNNNNNNNNNUAUGACAAAACUAGUUGUUCGAAAGUUCUCGGUUGUGCUUGCUGGCUGUAACAACUGCAUUCAUUAAAACUUCCUGAAAACCAGCCAUCUCAAACUCAUGAACGCCAGCUAUAGUUAUCCCUCCAAGAGAUCAACGCCAUCUUUCAGAAGAUGUGGGUGUUUUCCAGUAUUAACUGACAUUGAUGAUGCUCCUAAUACCUUCAACUGUUUAAUGGCUGAGGCUAAAUGAAGUUUUGAUGCUUUAGGCACUAUAACAGGAGAUAGAAUUUGGAAAGUAUCAUUUGAAUAAACAAGAAAAUCUCCUAUUUAAGAUUUUAGAAGAGAUAGUUCAUCAUGAAUCUUAGCAGGCACACGUCCCAGACUGAGAGGUUCAAGUUAGAAGGCAUAUUCCAAAUCCAAAUGUCGCAGACUGAGAAAGUUCAUCAUGAAUCUUAGCAGGCACAUGUUCUAGACUGAGAGUCUACAUGUGAGGGUUCAUGUUAGAAGGUACAAUCUAGAUCCAAAUCCAAAAGGAAAGGAUGAAACAUUGCGUCAAGAAAUUUCAUGCUUUCUGUUGACAUGUGAACUCUGACCUCGUCCACAUAAGUACUUUCCAGGUCAUACCUCUUUAUAUACAGGAAGGUCAGACACAUCAUCCCUGCUAGCUUGGACUAAGGACCGUUGUAAUCUGUGGGGACAAAAUGAUGACCAAAUCUCUGCCCCACAUGCACACAUCUUCACUGGCCAAUUCAAAGAUGACACUUGGCUAUUAUGACAUCAGCACCACGUAUUUCAACCAAUCAGCAACAGUUAAUAAUUAAAAGACAUUAGCCCGUCUAGUGCAGAUAAUUCUGCAAAGUAGACAAUGAUUAUAUCCCGGCAAGUCCAACCUCUGUCACCAACCAAAAUCAAGCAAAUGGCAUACAUAUCAAGAGCAUUAUUGUAGCCGAUUUAAUCUUGGGUGGCCAAUCUGUGCGAUUAAGUCUAUAAAUAGGAAUGUAGUGGUUCUCCCUUGAGUCUGAGCUCAGCACACUUCUUGUGUACACUUCACAUUUACUUCAGCUAGUAAAAAACACUCCUUCUUUAUCUAUCUUUGCAAUAUAACUAUGACAAAUCAUCGUUAAAGUUGACAAAAAUUAACCCAGUCAUUCUUUGACAACGACACUUUCGAAUAUGUAAUAACAAUAAAUUUACAUAGAACAUAUUAUAUAGCAUGAUAAAGUUAACGUAUUCAUUGGCAUACAGUUUGAGAAGCUAGCCCAAGUGCCAGUUCCUUGCAAAGACCAGCGGCUACCUCUCCAUCAGCCAAAGCUUCAAUUCCUAAAAAUGGGUAUGUAGGUCCACUACCAUAGAAUAUUCCAGGAAAAAAUGAAUUCAUUAGAACAGGCCAAAUUAGCCCCAUGUUUUCGUCUCCAAAAAUGCAUAUGGCUUAUCCAAGCACACACACAGGGCAGUCACAAUGGCGGAACCCAAACACUUAAACUCAAUUAUGUCAAAGAUAAACCAAAAGCUUUGCAUCAAACAGUUUCUCAUCAGCUGUCCACACCUUACCAGUAUCUCUAAAUAACUUAGAAAUAAAUUAUUCAUCAUCUUUAGUAGCCAGGGAUCGGGAUGGCAAUGGGCCAGGACUCAAUUUCCUUCCCCGUUCUCGCCUUGUAUGGGAAUUUCGCACCUCAUCGCCGUCCCAUCCUUACUUAAAAUGGGGCUGGAUCCCUGAAUUCCUGUCUAAUGUCCUGUUGUUGUUGUAUUUUUUUUUUUACAGCUAAUAAUUAAAAAAAAAAAACUGAUUUCUAAAGUAAAAAUCUCAAUUAUUAAAAUCAAUUUUUUGUGAAAGAGAAAAAGAUCCCUUCGCUAAAGAUAUUCUAAUGCUCCAGCCUCCAUUUAAAUUUACAGUCAUUACAGCAAAGCCUACUUUCAUUCAUUUGCUAUUUUAAUACAAUUAAUGUUAAAAACAUAAUUUCUAAACUAAAAAUGUUCAAUCAUUAAAACUAAAAUCUUGUAAAGCAGUAAUUCAAUUUAUAUAUUAUGAAAAAAAUUGGUUGUUGGAUACUUAAUUCCAGAAAAUUAUUCCAUUACUUUGGGAAACAACGUUAACCAAUAACAACUUUCUCACAUGGAGAAAUUUGUUUCCAAAAAAAUUUAAACAAAAAAUGGAAAAACAUUUUAACUCACUAGUCUUUCAAUCAAAAAUCCCAAACUCAAACAUUUUAAACCCUUGCAAAGAACACAUCCAAAUCGACACAUCUAAACCACAAUUACAUAGUCCCAAACAGGAAACCUCAUCCAAUGGAGCCCAACAUCAAACCUAGCAACCUGAAAAUCGCUCUAUCACCAAUCGACUCCCCAAAUCGAUUAUCCCUAAAAUUGAUUUUCCCAGAAUUUUGAAGAUAGCAAAAUCAGAAAAAAAAAAAGGAAAAAAAAAACAAUAGGGUUCUUCCUAUUUCAAUCACUGAUAUAGAUCCAUCCUCGGAAACUAACUGUCGCAUAGACACCAAACUAAGUUAUUGAGGAGAGUUCUCUAUUUUGAAGACGCCGUGGACCGUUGAUAAUCUAGGAAGACAAUUUUGGGGAUGUUGAUGUGUGAGUUUCAUUGAUUAUUUGUAAAGCCACUUAACUUGAUAUUUUGGUUGUCUUUGAGCAAUUUAAAAUGUUUUAAUGUGUCUGUUUGUGUUGUUUUACAAGUUAGAUAACUUAGUGAAAAGAAGAGGUUGGAGCGUGAAAAGGAGCCAAAGUUUAUUUGAGGGAUCCCGCUACACGUACAAAAUAGGAUGACAAAGGUAGAUUACAAAAUGACGUGGCAGGGGGGAAUUUUUUAAAAAUAAGGACAAUAAUGCUACUGUAUCCCUCACUUUUGCUUCCAAUUUUUCCCCAAAUCUAAAACCACUUUCUCAUCUCUCCCCAUUUCCUUUCUCCACUUCCCCCUCCCAUUCCAAGGUAUUCGAUUCCGAAGUACUCACCUCCGGUAGAGGCCUCACCUUCGACACUUUCAUCAUCUGUAUGCACUUCCGGCCAGCUCCACACUGUCAUUGAAGAAGCCGCCGGUGUCGGGUCGCGACAUUCGACCUUAACAAAACAAUCGGUGGACAUCCCUAGAAUCUCAACCCGGGACAAUAAACUGAGUUGUAUGAUUUGCUAAAUACGAAGGUAUUAUUUGUUAAAUUUUGUAAUUUUUAGCGAUUUGAUCUUUUACCUUUGUUGAAUGAAAUAAGAGCUUUGAUAUCUUUUCUUCCCAGUGUUCAUGUGGGUGACAUGUUUACCACUCACAAAUCUUUUUUGGGUUUCACUUUUUGUUUGUUUUUCCUCUCAUAACGUAAAAAGGUAGGUAAAUUUGAUGCUCAUAUGCUCCAAAAUCGUGACAUUAUUUGAGAGGGAAAUGUAGUGUUGUUUGUGUAUUAUGUAGGUUUUGUUUGUAUGUGGGUUUUCGUGGAUUUUCCAUAAAAGGGCAAGCAUGGGAGUGAAGUAUGAUUUGCGGGUAGGAUUAGCUUGUGAAUUCUGUUGGCCAAUAAGGUGUGUGUGUGCGUGUGUUUUGUGAAGCUUUUCACUAUAAUUAAUGCUGUAAUAUUAUAGACAAGUUUUAAGAAAUGCCCAGGUUCUAUUUGUGGAAUGACUUAUUUUCGAAUUUAGGGAGUAGAAAUCCCCUGUUAUCUUUGAAUUCAAGUGGGAUAUCCAGUUAUGAAUGAAGUUGAAUGUCUUGAAAGUUUGAUUUUCAAAGCCCUAUUUAUUUCAAGAAGCAAUAAAUAAUUCCAUAGCUGUUGUGGUUUAAUUUAAAAGAAAUUCUUGAUUCGUAGUCUUGAAUUCUCUCUCUCUUUCUAUAUAUAUAUAUAUGGUUUUGAAUUAGAUUAAGAUCAUCUUUAAAUAAUCCCUUUGAAUCUGCAAGUGUGGAGAUAUAUAUAUGGUUUAUUAAGAUACUUCGAACAUGUUAAUAUAAUUGCUUGUGGCAGUAAGAAUAAUCAAAUUAUUAUGUUUUCAGCAACACAGAAUGUCGGGAAAGAAUGCCACAGUUGCUGGAGUGUUGGACACUUCUUUGGUGAUUGUCCAAUAAAACGUCCUUAGUUCGUCGGGGAAAAUCAUCUGUCGAAGUGAAAGCGAAGGGGACGGAGACGGCUUGAGUAGUGGUUAAUGAAUUGCUACCUAUGUAGGCAGUAGCUUUUCAAAUAUUUAUGCAUAUAAUGCAUGACAUUUUGUAUUGUCUUCGAUGGUUGGUAAUUGGUAAUAUCAGUACUUUGUAUCUUGGUGCUUAUUUUUGCUUGCAAAAUCAGUUUAUUACUUGCUCUACAACAAUGGCAUCUCUUUAUUUUUCUUUUCUUUAUGCUUCCUGGGAGAUAACAGUGAGAUUAUCUCCACCAAUUUAAAUUCACUUGAUGGACAGUGAGAUAACAACCUGCAUUGUACCAAUUGGGAGUGGUUCAAUAUUGACUGAGACUAGAAUUCCUUUGUGAAAACAAGCUCAAGUUCAAAUCCACCCCUAAUUUCACGCAUAGAACACCAUUUUGGUUGCUAAAUUCCUGCGACCUCAAAGGCAAAGGGAAUACUUAUUGGAGCAUAAAUGCAAUACUCACCCCCACGCAUAAAUGCAAUACUCAUUGGCACAUAAAUGCAAACAAAACUGAAGCUAUAAACAAAAGGAGAGUUCAUUGCAGCAAGGGAGAGUUCAUCACACUACGAUGACCAACAAAAGUAAUUUAUCAUACACAUCUCGUAGUCGAAUACUAAAAUAAUUCUCUAACAAAUUACACCUAAACAAAUUAUCAUAACAAUUUUCUCAUUUAGCAGCCCAUACAUCUAUAUAUAACAAAACCAGCUGCGUCCACUUUGUUGUUCUGUUUGCUUGAAUUCAAUUGGUCCCACCAUGAUGGGGUAAAUAUGGACCUAACAUGCAAAUUAGAAUUAAUGAACGAAGAGGAAGUAUUGAAAUUCAAAUGUUGUUAUUUAAAAAUUUAUAUACCUUGUGAAUUAAAAAUAACAUUUGUGGUCAUAGGAGGAAUCAAAGUAGAAGACGGCACUUGUUGUGUAAAUUCAUGGCUCACCCCAUCGGCCUAUAUCAAUUCACAGGCGGUAAGACAAUUGAAAGUCUUUAAGACACGCUAUAACAAAUAUACUAACCAAUAGGAGUUGCGAAUAUGAGAAUGGCAUCGUCAUGGCAUGUUGUUGACGAGGAGGUAGAACCUCGGGUACACCAUCGUCCAUACUACUUUGUCUCGGUGUUUGUCUCUUUCCUUUGAUUCGAUCCGAUUGUACCUAUAUAUACACCAUAACAAAUAUUACUUAGCGUAUAAAAUAAAAUACAUAAAAUAGAGUAAAGCUAAAGAAUAUACCUUUGAUUUCUUAGCACUCACCUCCAAUGACCCUUUUAUUCGUUUUCUCUUUGGCGCCCCCUUUCUUUUUUAUGAUUUCGGAUCCUUGACACUCCCGCUCAUAGGAUCUUGAGGUACAGUACACUGGGAAAUAUUAUUACUACCUGAACUCGGCUUUACCAAACUAAGCUCUUUAUUUUGAAUUUCUAUCCAAUCCAUGAUUGCACGAUAUCGCCCUUCAUCAUCAGCUGCACGGUCUGCCACUUUGGAGAAUGCCUGACACAUGUCAUCAUACCUCAAUUGUCCAGGAGUACUAGCCAACCCAUCAUAAUUAACUGCGACCCUCGUGUGUGCUCUGUUGACGUCUCUCCUCCAUCUCCGCAAUAUGUAUCGAUCCGGAAUAACAGUUACGUCAUUACGAAUUAACACUGCAAUUGCAUGCCUGCACACUAUUCCUCGGAACUCGAACAAGUGACAACCACAAAUAAUCUCACAUUUCUCUAUAUUGAAUGAGACCACAAACAUUUUUUUCUUUCGUCGUGGCAGUUGCAUAUAAACUCAGAUGUCUCUCUCUAAUGAGAUAAAAAAAAGUUUUCUUCUUCCCCUACUCAUAAUAGAGGACAUUCGCACGUACCUCAUACGUGGUCUCUGAAGAUCCCUUCGAAACAUAUAUGAGAUCACAAUAUACCUUACCCUUGAAUUCUUCUUGGACUUCUUUGAAUUUUGAAAUAGUAUACACUGAUUGAAAAUGCCUUUCGAUUUCAUAAUUCGUGGCACACGGUACAGUUUGUGGGUAUGACUUGAAAUCAGCUUGGAACUCCUUUUCGACCUUACUUCUGAGUGCUCUUUCAUAUUGUUCCACAAACUGCUUCAGAGAGGUUUUCGAAUGGACAUAACCGUCGAAGAAAGCAUUCAUACUCUCACUUCGCUGAGUUGUGGACAUCCCCGUCCAAAAAGCCGUUUUCAAAAAGCAAGGCACCCAACGACCUCUAUUAACAUACAACCCCGACAACCAUUCAUUAUCUAUCAACUCAUAUGUCUCGAUCAUCUCUUUCUAACCUAAUUCAAAUUCUUCAAUAUUCUGUGAAUCAUACACCAACUGAUGUAUAGCCGAAAAUAUGGAAACCUUAUCAACAUGGUACCCAAACUUCUCCGGCAACUUCUUCAAAAUGUGUCACAAACACCACCUAUGCUUUGUAUCUGGGAAAAUAAUCUCAGUAGCAUUUUGCAUGGCCCUAUCUUAAUCAGUAAUUAUUCCACGAGGAAUUCUACCAUGCAUGCACUCAAGCCAUGUCUUGAACAGCCAGACAAAGGUAUCAGUGUCCUCGUUCGAUAACAAUCCACAACCGAACAAAGUUGAUUGAUCGUGAUGAUUUACACCAACAAAAGGUGCGAAUGGCAUGUCAUACUUGUUAGUGAGGUAAGUUGUAUCAAAUGUGACAACAUCCCCAAACUCCUUGUAUGCUUGCCUACAUCGAUUGUCUGCCCAGAACACAUUUUUCAGACGUGAAUCGUCAUCUAAGUCAAUACUAAAAUAAAAUCCCGAGCACCUUGCUUGCAUUUUAGAAAAGUAAGACUGAAUUGCUGCUGCAUCACCCUCGCCAAGUCUUAGUCGUCUCACUUGUUCAAUAUAGUUCCGACAAUCUUUUUCUAUGCAAGUCAUAUUCUCAUAGCCCCCUGCUUCGACAACUGCAGAGUUAAAACUUUUAUGAAAUGGUAUACCAGCCAUAUCGUUCACUUCAAGCUUUCGUUUUACUUGUGCACUUAAUUCUCGGUUGCAUCGAUACAACCUCGACUUAGUAGGACUUGUCUUAUGGUUGUGGUCAAGAUGGACUGUGUUAAUUUUCCAGUAACCAUGGAUAUCGAAAGAUGCAGAGAUUCUAGCUUUACAACCCGUUUGAAUUGUUGGUUGCGGCUUCAUAGAAGUGCUUGUAUUACUAUUUCUUCGCCCUUCCUGACUACAUGUCAAUGUGACAUAUCUCAAAACACCAUCAUCAUCCUUCGUCGAACUCCUCUUCCUAAUUGGAAAACCCAUGGCAUAUGCAUAUCUUGCAUAAAAAUCGUACAGUUCUUUUUCAUCAUUGAACUGCAUACCAACCUCAGGCACAAUACAAUCAUCUCUUCCUAUAGUUUCCUCUCCCACAACAUUUACAUUGUUGUCCACAUUCUCAUUUUCGGAUUCAACGAACGAAACAUCUUCCAUAUUUUUGUCUUCUGCAAAAUGUAAAUGCUAUAUGUCAUCAACUCAUAUUAAAAUGUGAUUAAACAGUUAGCUCAUUUUAGUAUCCAUUUAUAUCAUGGUUCCAAAAUUUUCAUCACAGAAUAUAUUAGGGUAGAAGUCCAGUAUACUUGGUUAACUAAAUGAACAAAUGAAUGAACCGAUUAAAAAAGAAAUCUCACAAUUCAACCAAAAAGAUAUCAAUUUCAAUGGUGUUAUGAAUUUCUUAUACUUCAUAACUAAAUUAAUUGAUGAAAAAAAUUCAAUUUCCAGUAAGAUUUUAAAAAUUGAAAAUGCAAUUAUUUCCAUCUUUCAAACACCACGAAACUCUAACAGCUUAACUCAUACCAAGAAAUUCCAAGCUACAAAACAAAAGCACCCAUACCUUCUUAUGUGACGACCGACCAUUGUCGGAGAUGGAGAAGACAGACCGAAGAAGAUAGGUUGGACUGAAGAAAAAAAUGGAGGUGCGAGGUCGGAUGCGCCGUUGAUGCUGGGUCUCUCACUACCUAGCCAUUCUUUGGAUUUUUGACACAAUGUUGGGGAAAUUGUUGGAUGUUCGCUACCAAUCAUUGGGCGUCGCUUUUGGGUCUCUUGCUACCUGGCCAAGAAAAUGUUGGAUUUUUGCUGCAAGUCGUUCAAGAAAAUAUUGGAUUUUUGCUACAAGUCAUUGAAGAAAAUGUUGGAUUUUUGCUGUGAAUAUUUUUGGAGUUUUGCUACAGCUGUACGUUGAAGAAGAUUGACUAUUAUUAUAGAUUUACAGCAAAGUUUCCCAUUUUUGGCGCCAUUAAUUCCCACCUCUCUCUUUAAAAUCACAACCGUCCAAAUGCCUUUUAUCUCGGCCGCACACGUGUAUUUGUUAACCUAUUUUGUAAACUUCCUUUGUACAAGAGGCAUUAUUGUUAUUUGAGUGUGAAUAAGCGUGGAAAAGACCUAAAAUAAUCCUAGAAAGUUGAAAGAAAGAUAAUCAAAGUAAGAAAAAAUGAGUACAACAACCAGGUGCUGCAGCGCCUAGCCAUGGAAGUAGAAGAAACAGAAGUCUAGCGCUGCAAUGUUAGCGUGAACUAGAUCACGGUGCCGCGACAAUGGGAAGCCAGCACCGAGGCACCAUUAGCAAGGUGGAUUUUCUUAUUUAUUUAAUGUUUUAAAAAGAGCCCAAUUCGACUUCAACUCUUCUAGAACUUUAGGAGACUAUAAAUACAACUCUAAAGACCAAUUUUAAGGGAGAAUUCCAGAACGCAAAAAUCAAGAGGCAAGAGAUCAAUCAAAAGAAAAAAAGGAGGCAACAACUAGAAUAAGAAUUCUAGCAACAAACCAGUUUUUAUUUCUUUUCUUCUCAAUGUUUUAGAUAUUGAAUUUGAUUACGUCUACUUCAUUAAUCAUGUUCUAAACUUCUAAUUUAGGGUUUCAUGCAGCCAAAACUAGAGACAAUGUUUUGAUUUUAUUUAGUUAUUCCUAUAAAAUUUUCCUUUCAGUUUAUUUAUGUUAUUGGUUUAAUGUUUUCAAUUUCUUGAUCAAUAAUUGAAUGAUUUGAUACUAGCCAAUUUCAACAUACGAGUUAGGGAGAUGCGAUCUAAGAAUAACACAAUCUAGGUUUUAUAAGGUUCGAGAGAAAGUAUAAAAUCUUUGAAACUUGAUCCACUUAAGAACCACGGACUUAAUAAUUUCUAGAUUUUACUAUGCAAUUGAGAUAUUGGAAUUGAAAUAUACAAAUAGUUUUUACUCGGCACUCGAGAGAGGGAGUAGAAUUACGUUAGGGUUCUUGCUUCUGAAUUUGAGAAUAUCGAUUAGAAAUAAUUAUAUAAUUGAAAAACAUUGUUGGUAGUAGGUUAAAUUCAUACCCAAGGCUUGUCAUAUUGAUUUAUUUCUUCAAUUUUGCAUAAUAUUGUUGAAUUGUCAUCAUAUUCAUCAUCUUUUGAUUUAGUUAGAAACAUUGAUUUAAACAUUCAUUAAUCUAGAUGAAAUAGAGGCUAAAAUAAUUAUAGUACUUGGUAUAAAUCGAAUUUAAAUCCCUGUGGGUUCGACAUCCAUACUUGAUCAUAAAUUACAAAACUUGAUACCGUAUACUUACGGUAUAAUUACAUCAUAAAACGUGUAAUAUAUUUUUGACACCAUUGCUGGGAUUGACAUAUUUGAUUUCAUUACUGAUAUUAUUACCAAUUAGCUUUUCUUUUAAUUUAGAUAUUUUAUUUUUUAUUUUUCUUUAUUCUCUAAUACUGUCUUGAUUUUUAUUUUUAGUUGUUUAUACAAAGAGCGAGGAAUCUUGAACUACUACCUGUUGAUCUUAAACUAGAAUGCACUUUCCAUUUUUCUAAGGGGUGUACAAAGAAAUGAACGUGAAAUAAUGGCAAAACAGAAAACACCACAGCUAGUGAAAAUAAUUAUCAAAGGGCUGUUUGGGCUACAUUCAACCAAUUAUAAAUAACUACUUUGGUAUUACACACUAGAUAAUAGCUACAAACAACUUUGACUUGAAGCUAGAAUUAAUACACAUGGUUCAACAGAAUCAGUUUGGGGAAGGUCCACAAGAUGAUCCUAACGCUCAUGUGGCUUUUUUUCUACAGAUUUAUGAUAUUGUGAAGAUGAACAGAGUUACAGAAUAUGUCAUCAGAUUGUGUUUGUUUUCUUUCUUCUUGAGAGAUAAAGCAAAAGCAUGGAUCCAUCACUACUUGGGAGGGAUAAGCCCAGAAAUCUCUUACUAAAUUCUUUCUCCCUUCGAAGUUAGCUUAAUUGUAAAAUAAGACCUGCUAGUUUAGACUAUUAGAUUUCGAACCAUUCUAUGAAGCCUUGGAUAGAUUUAAGGACUUCUUUCUCCCUUCCAAGUAAGCUCAAUUGCAAAAUAAGAUCCACUAGUUCAGACUAUUAGAUUUCGAACCAUUCUAUGAAGCCUUGGAUAGAUUUAAGGACUUGUUUACAAAAUGUACUCAACAUGGUUAUCAAAGUUGGAUGCAAAUCAAGAUCUUCAACAAGGGGUCGAAUGGUAAAAAUAGACAAAGUUGAUGCUACUACAGGUGGUAAUUCGAUAUCUAAAAACAUAGAUGUUGCUUCUUUACUGCUAGAUAAUAUAGCUAUCAACAGUUAUCAAUGGCUGGGUGAGCAAUCUAGUGCAAAAAGAGUUGCUGGCCUUUAUAAGAUGGAUCACAUCACUGCCUUUACAGCUUAGGUUUCAUUACUUACAACUUAGAUAGCUACACUAACCACUUAAGGAACUCGAUAGAAGGCGAAAUCAACUAUGAUUGCUCAUACACUACAUCAAAAAACUGAUAUAGUGAAUGAGUGAACUCAAUUUGUCAACUGCAAGAACUUCAAUCAGAGAGAAAACUACUUAUACAAUCAUUAUCAUCCUGGCAUUGGAAAGCAUGAAAAUCUAUCAUAUCAAGAAUGGAUUCCAGCUACCUCAUAGGUUCAAUAAUAAAAAAUCUGAAGAAAAACCAUCCCUAGAACACAUCCCUAUAAUUUUUAUUUCAUAAACAAGAUCGAUGUUCAACAAAGAUGAGUCCUUUUUAAAUAAUAUUUAGACUCAUAUGACUAACAUGGGAUCUUUAUAAAGAAUCUUGAGAUACAAAUUGGUUAGUUGUCUACUUCAAUAAAUUAUCAAUCGAAGGGAAUUUCCAAGUGAUAUAGAGAUUAACCUAAAGGAAUGCUGCAAAGCCAUUACAUUGAAGAGUAGCAAGGAAGUUGUAGAGAGUAUACCUAUAAAAGCAUCGAUUUCUACACUUGACGAACAUGAAGAGCAGAUAGUUGCAAAACAAGAGAUUAAGGUCAAGAAAACAAAAAAGGCUUACAAGCCUAAUUCUAUAGCAUUCCUUGAUAAUCCACUAAUCAUAAAGCCAACACUUCUAUUUCUUCAGAGAUUUUAGAAGAAGAAAUUUGAUGGGCAGUAUGUCUAGUUUCUCGAUGUUUUCAAGAAUAUUCACAUCAAUAUUCCAUUUGCAAAUGCCUUUGAACAAAAGCUAAAAUACACUAAAUUCAUGAAAUGUGUGAUGUCAAAGAAGAGGAAGUUGGAAGAAUAUGAGAUGGUGAAGUUGACAGAGGAAUGAAGUCUAAUUCUUCAAAAAGAAGCUCCUUUAUAAAAGGAAAGAUUCAAGUAGAUUCACUAUUCCUUGUACUAUUAGAGGCUCCGCUUUUGUUAAACCCUUUGUGACUUUGGGGCUAGAAUCAAUUUGAUGCCAUUGUUUGUUUUCAAAAAGUUGGGUCUCGAGAAAGUCAAGCCAACAUCAGUCUUUCUUUCGUUAGCCGAUAGAUCCCUCACAUACCCACAAGGGAGUAUUGAAGAUGUUUUAAUUAAAGUUGAUAAAUUCAUCUUUCCAGCUGAUUUUGUAGUUUUGGAUAUGGAAUAAGAUUAGAAAAUUCCACUAAUUCUUGGUAGACCAUUCUUGGCAACUGAAAGAUCUCUAAUUAAUGUACAUAGAGGCUAGUUGACAUUGAAAGUUAAUGAUGAAGAAGUGAUGCUCAACAUCUAUUCGGCCAUGAAAUUCCUAGUACUUACCAUAGAAUAGACUUUAUAAAUUCUAUGGUGGAGGAGGAGAAAUUGUUCAUUGAAGACUCCCUAGAGCAUUGUAUGAUGAUCAGUGCAGCAAGAGAAGAUAUUGAUAUUGUUGUAGGGUACACAUGAAGAAGAUACUUAGUUGAUUGUAUACUAGCACUUGAAUCCUUGCCAGUUGAAAAUAAUCCAUCACAAAGUAAAUACAUUCAGCAGCCAGUGAAUAAAGAUGAAACCUAAGGAAAGAAAAACACCAAAUCUAAGUUAAAGCAGCUUCUAGACCAUCUUUGAUAUGCAUUCGGGGAGGAGGAUCUUACAUCUUCAGUAAUUAUUUCUUCAUUACGUAUCAAAGUUGAAGAGGAAAAGUUACUUAAGAUAUUGAGAAAACAAAAGGCUGCAUUAGGUUGGUAUAUUGUAGAUAUUAAGGAGAUCAGUCCUAAAGUGUGCAUGCAUAAGAUCCUUAUAGAGAAAACAUAUAAAACAUCAAAGGAGAUUGAAUCCAGCUAUAAAAGAAAUUGUACUAGUAGAGGUACUAAAGCUACUAAAGGUUUUUAUCAUAUUUUCUAUUUUAGAAAGUGCAGCGUUAGUCCAGCACAGGUGGUGCCAAAAAAAUGUGGAUUACUAUGGUUAAGAAUAAUAACAACGAGCCAAUUCCUAUAAGAACAGUUACAAGUUGAAGAGUUUACAUUGACUACAAGAAGUUGAACAAAGCAACUAAAAAAGAUUGCGUUCCAUUUCCAUUGAUUGAUUAGAUGUUGAAUCGGUUGGUAGGCUAUUCUCACUACUAUUUUCUUGAUGGAUAUUCUGGAUAUAAUCAAAUUGCAAUCGCACCAGAAGUUAAGAUAAAACUACUUUAACUUGCUCUUAUGGGACUUUUGCUUUUCAAAAGAUGCUGUUUGCGUUAUGCAAUGCAUCUGCCACUUUUCAGAUAUGCAUGAUAGCCAUCUUUAUAAACAUUGCAGAGGAAAUUAUGAAGAUGUUUAUGGAUGAUUUUUAUGUUUUUGGUAUAUCUUUUGAUAAUUGCCUUCACAAUCUUUCUUUUGUGUUAUAAUGUUGUGAAGAAAAAAUUUUAGUUUUUAAUCGAAAAAAGUGCCACUUUAUAGUACAAGAAGAAUUGUGCUAGGCCACCAUGAUUCUACAAUAGGAUUGGAAGCUGAUAGAGCCAAAAUUGAUAUAAUGGUGAAGUUGCCACCAUAUAAAAACGAAUUCAAAGUUUCUUGGGAAAUGUUGGGUUCUACAGGAGGUUCAUUAAAGACUUUUCAACGGUAGCUAAACUUCUAUACAACCUUCUAGAGAAGAAUAUAACAUUUGUCUUUGAUGAAGAUUGUCUUAAGGAUUUUGAAACAAUUAGGGAAAAAUUGGUUACGUUAUUUUGUUAUGAUAGUGCCAGAUCGAAGUCAGCCAUUUGAAGUCAUGUGUGAUGAUGAUGAUUAUGUGGUGGGAGCAAUUUUCGGAGAAAGGUGUGAAAAGGUCUUUCGGGCAAUUCACUAUGCUAGAAAAGCUUUGAAUGGGGCUCGAUUGAAUUACACCAUAGCGAAGGAAGAUAUGUUAGCGGUGGUAUUUUUGCUUGUGAUAAGCUCUGGCGAUCAUGCAGUAAUUUAGUAUUUUCUUGCAAAGAGAAAUGCAAAGCCUCGCCGAAUUCGAUAGAUUUUGUUAUUACAAGAGUUUGAUGUGGAGAUCUGAGAAAAGAAUGAACGUGAGAAUGUAGCUAUUAAUCAAAUCUUGCGAUUGGAAAAUGAAGAGGUAAAACUAAAAGUCCAAUUCAAGGAAAUCUUUCUUGACGAGCUCUUAUUAUAGUUUCAUCCAAAUGUUCAUGGUACGUUGAUUUUGUUAAUUACUUAGCUUGUGAGAGGAUGCCACAUGACUUGACUUCUCACAAAAGAAGAAGUUCUUGCAUGAUGUUAACUUAUAUUUAUAGGAUAAUCUACCAUUCUUCAAGCACAUAUAUGAUAAUAAGAAGGUGUGUUAUUUUGGAAGAAACAUAUCAAUUUUGGAGCAGUGCCAUGCAUCAUCUUAUGGAGGUCACUUCUGUCCUACAUGUACACCAUCUAAAGUAUAACAAUCAGGAUUUUGUUGGCUAACUCUUUACGAAGAUUACUAAAUUUUUGUAAAGACCUAUGACUGUUGUCAAUGCACUGGAAACAUUUCAAGGCGUUAUGAACUUUCGUUGACUAACAUGUUAGAGGUUGAAAUCUUUGAUGUUUGAGGAACAAUUUAUGGAUCCUUUCCCACCAUCUUUUGGCAACUUAUAUAUUCUCCUUAUAGUGGAUUAUAUUUCAAAGUGGAUUGAAGCCAUUUGCUAUACCAACAAAUAAUGCAAAGCUAGUCUUAAAAUUCUUAUAGAAUAAUACCUUUAUUUGAUUUAGCAUACCUCGACCAAUUAUAAGUGAUAAAGGUGCACAGUCUUGCAACAAACUCUUCAACUCUCUCUUGGUAAAGUUUAAUGUAAGGCAUAAGUUAGCACUUGGCUACUAUCCCCAAUCAAAUGGACAAGCAGAAAUCUCCAACAAGAAGAUAAAACAAAUAUUGGAGAAAAUAGUAAUAACCAGUCGAAAAGUCUAGGCUCACCAGCUAGAUGAGGCAUUAUGGGCAUUCUAAACAACAUUCAGAAUGCCAAUUAGAAUGUCACCUUACCGAUUGGUAUUUGGGAAAGUAUGUCACUUACUGAUGGAAUUAGAGUAUAGAGCUUAUUGGGUUGUGAAGAAGCUCAACCUUGAUAUGAAAAUAGUGGGUCCAAACCGUUUCUCAACUGGAGGAGUUUCAGAAUGAAGCAUAUGAGAACAUAAAAAUCCACAAAAAGUGAACCAAAAUGUGGCAUGAGAAGAGGAUUUUCAGGAGAGAAUUCAAGCCUAAGAAAUAAGUGCUUUUUCAAUUCUCGUUUGAAGCUUUUCCCUGGAAAGCUUAAAUCACAUAGGUCAGGACCAUUCAUUGUCUAUAAAGUGUUUUCCUUUGGCUUCCUGGAGUUGUUGAGUAAAGAUGGGACAAUAUUUCGAGCCAAGUGUCAAUGUCUUAAACACCAUUAAUAUGGAGAGCAAAAGCGGAACGUAGAAUAAAUCUUUCUUGGAUAAUCAACCUAAAACUGCAUCAAUGUCAAGCUAAGGAUGCCAAAGAAGUGCUUCUUGGGAUUAACCCAAGUUUUAUCCCUCUAUUUCAAUUAAUUACAUAGGAGUUUACUUUUAAAGUCGAAACUAGGCACUGUAGCACCAUAAUUCAGGUACUACAACUCCACAACCUAGGCAUCCCGGCGUCCCAAACCCAAAGCUCCUUUAACUUAGCAUUAUUUUUUUUUUCUUUUCAAUUUUACACCCCCUUAUAUACUACCCAACUCACAAAUCAUAUUUAACCCCAAAAUUCCAAAUCCCUAAAGCUCCAACUCUCCAUCUCCAUCUUUUCACUCUAGAUCUUCAUCUCAAUCUCUACCACCACCUGCACGUCUCAUACAACCACCUCCAAUUUCUUAUACAUUUGGCCACCCUAUUAACCCUAGGAUCGAAUUUUCAUCUCUUAGUUUCAAUAUUUUAACCACAAAAAUUGUAACUUUCAUUCAUAAAUCAACCCAUCCAAGACACUAUAUUAUACAAUUAGAGGUUUGCUUGGGCUUUGAUUACUCUACCACAACAAGGAUUAUUCUACUGAAAGUAAGUGGUUUCUCUCUCUCUCUCUCUUUUGGAGUUAGUGAUGGUGUUGUUGGGGCCUUUGGUUAUAUACAUUGUGAAUCAUUGGUGAUAAAGUGAUUGUAGCUUAUGGUUUGAUUUGAAGAAGUUGGGUGACAUUGUUCUUUGAAUUGUUAAAGGUUGGAAUAGAUGCUCACUAAGUGUUUUACAAAAUUCUUAAAAGAAAAUCUAUAUCUUUGUUGCGAAUUUGGGUUUCAUAAUUGGAGUUUACAACAUAAGGGCAAUUUGACUUGGGUAUUGGUGGUUCGAAUUACUAGUUGCGCGUGUACUUUGAGAAAUUGACAUGGUUGAUUGAAGCAUUGCGAAUUGUUGACAUUUAAAAGUUUAAAAUGCUGUUGAAUAAGAAAUCCAAAACCAUGGCAUCUUUAUCCUCUACUUUAUAUGAUAAGAAAAUUUUAUAAGUUCUACUGUAGAAGAUAGGUACACCAAAAUGUUAGUAGAUCGAUAUUCUAUAAAGGAAGGGGCGUUGAAAACUAUAUGGAGGAUUAGAUUGCUAGUAGGAAUUGACAGGUAUUUACAAAAUAAUCAAGUUCAGCCUUGAUCCCAUUGGUAAGAGUAUUUUUCGCUAAUGCCAUGAAGCAUUCUUUUUACAGUUCAUCUAUCAACAAAUACUAUAAAGUACAAGAUCUACCUAAUGAUGACUACUUAAGAAUCCCUAAAGAAUGUGUUGACUGAGAGAAUACUCAAUGUAUUGGCCAAGAAAGUGAUUGAAGAGAAACGAUGAUCCACUGAUGUGAUGAACUUUCCAACGUCAAGUAUGAGUCUCGAGUGCAAAAUUUAGCACUACUUCAUCUCAGCCAAACUCCUUCAAACCAGUAACAUUAGUAAGGCAACCAAAGAAAGAGUAAUACUGAAUUAUACUAUUUAAGGGAUUACUCAAUUGAUAUUUGGAAUGUCAUUCACAACAACAUUCUAGCACCUAAUGGGGUCUACCACUGCUGGUUUAGGACAUCCCUCAUUAAUAUAUGAUUUAUGUAUAAAAGUGAGUGUCAUGGUAGAACCAUCUGAAGAGGUAGUACAUCCCAGACUAGUUCUCACGCCGCGCCAUAGGAGAAAGGUUUUUAAGUCAUUGGGGCUCACAAGUGAUUCUUCGAUACCUCAGGCACCUCAUCCAUCUCUACCAGCAAGAGAAACUAGUAAUGACAUUACUAGUCAACUUCAAGCCAUGAACUUGCAAAUGAUGCAAUGGCUGGAAAGAAUGCAACUGCAAUUGAAUCAAAUGCAGAACUCAAUGUACGACUAAUUUCUCUUAUCAGAAUAAUUUCAACAAAGCUUUUGGCGUCCAUGUUCCCUAAUCAGACUUUUCCUUAACCACCAUUAUUUCCUUAUCAUUCUCACAUUCUAGCUCCACCAAACCAAGAUACCAUGAGGACGAAAAUAAUUAGUGUCUUCAUUCGGGUCAGUUAUAUCUCGUCUUUAAUUUUACAUUGAAGAUAAUAUUUAGUUUAAGUUUGAGGAUGUAUUUUACCUUAGUUGUUUAUUUAGUUAAUAGUUUGUGUGUGAUUUUUAUUUUUUUCUUUCUUAUGUUUUAUGUGUUAUUAAGUCUGAAAUGUGAAAAAAAAAAAAUUCUAUGCUUUUGCAUGCUUGUAUGAGUUAGUUAGCAUUGCCAUUAACGAUGCAUAUAUUUGAGAAAUUAUGUCAGUCUGUGAAUUGUGAGUACAUAAUGUGCUUUAGUUAAGAUUUUGCUUAUACUUGUAAAAUGUUAAUAUAAUGAUGCAGAUUAAUCAAGUUAAAGUUGUUUAGGAAAUAUGUUUAUUCAUAUAUGGUUUAAGUUGAAUUAGUCUUGCAUACUAAAUCCAAAACAGUCAGUAAAAAUCUUAUAUCCUUAACCCAAUCUAGUAUACUUUGAGUGGUUUAGUUAUAGGAAAACUUGGAGAUAGAUGAGGAUUUAGUGUGUGUAUAUAUUGUGUGGAUUGUCUAAGACCAAUGUGAUGAAAUUUGGGUGAAAACCUUAAAUGAGAGACCGAUUUUUCAAGAAUGAGUGUUUAGUAAGAUGAAUUGCACUAAUUACCACUUCAAAGGGAAAAAGAUGCCUUGUUGUGGGGCUGUCCUAAAAAAUCUCAAUGAGGACAACUAUAAUAAUCUUCUUGUGAAACGUCUCUUCGUAGCCUUUAUGACUUGAGUGAUUAAGUCUACAGUGGUUUAAAGCCUGAUGCUUUAUAGUCAUCUUAUUUGAGAGUCAUCAACCAAAAGUUCGCUACAGAGGCCAUUUAGAAAGUUUAAUGGAAAAAUGUCCAAUUAAUUAGUUCUCCAAUUAAUUAAUUGCUUCGACUGUCAAGACUCAAUUAGGCUAAUUAUCCUUCAUCGAAAGUCAAAUUCUCUCGAACAAGUGUUAGAACUUAACAAGGUAAUAAGUGCUUUUACUUCUUUCAUGCACUUGCUUUUUCUAAUUUUUAAAAGAAUUUUUUUUUGGCACUCCCCCAUAAGCUUUCUAGAUGAUCUAUGUACCAGGCUUUAGGCUGAUUAUUCCCAAGUCAGACGACUUUAGGGCACCAGAUUUUCAAAUACCCUUACAAGCUUAAUAAUCUAAGUAAAAAAAAAAAAAAUUUCAAAGAGAAUAAUUUUUUUAUUUUUUUAAGGACAACUUCAUCUAUGAUCACUUUCUAAAUGAUCCCUGUAGUGAGCUUUAGGUUGAUGACUCCCAAGUCAGAUGACUUUAGGGUACCAGGUUUUAAUAUACCCUUGUUAGCUUAAUUACUCGAGUCAUAAAGACUUCAAAGAGAAGGUUUAAAUUUCAAAAUAUAUGCCUUGAUUAGUGAAAUGACCCUUAUCACACACCUAUUUAAGCAAAUCGACCUCCAAUUUAAGACUUUCAUCCAAUUUUAUCCUGUUAAUCUAAGACAAUCCAUACAAACUUUUUCACAUGAGGAAUCCAUAUUCACAUCCGUAUCUUCCUACAGAAGCAAGGUUACCCCCAAAUUGUACUAAAUUUGGUUUAAGGAUAAAUAAUAGUAUGGUUUAGGUAAAGCAACUAUUUCCAGCUUAAUCAAUCUAUCGCAUGCAUGAAUCAACUUAUUUCAUCAUAAUGUCAGCUCAGUUUUAGUGCGCAUAUAAUAUCAAGUUUUGCAAGUUUAAACUUCAAACAAUCUAGCAUGCAUCCUAUCCACAAUUCAUAAAUCAACACUAAAUCUCAAAUUUUAAUCAUCAUUUUCAAUCAAACUGUUUAGCCUACACAAGCACACAAUUAGAAAAAAUAGUAAUUGAACGAUUUUAUUAUUAUUAUUUUUUUACUUAACACACAAUUUUUUUAAAUAAACACACAAAAACAAACGCACAAAAAGAUACAAAAGCCAAAAGUAAGAAUAUAAAGAAAUGGGGAAGAAAAGAAAGAGAAUACUCCCUGAAAUUUUCUGUUGAAUGUGUUAGGCACUAUGGAUGAAGGCUCAACAAUCUCUUUCAUCAUACUUUUCCUCUGGUCUAUGUUGGUUUGAGUGUUCUACCAUGUCAUGUUCUUGCAUUUGACGGUCAAAUCAAAUGUUGGAGAUCAAAUAAUCUAGAACAUGUGUUACUAAGCCCAAACAAUCAAAAUAACCAACACUAGAUUCAAGGGCCUAAAAGGAACAUCGAGGAUGGUGAUACCCUACAAAUUGAAACAUCUUAAGUAUAAUGCAGACUAAUAAUCAAAAUAAAUCUACAUGCAAAUGUAGUGCAAAAAGUAAAAUAAAUAAAAGAGAUAGGAGGUUGGGUUGCCUCCCAAUCAGCAUUUAAUUUAUAGUCUUUAGCUGGACUAUCAGAUCGAUCAUUUUGGGUUAUGAAGUUGGAUGAGUGACUUCUCUUUAUCAAAGUCACCACCCUAAUAUGCUUUCAAUCGCUGCCCAUUUACUUUGAAGGUUCCUUUUGUCUCAUGACUCACUUCAACUACCCCAUAUGGAAAGACUUGAACAACUGUGAAUGGUCCAGACCAUCUAGAAUGCAAUUUUCGAAGAAAAAGUUUCAACCUAGAAUGGAACCAUAGUACUUUUUAACCUGGAUUAAACUUAUGCCUCUGGAUGUAUUUAUCAUGCAAUUUCCUCGUCCUCUCCUUGUACAGUUUUGUAUUUUCAUAGGCAUCCAUCCGAAAUUCAUCUAACUUAUUUAACUAUAGCAUCCUCUUAUCUCUAGCUAUUAUCAGGUCCAUGUUUUACUGCUUUAUUGCCCAAUAUGCUCGAUACUCCAAUUCCACUAGAAGGUGACAAGCUUUUCCAAAUACAAGGCGAUAUGGUGACAUGCCAAUUGGUGUUACACUACUCGAAUGGCAUCCUUCUGUAUGUAAAAGUACCAUAAGGGCAUGUAAAUGUAGUCUUCUCUGAUCGUUUGGAGCUACUGCAAUCUGAUUGUAACCUAAUUACCUAUCCAAGAAGCAGAAGUGUAAAUGUCCAGCUAGUCUCUCAAACAUCUGAUCGAUAAAAGGCAAAAAAAAGUGAUCUUUUCUAGUUACAUUGUUCAGUUUUCUAUAGUCUAUAUAUAUUCUCCAUCCUGUGACUCGUCUUGUCGGUAUUAGCUCAUUGUUCUCAUUCUUUACCAUUGCAAUACCUCCUUUCUUUGGAACAACAUGGGUUGGACUAACCCACUUACUAUUUGAGAUCAAAUAGAUGAUGCCUGCAUCAAGUAGUUUCAAUACCUCUGCUCGCACAACGUCCUUCAUGGUGGGAUUCAAUCCGCGCUGAUUUCCAUUGUUGGCUUAUACUCUUCUUUCAUCAAGAUUUUGUGCAUGCAUAUCGAUGGACUGAUUCCUUCGAUGUUUGCUAUAGACCACCCAAUGGUCGUUUCGUAUUCUCGUAAGACUCUUAGUAAUCUCUACUCUUCCAACUCAGUCAUCUCAUUUGCAAUGAUCAUGGAGAGUGUAGAUGACUAUCCUAAAAAAGCAUGCCUUAGAUGUCAUGGUAAUUGCUUGAGCUUAAGAUUUGGUGCUCUCUGGAUAGAAGGUAGUGGUUUACUAUGUCCAGUAUCAAGUUCCUCAAACUGUCUUCUUCUGAUGGAUGGCGCAGACUCUAUAAUGUAGGUAACUGACUUAUCUCUUCAACUGUUGAUGUUUUAUCUCGUGAAUGCACAGGAAUAUUUGUUUCAGCGUUACUCGCAAUGUUCCUGGUAGUCUCUUUGAAAGUGCCUUGGCUAUUUGUCCCACUUGAUUCUCCAAAUUUUUUAUGACAGCACCUUGAACUUGCAAGCUCUUAUCCGUACGUUACAUGUGUUGAGUGAAUAUUUCUAGUAACUUCAUCACAAGAUCUUCUAGCAAAGAUUUUUUCUCAUUUUGUUGAAAUCCUGGUAGUGUAAUCUAUUAUGGCGCAAUCUGAGCUCCCUAAUUAUUGCUCCAUUGAAAGUCUGGGUGAUUUGUAAUAUGUGUGAGGAUUUUGAUUGUGUUGUUGCCUUUGAAAAUUCUAAGUGUAGUUAAUGCCUUCUACUGUUUGAGCAAAAAGGGAUCCUACAGUACAGUCAACACUUUCGUGGCUCGUUCCACAAUGUUAGCAUUUCGGUCCCACCGCCAGGGCUAUACUCAUCUGAUCUACCUUCUGUGCCAAUGAUGCCAAUCGUGCUAAAAUUGUCGUUAAAAAAUCAACUUCGAAUACCCUAGCAGCUUUCUUUUCACUUGUUCUUUCUAUAGGCCAAAGUGCACUGGUGAAUACUAAAUCCUCCAUUAUUUGGUAGACCUGAUCCGUGGUUCUUUUUGCGAUAGAACCAUCGCAUGUAGAGUCUACAUUAGCACUGCUAAUCAGGUUCAAACUAAUGUAAAAGUAUUGCAUUUGAGACCACUUCUAUAAUCCGUGUUGUGGGCAUUGGGGAAAUAAACCUUUGUAUCAUUCUCAAGCCUCUGAAUAGCAUUCUGAGUCCAUUUGUUGAAAAGUAGUGAUCUUGUCCCUUAGUUUUACGAUCUUUUUUGGUGAAAAAUAUUUGCUAAGAAAUUUCUGACUCAAUUGUUUCCAUGUUGUGAUGCUCUAAGGUGGGCAAGUGUCUAACCAUGCCCUCGCUGAGUCCCUCAAUGUGUAUGGGAAGAGCCUUAGUCUGAUUGCUUUGCUUGAAACCCUUGGAUACUCAAUUGUUGCACACAUGUCCAAAAAUCUUGAUAUAUGAGCGUUGGGAUUCUCCGUAACUUUCCCAAAGAAUUGUAGCACAUUUUAGAACAUGUUGAUAACAUCUAUUCUCAGGUGGAAGUUUGCUUGACCAAACACUAGAUAUAAUAAACUAGACUGGCUUUCCACUAUCGGUGGAACCAUAUACUCUCUCAUGAGCCUUGCGUUUUCAUUUACUACAGUUAUAUUCGGUUGUACUACUCCUAGAUUAGCCCCAAUGGCUAUUUGAUUUGGAUUUUCAUUUGUCAUAUCUUCCUCUUUCUGUUUUUGGUGUGUUUCAAACUGUUGUCUUCUUCGAAGGUUGAAUGUUCGUUUGAUCUCUCGGUCAAAUUGAGCAUGAUCACCGGUUCUCGAGCUUCGCAUACAACAUCCUAAGAAUGAGAGUAAGAAACACUGUAAAAAUUUUCUAAAUUAAUAAACUAAAUAAAAAAUAAAAAAAUAAAAAAAAUUAGAUUAAAGGUAAAAUUAGUUAAAACUCAUAAAAAACUAUAGUCCCCGACAAUGACGCCAAAAACUUAUUCGUUUGAUUACGUACAAGUGAACAGGAUCGUGAACAAGUAAUAUAAUAGUGUAUAGAGUGUCAAACCCACGAGGACUAUGUGUUUGAUUGAGUUAAACCUAAAAAUUCCCUUAAUCAAAUAGCAAAAUUGAUUGUAACUAACAGUAUUAAAUCUAUUAACUAAAUUGAAAGCAAUGUAAAAAUUCAUCAAAUCUGAGAGACGUAUUACUAAGAUGUAAAAUCCCCCUUGCUAAUCCAUUUUUAGUUCAACAAAUUAAAUUGACAAUUUGAAUCAUGCUUGUUGGUUAAUGUUCCUAUUUUAUUUAAAAGCUUCUCUCGAUAGCAAUUAAAUCUAUUAUCCUCUUUUGACCUUCCCAUCUCUCGAUGAAAUAUGCGAACAUGGUAAAUGCUACAACUUUAAGGUUGCAAACCCAAGUAUAGGUUGUCUCAAGUAUAAACUCGGAAGUCCGAGGUAGAACCACAUGAAUUUGGAAGGAAAUGAACUAUUCUAUGAGUGGUAAAUGAUUGGUGGAAAUGCGAUAAAGAAGAACACUAGAGUAUUGGGGAUUCACUUCGGAUAAUUGAGUACAAAUUACUCUUGAUCUUUUAUUUAACUCAUAUGAAAUAUUGAAGAUAAAAUAUUGAUCACAGAUAUACUAAAAGAUAGAUCUUGAUAAUUGUUUGAGAGAAUAUGUCAAAAUAAGUUGUUGGUAUGUAGAAAUUAUCUAAGCAUUUAUUGUGCCAAAAUUUAUCAACAAUAAAUCAAAGUUUUUAACAAACCAAAACUAUUUGUAGAACAUAUACUUCAACCAAGUAGGAAGAUGAACAUUGAAGAAUAAAGUGAAAGAUCAAAAACAAUACUAGAUAUUUACCAAAGUUUCACCCCUAGCUCUAGCUAAAGUUUUAAAAAUACAUAAUGAAAUGCUACAAAGAAAAUGAAGGAAACUAGAAUAUGAUAAAGAGGAAUUGAUGCCCUCAAAAUCUUGGCCAAUGUCCCCCUUUUAUAGGCAAAGGAACAUCUAAAAUGCAAGUGAAUAAUGCAACUUGUUUCUGUUCCAGCUUCAAGACAGUUGGAACAUGCAAUUUGAUACCAAUUUUUAGAUACUUUGUGUAGUGAAUUUGGAAUUAUGAUCCCAGAUAAAUUGUUGUCACUUGAGUUAGCUUUCCAUUGGUACAAACAUCAGGUCCAUUGGAUCUCUAUAACUUCAGAUAUGGCAAAAAAAUGAGUGCUACUCAUAGUUAGAAAAGUUGUAUCCGGUAGGUAACAACUUAGAUUUUGCACGAUAAAUUUGACUGCCUUAUGAUGCUAAUUUGACUUCUUGGUAAACAUGAAAGUUGUAAAUACAUAUCUUAUCUUUCCAACUUGACUUGAAUAACCUUGUUUUGAUAGCUAAAGCUCGAGUUAUGACCAUUUUAUCGAGACAACUAAUCAUUUUUUACUUUUCAACAUCUUUUCUCCACUUGUUCUACCUUGGAAAUACAUGUGACAUACAUCAAACAAAUACUCUUUCAAAAUUAUAAUACUCAUGCCACAUGUAUUUAAAUACAUAUUUUGAUUAAUUGUACUUUUGACCAUGUAUUUAUGAAAAUUGAAUUUACGGUAAGAGAAUUGAAAUUAGAGACUAACAUUAGUGUUUUUAAACAAAGUGAAUGAAAAAUGCAUGGUAAAUAAUAUAUUUUUGAAACACUUUUAGACACUAAUCAAUAAAUGCAUUAAAUGAGUUACAACAUCUUAUAACAACCAUAUGAAGUAUAGAGGUAUGUCUCUACUCUUUAUCGAACCUCACAAUGCUUAUUACUAUGUUCUAAUGAUCUUAUUACCUCUCUCGAUGAUAAUAAAAUUUACAAACAAUUCAAUUAAUGACCAAUUAAUUGAAAAGCUAACGAAACAAUAAUAAAUAUCCAAAUAAUUAAGAAAUUAUCAUCAAAUUAAUUAUUCAAACUAAGAAAUUCACAAUAAGGGUUCAUCACAUCCUAGCAAUAUUAAAAAGUUUAGCCAAGCAUAUUGUUGAAAUUAAAUGCACACAAGCUAAAAGACAUCACCAAACUAUGACGGAACGUGAUUAAUUCUCCCUAUUAAAGUUGCUUUCUUCUUCCUCGUAUUUUGUCAGUUUCUACCUGUCUUCAGUGUGUGUAUAAUAAAAAGGCAGUAGGCAACUCGUUUCUUCUUUUAAACUUCUCUCUCUCUCUCUCUCUCUCUCUCUCUAUAUAUAUAUAUAUAUAUAUUAAUUAGUUGUUUUGAAUUCUUUUGUUUUUUGUUCCAGCAGGCAGUUUCUUCUUCUUCCUUUGUCUGCGUGUGUGUAUAACAUAUUUCUUGGUGCCCAAUUUCUGAAUUUUUCCUUUCUUCCUUGGCUACCGUUUAUGUUGUGUGUAUAUAUUAAUUAACUUCAAUCGGCAGCCCGUGUUCUUUUGUUUGCAGCAGCCCAAUUUGUCUCCCAAAAGUUUAACUCUAAUUCUUUCAGCAGCAAAACUGAUUUUUGUCUCCCAACCGCCGCCUUCAAUAUAACUGAUUUUUUUCUCCCAACCGCCGCCUUCAAUAUUUCUCUCCUUUUUCCUCCAACUUGGUGCCAUAUUUUCUAAUGUGUAUCCCCUUCUCAUCCCUAGCUUCCUGUGUGUAUAUUUAUAUCUACUACAACAGCAAUAAGUUGGAGUCCAGCUUGGAGUGAAUUUCUUUGGAUAAAACACACCAAAAACUAAAGAAAGUUCAGCCCACUUUUGUUUUCAAUUUCCUACAGCUUGAUUGGCUUUAUUCCAGUUAAAGUCCAAACAUGAGGCCCAUUUAAUGUAUACUUUUCUUCAAGCCUUCCUUUCUUUUAAAAUAGCGCAAUUUAGUCCCUCUUUCUUUCCAGUUGCUUCAAACAAGUCCAUCACUGAAAUAAACAAAAUUAACUCAAAUUAAGUAUAAAAUUCACUAAUUUGACAACAUACAAGUUUAGUACUAUAUCGUAAAUAAGUGCACAAAAUGCACUUAUCAUUAAUUAAGGUAUGCAGUGCAUCUUUUGUUUAAUGCAGCUAUUUUUUUCGAACUUGCUAUGUGUAUUCUAUCUAAUGCUCUAGCACUAUCCCUUUUGAGUUUCUUUUUGGGAUAUUGAAUAUUUCUUCUCACUAGGAUUAGGUUCACAACAUGACAAUUUUUUUCCUCUUUAUGCAAUAAUUAGUAUAAUGUCACUCAAUAAAAACACAGUAUCAAGAACUAACCACAAACUUAAGAUUUUUAAGUUUUCAUCUUGUAAGCUGAUAAGUGCAUUUUGCACACUUAUCUGGAUCAUAUUACUAAGCUUUUAUAUCAUGAAAAUGUUUACUUAACUUGGUUAACUUUCAUUUAUCUCAAUGAUGGAUCUAUUCCUAUUGCAAGUGGAAAGGAAAAAUGGGAAAUCUAAAGUACGAGGGCAAAAUUGCAAUAUUUUAAUAGUUGAUUCGGACCAUAAAAUGAAGAUUAAAGAUAUUUCGGGUUCAAUUGGAUGCAAUUAGAAGUCAAAGGGUUGAAAUUGCAAGAGAAAGGAUUUAAAAGAAUUAAGAAUUGAAUUUGAAAACUAAAAUGCAACAUUCGGAAGUUUUUAUAAUUGGGCGACUGCCGUGUUAUUUAGAGUGGGCGACAACCCAACAUCAACGAACGGUUAUCAAGGUAAAAAACAUAGCUUGGUUGACUGUGCCCGGGUUUUGCCUGGGAGAUUGUCCAAGUCAAUCGUGGGGAAAAAUUAUGAUUUCCUUAUCUGAUUGAAAUUCUUAUGGAAACAAAUCUUGAAAAGUAUUUUAAAACCCUAAGGUCAUCCCUAAGUAGGCACCACUCAUUCUAAUUGAUUUGUAAGAAUUUGGAGAGCAUUGACGAAGGCAAGAAACAUGAAGAACAACCCGAAGACCCGAGGAUUCAAAUCAAUAAUUAAUUUGGUGAUGUCGUUUCUUCAAGAUUCCUUUUUGUUUUCUAACUACCCCCACACCUUGGCUUGGUGCCUCCGAGCCUCGAGCCGGACCGGUUGGGCUUUUUUUGAAGCCAAGCCAUGGUUGGCUUGAGCCGACGAGCCCGAUUGCCAUCCUUACUCUCGAUGUUUGUGCCUCGAAUUAGCCAACAAAUUUUUUUUUGUCUACAAAGGGUUUUUUGCACAAAUAAAAACAUUUCCCUAUGAAUAAAUUUUUUAGGAAAAAUGUAAAAUUCUUGUAGUACAUUGAACCACUUGUUCUUCGCUAGUGGCAGGCACCUAAUCCUCCUUGAUCCGUUUUGUUUUUUUUAUAAUGAUUUCUAGUAGCUAAAAUCUAUAUCUCUUUGUGAUGGCUUGAGCUUGUUCCUCUUUUAGUGACAUAUAAGCUCGAAUGGGGAUAACUAACUUGACUAAUGGUGUCUCAAUAACUACAUAAUCUACAACUUUAAUUGCUAAUAACGGUUGUUCUUCUUCAUUUUUUUUUUUUUUUUUGUCACUUGGAAAGGUACUUGUGUUAUUUUUUACAAUGAAGCAGUUAUUGGCCCACCCGAGUUUCCAAAUUACUGAUUGCUACCUGCUAGUUCUAAAAUUAGUCUCAGUCUUUUUAAUGUAUUGAGUCAUUAGAUCUCCUAAAGAUGACUUCUUCUCUCGUUCCUAAAAUCUUGGUGGUGUUAUCAAGAAUCUUUUUUCCUAAUCUAGUUUUAUUAAUGUUUUCUCGACAAUCGAUAUACACGUUAUAUUUCUUCCUGACUCGAUCAUAUUUCUAGUUCGAAUUCAAAUGAGUAGAACACAUUCAAUUAUACGAUUAUCUAAAUGAUUGCACAUGUGAUAUUGUUACCCUAAUAUCUAUUGCCCGUAUGUUAACCUUGUAGCAUUCUAAACUUAGUUUUGAAAUAAUUAAUUCUAGUAAUAACAAAUUUUCGGGACUUUACAUGUUACUCAUGAAGGAAGCACCGUUUUGUGUUCAAAAUGAGAAAGAGAUUGACGAUGACAGCAAUGACCAAAGUUUGAGUUUUUGAAAAUAUAUAUAUAUAUAUUUACCACUUAUUUCAAUGACUUCCUACCAAGUAUUAUUCAUGUUACUCAUCCCUAUUAAAAUUUUACAGGUUGAUUCGAGGCAUGGUCGUGAUUUGGCAUAGUGGCAAGUGCUCAGUGAUUUAAAAAGGUGUCAACUUUCUAGUAAAAUUUCCAGUUUGUGUAAAUGUGUUUUGAAUUCUUAGAUGACACUUUUAAAAAUGUUUAGAUGUCUAUUUAAUCUAAUUUUAUAUGCAUUGUACGUCGACCAUAAUUGAAAAAUGUUGUAUUUGACUAUGCAUGAAGUUUAAGUAUUGCUGUAAUGAAAUUUCAGAUUCUUCCCUUUCACUCAAAGUAGCAUAACUUGGGUGACAGUACAUAUUUUAGAGUGAAAUCAGUGGGAUUUGAAAGGUUUACGAGUUUUCUAAUAGUGACCACUGGAAUUACCCAAAAAUAUUAUCUAGAUAAAAUGUUAUGCCUGUUUUAGCAAACUACGUUGGGUCAGAUCCGAAUUUUAUGUCCAGCAUAGUCGAAUAAUAUUUUCGUGCUUCAAACAUUGUCGUCGAGACCCCAAAUUUUUAUAUGUUGUACAAAUAUGAAUGUUUUAGUCUCUGUUGAAAUUUCAAAAUUUUUAGUCAUGAUUUACUAGAUCAAACAUAUUUUUCUUUCCACUGCUACGAAACUGGUAAUUGAUGAAUUUUUUCCAAAUGUUUUCCAAAAAUCAAAUCUUACCAUAAGUGUCUAAGUUUACAUGGGCAAAUUUCUCUCAUUAUUUUUCAUAUAUUUCAAACUCCAAAAUUUUUCUCAUUUGCAAUUUUUUUUUUUUUUGGUUGACAUCAAAGGGGUCAAACCAAAGAAGGAUUGAUUUUAUUUUAUAACGCUUCAUGUUCCGAGAGUUCGGGGCAAUAUAGGGCAGAGAUCCCCUGAGUAUUUGAUCACGUUCUUGAUUUAUAAAAUGUGAAAUUAGGUUAAGAAACACAUCCAAAUUCGCUAUAAAAAGAGUCUCAAUCAAAUAAAGAAAAUUAACUUUGCGUCGCUCGUGGCCAUGUUUGUACAUACCCGUCAGUAUUUUUGUCAUAUCUUUCUCUUCCAAUGUCCAAUUGAGGUGAUUCAAAACUCAUUGGAAACCUAACUCAAACGGUUACAAUUUUUAUGCACUAUCAUUUUUCCAAUUCAAAAGUUUUCUAUGGAAAAGAAAAGCCUCAUUUGAGGUCAAAAAUCUAAAGCAUAACUUGUUUAGUUGGAAAUUGAUCCUUUGUAAUCUUCAAACAUUUUCUGUGGUCCAAAUCAAUUGUCGGAUAUUUUUUCUUUGGUCCCCAAAUUUUGGAUUUCCUUAGUUUCAUUAUCUUUGCUUCUUUUGUCUAAUCCCUUCAAUUUGUAUCGAAUUUCACCUAACGAAGCUGCGCCUGAAGCAGAAGUUUUUUCUCAUCAUAUGAUAGAAGACAAAUCAUUGGAAGAUCACUUAGUUGUGUUUAAAGAAAUUAUCGCUAAUUUGAGGACUUUAGAGGUAAAGUGUGAUGAAGAAGAUUUAGCCUUAAUUCUUUCAUAUUCAUUGCUUGUUUCAUUUACAAUGUUUAGAGACCUGAUCUUGUACUGUCGUGAUACUCUCAACAUUCAAGAUACAUAUAAGACUUUGUUUUUAAAGGAGAAGAUGAAGCAUCUGGUUGGAUCUGAGGCUAGAGAUGAAGAAGGCCUUUUUGUUCAUGGUGGUCAUAGAAAGUGCAGGUUGAAUUCUAAUUUCAGUAAUCUAGUUUUUAUUGCAAGAAGAAAUGACACAUCGAGAUCGAUUGCAACAAGUUACAAAAUAAAGGAAAUUUGCUACAAAUCAAAAGGUAAGGCAACCAGAAACUUUAGGUGAAGUCGAUGUUGUAGAGGACUAUUUGUGUGAUGGAUAUAUCUUGGUUGAUUCAGACAACGACUCCAAUCCUAGCGAGGAUUGGAUUCUGAAUUCAACUUGUGCUUUUUAUAUCUCGAUCUGGAUUUGUUUUCAACAUAUGAAAAAUAGUUUCAAAAUGUGUCAUGGUCACGAGAAACAAUGCACAUUAUCGAGUAGCUGAUAUUGGUAGAGUCAAACCUAAGCUGUUGGAUUGGAUUCUGGAUUCAGCUUGCGAUUUUCAUGUGUCCCAAUCUGGAUUUAUUGUAAACAUAUGAAAUAGUUUCAAAAUGUGUCAUGGUCAUGAGAAACAAUACACAUUAUCGAGUAGAUGAUAUUGGUAGGGUCAGAUUUAAGCUGUUGGAUUGAACAUUAAGAACACUUGAUCACAUUCGACAUGAUCCAAAUUUGAAGAAAAAUCUCACAUAGUUGGCUACUAUUGAUUCAGAAGAGUACAAGUUCAUUGGUGGAGAUGAAGCUUCUAAGGUUUGCAAAAGUGUUUGGUUGUACUAAAUGGGAAGAAAAAAAUCCCAGUUAUACAUCUUAUAAGGUUGUGCAGAAUAGUUGAAGAACAAUCAACAAAGGUUUAGUACCAUGGUGGGUAUUCAGUUUGGUACAGUACUGUUGGGAUUUGAUUUAUGGUCUGUGUUGGAGAAUACGGCUAAGUCGAGUUUAGAUAAUAUGGGUAAUGCCACUUUGCCACCCUCACCUACGGUGCCAUCAUAUCCAAAUGUUAGGAACAAACCCAUUGGAUAAAGGUAAUUCUGCGGAGCAAUGCUUGGAUUCAAUUAUCCUAGUUGGAUAUCAUAAAAGAGGCAGAGAAUUUUUGGAUUGUUGGAAAAGUUAAUUCAGUUCUUGUUAAAGUGUUGAAUUUAUUCCUUGCAAUCGAGUUUUUUCUCCACGUGGAGAAAUUUUGAAGCUUUGUUUGUUACAGUGAAAUUUGUAUCAAGGUAGAGAUUACCGAGUUUGUGACCUAAAUUCAUCUAGGGUUUGCCUAAUUUGGUGUAUUGGGUCUUGAAAACGUCUAAAUAAGGUUCAUGAAAAAAAUGGAAUGACGACGCUAGCCUACUACUAGUUGGACAUUUGAGCGGUGAGAUAAAAUUUUCAAUAGAGAACCUACCACUCGUUUACCACUCAAUUGGGGGUUAAUAACUCAAAUAGUCACUGAACUUUGCAAAAAGUUUUCAUGGGGUCACUGAACUUUAAAAAUUAUCAAAUUUAUCACUGAACUUUGCAAAAGGUUCCACGGGGUCACUGAACUUUAAAAAUCAUCUCAUUCAUCACUAAACUUUGUAAAAGGUCUCCAUGGAGUCAUUGAACUUUGCAAAAGGAUUCCUAGGGAUCACCGAAUUAGUGAUCCCCUGGAAUUUUUUUUGUAAAGUUUAGUGAUGAAUGAAAUUAUUUUUAAAGUUCAGUGACCUCAUGGAAACCUUUUGCAAAGUUCAGUAAUCUCGUGAAAACCUUUUGCAAAGUUCGAUAAUGACUUUGAUGAAUUUUAAAGUUUAGUGUUCACACGAAAACAUUUUACAAAGUUCUGUGAACAUUUGGGUUAUUAACUCCUCAAUUGGUACUCGAAUUAGGAGCCUAGUGCUCGCUUGGCGCUUGAGCAUCGCUGUCAUCUAGAUUUUCAUUGUUUUGUUUAUUCCACAUGAUUUUUGACCUAGUUUCCAUCUUAAAAACUAUUAUUGGGUUUGAAAUGUACCCCUUUAUAUAUUUGGCUUAUCCUCAUAAUUAGAAUAGGUUUUACCUCAUUAUUACUACAAGUUAGAAUUGUGCAGAAACACAAUAUUGUUAUAAUUUCUAUCUCCAUUAUAAUUGAAUAAAAUCUUCAAUUCCUCUACCAAAUUGAAUUCCUACUUCAUGUGUUCUUGUUGUGUUGUGAUCGAUACUUCAUAUCAUGUCAUAUACCUCAUCCCGACCCCCAACAAGUGAUAUCAAAAAAUCAUAAUCCUUGUUCAGUUUCUAAUAGAAUUGAAAUUCAAAUCUUUACGAAUCCAAAAUAUUAAGUGUAUCUUUGAUAAGGGUUUUUUUUUUUUUGAGAUUAUAUGCUGUAAAUUUUAUGAAAUGAGUGAAUAUAAAGUAGAUAUAUGUAACGCCCUGAAAAUUUAUGGAAAAUUUUGUUUGUACUCUAUACUAUAUUUUUAUAUUUUUGAAACUUGAGGGGAAAAAGUGCAUUGUAUUAAACUCAAUUUUAUUUUGGCCAAAUAAUUAAAUUUUUUAGAGCGAUAUUUAGUAUAUCAAUAUGGGGCUCGUUGAAUAGCUCGUAAUUAAUCAUGUAUAUUAGGCUCUAGAAAAAGUUAAUUCAGAUAAAUGAAGCCUAAGUUAUUAAAGUUUAACGAAGUCGUCAAUAAAUAUUAUUUUAUUACUUACGUUUGUUUUGUGGAAGUGGUAGCCACGUGGGAUUGUUGAGAUUGAAUUAAAAUGGGUUGUUUUAUUUGAAUUGGAUAGAAAUUUUGGGUAAAUUAGACUUCUACUUUCUAUAUACACACACACAUACACAUACACAUUUAUGCAACUGUUUCCCACAAAGAGAAAGUCAGAUUUCCUUUCACCAUACUACAUAAUUUUUAUAAACACAGAAGUAGGCCGAAAAUAAAGUUGGAACGUGAUUUUGGUUUUAUUUUUUCAAAAAUUCAUUUCAUCUAACGAGGUGUUGUUACUUUUAUCCCGUUUAAAUUGUUUAAUUCAUGUUGUUGAAUUAUUAUGCUUAUAAAAUUUUAAAAAUAUGAUAUGAUAUAUAUGUUAUGGCCAUUCGAUACCAAAGAUAUGAUGUUUAUUGAGCUCUUACUAGUUUCUAAAUAUAUGAUGAUGAUAUGAUAUUUUUAACACAUGUAUUUGAAUUUUUUUAUUCGAAAUUGCACCAUGAUUUUUUCAUGUUCUAUACUGUUACUGUCUUCUUCCGCUUGGACGCCGACCAAUCAGCUAUCUCAGAAGUGGUAAAGAAACUCGUUUUUCUUCCUGAGUGAACGCAGUUCCGAAUUGAAUUCUAUGCACUCACCCUUUUUUCUACUCCUCGCAGAUUAAAAUAGGUCAUUGGUUGACUGUCAAUGCGGUGUCGUAGUGAUGCCAGAAAUUAUGGAAUUCAAUAAAAAUAAAUCCAGAGUAACAUGACUAUGGACUUUUAUUUUUUUGCGUGAUUUCAGUUUUUUAUUUCCAUGUGAAAUUUGGUAUUUAGGAUUUGGGACAUGUUUCAAUUGAUUAUGUCACAUAUAUUUUUUAUUUAUUUUACUGAUGGAACUAAAAAUUUUCAUGUUGAGAUGUUUGAAUAAUUUAUUUAAUUGUGGAAUAAAAGUUCUAGUAAUGAUCUAAAUUAAUAUUUUGGAUUGUUACAGUUUUGUAUCAGAGCCUAGGUUUAAUUUUUUUGUAGAUCCAUAUAUGUUUUCAUAAUAUGAGUUUUGAAAAAUAAAUUAAUUAAUAAAUAACAAGAAUAAACGAAUUGGGUGUAAAGAGGAAGGAUAAAUAAACAAAUAAAUAAAAAGAGUUGUGUGUAUUAAAAAAAGAACAGUGACAUUACUGUUCAUUGGUUAACAGUGAGUAAAAAAAAUCAAGAACAAAUAAUAAUAAAAUAGAUAAAUAAAUGAUAAAAUGAGAGGGUGGUUGUUUAAAUGGUUUAUAUAUGUGUGUAUACGUAUUUGUAAUUUUUUUAAGAAAUACUUCUUUUGAAUAAGUUUUAUGUUUAGCCACAAUGGUCACUAAAUUAAUUAGUUACUAGGUCCUUUUUUUUCAAUUUGUGAAAUUUCAUAAUAUUCCAUGCACUAGUUUGUUAUAUUUUCUAGUUACUGAAAUUACGAAGUUGUCCCUAUGUUAAAAAAAAUUGAAUUCCCAUUUUAUCCUUAACAUAGCUUGGAAAAUAAAUUAAAGUUAUGUGAACAUGUGAAAAUAUUUUUAAAACAUUAGUUUUUAUAUUAAUUUUAGUUGUUAUGUAUAAUAAAUGAUUACAUGCUUAGCCUAGAAUUUUCAUGAUAUUUGUUGAUAAUUAAUAUUUUUUAAGAGAUAAAUUUUAAAAAUGAUAAUUAAAAAAAAAAGAUCUUAAAUACAUAAAAAUAUGAAAGACCUUGGAACUCAACAACCACCGAUCGGCCACCAUCCAAUGGCUCUAAGGUAUGUAAUAGGUAACGAAAUAAAUAACUAUUUAAAUAUUUUGUGUAACUUUACAUUUUCGAUUUGCCUCCUUACAGAUUUGAUGAUAUGCAUAUUUCUCCUGCUAAAUUUAUGAUUCAUGUCUCAAGUAAACACAUGAUUCUGUUACUGGUAUAUGCAAGCAUGAAGUACAUUUUGUUACCAUAAUAAGAAUAUAAACAUGAUAUGUUGACCAUAAUAGAAUUGUACUAUAAUAUAUAGAAGAUUGACAUGGAUGGUAUUAUUAUUAUUAUUAUUAUUAUUAUUAUUAUUAUUAUUAUUAUUAUUAUUAUUAUUCUUAUUAUUAUUAUUAUUAUUAUUAUUAUUUUCAAAUGAGGAUUUUAAGACCAAGUAUCUAAAACUCCUCGAUUAGCCAAAUAAAAUUUCGAGGAUGGAAUUCUUUUAAGAAGGGGAGAUUGUAACGCCCCAAAAACUUAUCGAAAAUUUUAUUUGUACUAUAUGCUAUAUUUUUAUAUUUUUGAAAGUUGAGGGGCAAAAGUGCAAUAAAUUAAACACAAUUUUAUUCUAGCCAAAUAAUUAAAUUUCGUUAGAGCGAUAUUUUUUUCAUCAAAAAUUAUAGAAAUGUUGUUAUUGUUGUUGUCGUCGUCGUCGUCGUCGUCAUUAUUAUUAUUAUUAUUAUUAUUAUUAUUAUUAUUAUUAUUAUUAUUAUUAUUAUUAUUAUUAUUAUUAUUAUUAUUCUGGCUGUAUUUUUAUGGCAUGAGAAAUAUAAUUUUGUUAAUAUAUGUUUAGGAUCUUUUGGUCAUGUAAGUAGUAGUUCAAAAUUUUAUUACAUUGUUUUAAAAGUUAAGAUCUAUAUAUUGUUCAAAAUCAAAAGUUUGUAUUCUUUAAAAGUCGAGUUAGUAUUUUAUUUUAUUUAUUUUCAAUAGGAAGUUAGGAUUCUACUGUAUUAUUCACCUAAUUGGUUAACUCGUAAACUAGUUACAUUUUAUUAUAUGCAUCACUAACAAAGAAGAAGAAUCAAAGUUAGCUUGCAAUUCCAUAAGUUCCUGGAGAGAAAUCAGCCGCUUCACAUUCAGGAUGCUUCGCAUAGGAAAUGUUGUAGUGUCCGCAUUGAUAUGUUAAUUUAAUGAAAUCACUCGGUGUUAGACGUAAAACAAGUGCCAUGUGAGAAAAGGUGAUACUCUUUGCUCCCAAAGAGUUAGGAAGGUAAUUAAAGAUAUUAGCUGUACACCAUCAACCUAGAUUCGAUGAUGUUACAAAAAGCAGCCCAUUCACUAUUACUUCUUUUUGACUGACAUCGUUGAAACAAAACAAAAUUUAAGUGAUUAAAUUAUAAUGUUCAACAACCACGAGAAAUUUUGAUUUAAGUGCCUAGAAACUACUUCGAUUAUUAAGAGUACCGUUGAGAACGUGGGGAUUUUAUUUUAUUAACAGUGGAAAACACUGUUCAGUUUGUAUAAACAAUAAUAAAGCAAGCUUACAGCAAUUGGAAAUUUCGGUUCUUGAAUCUAAUGGAAGACCAACACCCUUCAGCAGAUAACACCAGAGAUACCUUUUGUAAAAUUCUAAUUACAGAAGAUGAAGGUGAAGAUCAUCAUCCGUAUUUCGAUGGUCGCCAAAUGCACAGAGUGCCCAAACUUGUGCGAUUCAAUAAACACAAGAAAGAGGAUUACUACACUCCUAAAAUGGUUUCCUUUGGCUCUUAUUACGAUCGCUUUCCAGAACUUCGCAUGGCAGAAGAACUCAAGCGUAAAGUCCUUGAGGAAUUUGUUUCAAGCAGCUGCAAAGAAUUAUUCAACCUCCAGAUCUGUGAAGUGAUCGACCAGAUUAGAAAUUGUUACAUUGGGGUUUCUAGAGAUGAAUAUGAUGAUGGAGCACUAACAGAAAUGAUGCUUCUAGAUGCAUCUUUCGCUAUAUAUAUCAUGGAGAUUGAAUUGGGAGAUAUCGAUAAAUUUAAACACUCCCGUCGGCAUCUUGGAGCAGAUGCAACGCCAUUUGUAUCCAAGGAUCUGAUUUUAUUCGAGAAUCAAAUACCACCCAGGGUUAUUAAGCUCCUGUGUGAAUUAAUGCAUGGAAAUGAAUGCACUUUAAUUUGAGACUUCUUAAGUUUCUUUAUGUUUAAGAAGAAUUCCGGGAGUAAAAGAAGGGGAACCACUACACCUUCAGGAUGCUUAUUGAAAGAACGAGAAAACUUCAUGAUUAACUACAGUUUUAUGAUCAAGCCAUACAAUAACAGAAAUAAAUGCAAAAACUAAAAGAAUCAACAUGAGGAUUUUUUCGGCAGUAGCCCCAGAGGUUCGGCGACCACUUUCUAACGACUAAUCCCUAGUUGAGCAUCCAUUAUAAAUGGAUAAAACUCGGUUGCACUAAUAGCCCAAAACCGGCAACAAGUAUACAAGAAUAUUCCAGAAAUAUUACAAAGAACUAAACCACAAACACUUAUCUUUGCAAGAGCUACACAAUAGGACAAUAUUCCACAAAGGAAUUGAACAGAUCACAAAGAUCUUUCAAAGGACCAGAACUGCACACGAUGAAUCACACGGAUUCAUCCAAACACCACACGGAGUAGCGCACUAUUACGCAGAUCUAUAAUAUCACAAAGUAUUCAUGCAUUUAUUCACUGAAACACUCGAGAUUUAUGAACCCUAAUCACCAAGAAAAGGAGUAUUCUCACGCAAAGAAAAGAGAGAACAGAGAGACGAGCGACUGACUCCAAAAACCCUCAAAAGUGAGCUGAAAAGGCAUGUUUGGUAUACUUAGAGAUGGAAUGAUCUAGAAGCUCAUCCAAGGGCCAUUACAUAGCCACGUGUUUCAAUCCGGUCAAUUCCAUUUAUUUCCAAAAGUGUUAAUCCAAAAACACGACUUCAUCACAAUAUUUGGAAGCACACUUUUAUAAGUGAUGAGAAGACGGUUCGAAUCUCAACAAUCUCCACCUUGCUUCCAAAUUCUUGGCCAUAGUGCAGACAGGAGCUUCACCAGCAGUUUAUAAUUUCAUUUACUCAUAGUACCCACAUGAUCAAUAAGGAGAAUCAAUUGAUAAAACCUUUAAGCAGUUUUGAAACUUGUUCAAAGGUAUUACUUUUGUUCCCAUGUCAGAUGGAUUAUGCAAUAUAGCAAUUUUACCAAUCUUUAAUAAUCCUUUUGAUAUUACAUCUCUUAUAAAAUGAUAUUUAACAUCAAUAUGCUUGGUUCUAUCAUGGAACAUGAGAUUCUUACUCAAAUGAAUAGCACUUUGAUUGUCAGAAAAUAAGGUUGGAUUAGUGUCCACAAAACCAAGUUCAUAUAGUAGGCCAUUUAACCAAAUACCUUCUUUAACAGUAUCUGUGGCAGCAAUAUAUUCUGCCUCAGUGGAGGAUAAAGCAACUAUCUUUUGUAACUGUGAUUUCCAACUCACGACAGUACCACAGAAAGUAAAGUAAUAAGAUGAGGUGGAUCUCCUAAUAUCUUUAUCUCCAGCAAAGUCUGAGUCAGUAUAACCUUUUAGUGUUACCCUCUCUUUAUUUAUCUUAAACACUAGACAUAUGUCAGAUGAACCUUUUAAAUAUUUCAACAACCAUUUUAAUGCUUCCCAGUGACUUUCACAGGAUUGGCCAUAAAUCUGCCUAAAACACUAAUAUUAUAUGCCAAAUCAGUCUAGUACAUAUCAUUAGAUACAUUACUGAUGCUAUAACAAUAACAUAAGGAAUUCUAUUCAUUUUAGCCGAUUCUUCUUCAGUUUUAGGACAUGCAUCUGAGGUCAGUAUAAAAUGAUUUGCAAGGGGCAAUGUUACAUGUUUACACUCAAACAUAUUGAACUUUUUCAAGAUUUUAUUCACGUAAUCUUGUUGAUUUAAGAACAACAUUCCAUUUUCUUUAUUUCUAACAAUUUGCAUACCAAGUAUCUUCUUGGCAGAGUCAAGAUCUUUCAUGUCAAAUUUUGAUUUUAGCUUUUGCUUAAUGUCAUCAAUUUCAGAUUUACAAGCACUAGCAAUAAGCAUAUCAUCAACAUAAAGAAUCAAAUAAAGAGAAUUCUUACCACCACACCCUUUACAAUACAAACAUGUAUCAUAAUUGCUUCGAUUAAAACCAAGUUUUAACACAAAGGAAUCAAAAUAUUUGUACCAUUGUCUAGGGGCUUGUCUUAACCUAUACAAUGAUUUUUUCAACAGACAAAUAGUUUUAUUUGGAUCACCUUUUCAAAACCUAUUGGUUGUCUCAUAUAGAUCAAUUCAUCCAAUUCUCCAUAUAGAAAAGCCUUUUACAUCUAAUUAUCUAAUUCCCAUUCAAAUUGAGCAACCAAAGCCAGAAUGCAUCUUAUAGUGGUAUACUUAACUACAGGGAAAAAAAUCUCAUCAUAGUCAAUCCCUUCUCUUUGGAUGAACCCUUUUGCAACAAGCCUAGCUUUAUAUCUAAUAUUAUUGUUGCCCCCUUCCCUUUCUUUUAUUUUAUAUAUCCACUUGCAAUCUAUCAAUUUUUGAUCCUUAGGUUUGUCAACCAAUUCCCAUGUUUUAUUUUUAUGCAAUGAGGCCAUCUCCUCUUCCAUAGCAGCUAACCAAAUUUUUUGAAUCCUUAGUUUUUAUGGCAUCAUUAUAUGAACAAGGUUCAGAUUCAAUUUCAUAGUGAUAGGAGAACAAUGAGACAAAUUCAUCAGUAUUAUACCUAGCAGGAGGUCUAAUUUGUCUUCUUUCCCUAUCUCUAGUUAGCUGGUAUUCAUCAGAUGGUAAUACAGGGUCAUCAUUGGGUUCAGAUUCUGCCAGUUCAACAUCAGUACCAUUCAAGUCUGCAUCAGUAUUUUCAGUUUCUAAAGGGGCAGUAUUAAUGUUGUCAAGCUUGGUAGGCUCCACCUCAAUUUGGAAAUCAUUAUCAGUUAAAUUUUCUUUCUUUCCCUCUAAACAUGGCAUACAAGACUCGUUAAAUAUUACAUCUCUCCUUAUAAUAACCCUAUAACCUUUUUUCCCAUAAACCCAUAGCCUAUAUCCUUUAACAUUUUCAGCAUAACCCAAAAACACACAUUUAAGGGAUCUAGGUUCUAGUUUCCCUAUGUUUUAAUGAGCAUAUGCAGUACAACCAAAUGUUUUCAAGUAGGAGUAUAUCACAGGCUUUUGUGUCCACACAAAUUCUGGCACAUCAAAAUUUAAAGCACUUGUAGGACUUCUAUUAAUCAAAUAUGCAACAAUUUUAACAGCUUCACCCCAAAAUAAUUUGGGAAAGCCAGAACUCAAAAGCAUGCAGCUAACUUUAUUCUGCAAAGUCCUAUUCAUUCUUUCUGCAAUGCCAUUUUGUUGGGGUGUAUAGGUCACAGUUCUAUAUCUUAAAAUGCCAUGCAGUUUGCAAAACUCAUUAAACUCAUAAUUGCAAAAUUCUAUACCAUUAUCAGUUCUCAAUGUUCUGAUUUUCAGAUCAGUUUGAUUUUCAAUUUGGGUUUUCCAAUCUUUAAAUGUGAAAAAAGUUUCAUCUUUAGUUUUCAGAAGAAAUACCCAAAAUUUUCUUGAGAAAUCAUCAAUAAUAAGCAAAUAAUACUUGUAACCAGACAAUGUAGAGGUGGAUCCAGGACCCCAUAAAUCAGGAUGUAAGUAUUCUAGAAUUUGCUUUGAUUUAUGAGUACCAGUGGGAAAAGGUAACUUAACUUGCUUUCCAAUCAAACAUUGUUCACAUUUAGUCAAAUUACCAAUAUUUGAUUUUCCAAAAAUACCUUUAUUUUGCCAAGCCUUUAAGCCUUUUUCACCAAUGUGACCAAGUCUAUAGUGCCAUAAUUUUGCAAGAUUAAAAUUGUCAUCUAACGCUACUGCUGAAAGGCCCAACAUAGGUUUUGCAUUUAGAAAAUAUAAGCCAUGUCUCUUUGGGAUAGAAGUGAUCAAAUCACUGCCCCUAAACAUUUUUAUGUGUCCUUGACUCAAUUUUAUGUCAAACUCCAUGUCAUCAAACAUUCCUAGAGAUACUAGGUUUCUUUCUAAUUCUGGAACAAAUCUGGCACGUUUCAGUAACAAAAUUCUACCAUUUUCCAAAAGUAAUUUUAUUGUUCCAAUACCUUUCACUUUUCCUUAGCCUUGGUUUUGUAUUUCAUUUUGUCAUUAUUUCUUUUCUUAGGGUCAUUUGAAAACUUUGAAUGAAAAUUAGAUUUACCAAUAUUUUUGACUUUUAACAAAAGAUUUUCUCCACUUUGAUGGUUGAUAGAAUCUGCUUUUAAUUCAAGAACCCUAUUUCUCAAGGCAUUUAUAAUGAUAUCUGUAGUAAGACUAUCUCUUCCAUAUUCCACGGCAUUCUUUAAGUCUCUAUGCCUAUUACUAAUGAAGUUUAACAAGACCACUGCCAACUGAUCUUCUGAUAAUUUCUCAUCACAGUUGGCAAGGUCCUGGGUCAGUUUAGUAAAUCUAUCCAAGUUCUCAUCUAAAUCAACUGAAGGGUCCAUUUUGAAGGAAAAGAAUUGUUUUAGCAAAAAACAUUUGUUUGGAACAGUUUUCGGCUCAUAUUGGGCUUUCAAUUUAGUCCACAAUUCUUCAGCAGUUUUAGUUUCGCCUAUAGUCCUGAUCACAUUGUCUGAAAGGUACAGAAAAAUUGUACUCCAUGCUAUUUCUUCUAACUCAAUUCUUUUACCAGCAGACAUUUCAGCAGGCUAAGAAUUAUCUAAAGCUUUAGCACAUUUCAUUUGCAUCAAGAUAGCCCUCAUUUUUUGACUCCACAUAUUAAAGUCCCUCCUUCCAUCAUACAUAUUCAUUUCAAACUUAGCAGUAGCCAUAACAGAAUGUCAGGAUAAUGUACAAAGCACAAGUUUGAAUUUCAAGAAUACACAAAGGGUCACACAGAACAUGACUACUUACAGAUCACAGAUUAGUGUUAAUCAAUAUUGUACUUAGUAAGAUAAUCUCAAAACAAUGAUCACUCGAUUCACAGUAAAGAAGCAGGAACAGAAAAUAGAGAUUGCUAUCCUAUGUAUCUCAACUGAAUUUCUCCAGCAAGACCUUCCAAUUGUACUCCUCCACCGUGUUAUUAUCUCAAAUUCUCAAGACUUCUUGGAGUCUUUGGACAAAGACCAGUCACGGGAGGGUUUUACAAUACAAGGUAAAUCAAGGAAAAAUAUUCAGGAAAUACAACAGGUAAAAUUACCAGACACGAAGUAUAGGAAAGAUCUCACCAAAAGAAUUUUAAGAACUCAAAUUCCUUCUGCUCGAGUUAACACAGUUGAGGCAGCAUUCGAAUGCACAGUUUCCUCGAGGAUCAGGUAUCAUUCAAAAGGCCAUGUCUCUGAUACAACUAAAAGAACGAGAAAACUUCAUGAUUAACUACAGUUUUAUGAUCAAGCCAUUCAAUAACAGAAAUAAAUGCAGAAAAUAAAAGAAUCAACAUGAGGAUUUUUUCGACUGUAGCCCCAUAGGUUUGGCGACCACUUUCUAACGCCUAAUCCCCUGUUGAGCAUCCAUUAUAAAUGGAUAAAGUUCAGUUGCACUAAUAGCCCAAAACCGGUAGCAAGUAUACAAGAAUAUUCCAGAAAUAUUAUAAAGAACUAAACGACGAAGACUUAUCAUUGCAAGAGCUACACGACAGACCAAUAUUCCACAAAGGAAUCGAACAGAUCACAAAGAUCUUUCAAAGGACUAGAACUGCACACGAUGAAUCACACAGAUUCAUCCAAAUACCACACGGAGUAGCACACUAUUAUAAUAUCACAAAGUAUUUACGCAUUAAUUUACUGAAACACUCAAGAUUUAUGAACCCUAAUCACUAAGAAAAGGAGUAUUCUCACGCAAAGAAGAGAGAGAAUAAAGAGACGAACGGCUGACUCCAAAAAUCCUCAAAAGUGAGCUGAAAAGGCAUGUUAGGGAUACUUAGAGAUGGAACGAUCUAGAAGCUCAUCCAAGGGUCAUUACAUAGCCAUGUGUUUCAAUCCGGUCAAUUCCAUUUAUUUCCAAAAGUGUUAAUCCAAAAACACGACUUCAUCACAAUAUUUGGAAGCACACUUUUAUAAGUGAUGAGAACACGGUUCGAAUCUCAACACUUAUUAUCAACUACUUGUCAUAGAAGUGGAUAAUGCAGUCAUAUUGUUCGAAGGAGAAAGUUAUACUCCAGAAACAACAAACACAGAAGAAAAGCCUUUUAACCAAGAAAAUUCAAAUGAAUACAAUCGUCAAUCUCUUUCAGUCACCGAGCUCAAAUCAAAGGGCAUCCACUUCAAACCUAGUUCAUACUGUUUGAAGAAUAUUAAGUUCAAAUCCUACACAUUUUAUGGGCAACUUCAACUCCCAAUUUUCUAUUUUCAUGCUAAUUCCAAUCUAAGAUUUAUGCAAAUGAUUGAACAUGAAAUGACUCGAGAAAAAAUGACUCGAGAAAACGAGGAUAAAUUUACUGUAUUAUGUUAUGUUAAUUUCAUGAAAUCGCUCAUUGUUAAAUCUGAAGAUGUUAAGGAACUACGAGAAAGGGAGAUACUCUUCAGCGACCUCGACAGUGAUGAACAGAUUGUGGAAGUAAUCGAAGGGAUUGAUACUCGCAGACUUGGAACUGACUUUAUUUUUGAUGGGGUGAAGAAGAAAAUUGAGAAGCACUGCAGCAGCAAGGCAAAAACAUGGUUUUCCGAACUAAUUCACCCUCAUUUCCGUGGUCCGUGGAAUCUUAUUGCCUUACUCUCUGUGACUUUUCUUCUUUGCUUAACUUUUCUUCUGACCCAUUACACAAUGAAUCUUUCCAAGUAAAGGUGUGUGACAAAUUCCGUUCUUCAAGUUUUAGUUGAGAUGUGUUUCGAAU